Molecule: long non-coding RNA, 108626 nt
Filed under: Gossypium raimondii (Peruvian cotton)
Lineage: Eukaryota; Viridiplantae; Streptophyta; Magnoliopsida; Malvales; Malvaceae
Description: long non-coding RNA (GRAI_LNC010206)
Source: RNAcentral
GAGAUUUAGAGCUGGGAAUGGAUCAAGUAAGUGCAGUGAGGGAGAUGCUGAGGAUUACGGAUCAGGAAUCCAACACGGCUUUACAUGAAGCAGCAGGGUGUGGCAAUGUUGAAGUGGUGAAAGCAUUGUUGGAGUUUGAAGUCCCUGAUUUUCCGUAUUCUGCCAAUAAAAAACAGGAGACUCCACUUUAUAUUGCAGCUAAGAGAGGAGACGGCGGCGUGCUGAGUGUAAUAUUAGAUAAAUCAAAAUCAGCAGCUCAUGGCGGCCCCCACGGUAGAACAGCUUUGCAUGCAGCAGCUAUGGCUGGAGAUGCAGGUAUGUUGUUGAGUUAGAUCCAAUUUUUUUAAAAAUUUUUUUGUAAAAAACAAAGAACAGGUCUAUUGACAUUUUUUUUUUUGCUUGGAUUUAGAGGCAAUAAGGGUAAUAUUAAAGAAGAAGGGGAAUUUGACAAAGGAAAGAGAUGAAGAUGGACGCACCCCUCUUCAUUAUGCUGCACACUUAGGUCGUAGAAUCUCAGUUGUGGAAGAACUGUUAAAAAGGGAUGUAUCAGCUGCCUAUAUAGGUGAUAAAAAGAGGGGGAUGACACCCCUUCUUAUGGCAGCCAGACAAGGUUAUCUUGGAACAGUUUCAAAGAUUCUCUCUUUAUGUCCAGAUAGUUGUGAAAAAGUGGACAACGAAGGUUUGACCUUACUUCAUUAUCUGGCUUUUAGAGGUUCUUCCUAUCCAUUAAAGCUUUCUCUUUUCAAGCGUGGUGGUAUUGAGAUUGUGUAUGGAUCACUCAGAAAUCUAAUGAAGUUGGAAGGUGCUUUUGGAAUGACACCUCAAGAAGUUUUUGUUGAAGUUGGUCAGCAUGAAGCCAACACUCGAUUCCAUACAGGCCAUGAAGACCAAGCAAAGCUGGAACAGAUGCAAGGGCUGCUGAUGCAAGCUCAUUUUGUUCAUUUUGUUAUAUUUAGUUGAUGAAAUGAGUGUUAGUUCAUUUCUAACUAAGUUAGCUUUCUGAUUGAUGUAAUUAGCUUAUGUAUGAGCUGUAAACACACUUUUGUAUAAGUUUACAAGCUAAGAUUUCAAGUUUCUAUGUAAUUAGUGGAGGUAGGUAAUUUCUUGUUGAUUUUGACAAGCCUUAUGCUUGUGUUAUGUACUGGCUUCAAGCCAUUGUUUUAUGCAUGAAUCAAAUCAGUUUUUGUUUAUCAAUAUUCUCUCAAAUUUCCCCAGCUUAUUUUCUUCUUUCUUUAACUCGAAAUUGUUUGUUUUGCUCAGCAAGUUUAGAGGCUUGCUCGACAAGAUACUUGCUGAGUCUGCUUGAGUCUAUUGUUGCACCAACAAUUGGUAUCUAGAGCUUAUUUCUUAAGGGACCUGUUAUACAAAUCCAUGGCUUCAUCAAGCUUUUCACCAGCUGCACCUCAAGUAUUCAAUGGAGAAGGCUAUCACAUAUGGGUGGUCAAAAUGAAGACUUACCUGCAGGCUUAUGAUCUGUGGGAGGUGGUCAACUCAGAUGUUGAACCAGAACCACUUAGAGGCAAUCCAACAGUGGCUCAGAUCAGGCAGCAUGCUGAUGAGAGGACCAAGAGGCACAAGGCCAUGUCUUGCAUUCAGAACUCAGUGUCAGAUGUGAUUUUCACAAGGAUUAUGGCCUGUGAAUCACCAAAACAGGCCUGGGAUAAGUUGCAAGAAGAGUUUCAAGGGACAGAGAGGACAAGGAAGCAACAGUUACUGAAUUUGAGGAGAGAUUUCGAGAAUUUAAAGAUGAAAGAAGAAGAAACUGUCAAGCAAUAUUCUGACAGGAUUAUGGCUGUGGUUAAUAGCAUCAGGCUCCUUGGAGAGCAGUUUAAUGAAGCUAGGAUAGUGGAGAAAGUAAUAGCAACUCUGCCUGAGAGGUAUGAGGCAAAAAUCUCAUCUCUCGAGGACUCAAGGGAUCUGUCCACCAUUUCCCUGACUGAGUUGAUCAAUGCUCUAUAUGCUCAAGAGAAGAGGAGAGCAAGUAGACUGGAAGAGCAUCAAGAAGGUGCCUUUCAAGCAAGGACAAAUAUUGCCUACAAAGGCAAGAAGGCCUGGAGAGACAAGCCAAAGAAUGAUGCUGCGAGAAGAGAAGGUCAAACUUGCAAGCACUGCAGAAGGGCUGGUCAUCCAGAAGAAAAAUGCUGGUUCAAUCCAGAUGCUGUGUGUCAGCAUUGUAAGAAGAAGGGUCAUGUUGAGAGAGUUUGCAAGAGCAAGACCAAAACAAGACUGAACCAGUCUCAACAGAUGAAAGCUGAGGCUCGAGUAGCUAAGGAGGACAGUGACCAAGAGGAGCAAGUCUUUGCUGUGUCAUGCUCAGCUGCUCAGGAAAGGCUCUCAUCUGGUUGGCUCCUAGACAGUGGAUGCACCAAUCACAUGACACCUGAUGCUGCAAUCUUCAAGUCUUUAGACAGAAACUGUAGAACCAAAGUCAAAAUUGGUAAUGGGCACUUUAUUCAAGCUGAAGGCAAAGGUGAUGUGCUGAUAUGCACUCCCACAGGUGCCAAAAUGAUCUCAAAUGUGCUCCUGGUGCCUGAAAUUGAUAGAAACCUACUCAGCAUAGCUCAAUUGCUGGAGAAAGGUUACUCUGUGGUGUUCAAGGACAAGCAGUGCCAAAUCAGUGAUCCAAGUGGAUCCAAACUGAUGGCAGUCCCUAUGGCUGAUAAGAGCUUUGUGGUUGACUGGACAAAGAAGUCAGACUUUGCCUACACAGCCACAUCAGAUGAAUCUAAGUUGUGGCAUCAAAGGCUGGGACAUGCCAACUUCAGAUCGAUGGCCCGAAUGGUCAGAGAAGACCUGGCUGAAAACUUCAUCAACUCAGUGGACCAUGAUGAUGUGUGUGAAGUGUGUCAGCUAGGAAAACAGGCCAGAUUGCCAUUUCCCAUGAAUCAAGCCUGGAGAGCCUCUGAAAAACUCCAACUGGUGCACACUGAUGUGUGUGGCCCUAUGAGGACUGAGUCACUAAGUGGAAACAGGUACUUCAUACUGUUUGUUGAUGAUUUCUCUAGAUAUUGCUGGCUUUACUUCUUAAAACAGAAAUCAGAAGUGGCCACUGUGUUUUGGAAGUUUAAAAUUGCUGCUGAGACAGAAACAGGCUGCAAGCUGAAGACCAUAAGGUCUGAUAAUGGGACUGAGUACACCUCAGCUCAGUUCCAAGCCUUCUGUGAUAAGGCAGGCAUCAAACACCAGCUUACCAACACUUAUACACCUCAACAGAAUGGUGUAAGUGAAAGGAAGAAUAGGAGCUUAAUGGAUAUGGCCAGGUGCUUAAUGAUUCAGAAGAAUCUGCCUAAAGCACUAUGGGCAGAAGCAGUUAACACUGCAACAUACAUUCAGAAUAGACUUCCAACCAAGGCUUUGGAUCAGAAGACUCCAUUCGAGGCCUGGUUUGGCUUCAAGCCAUCACUGGCUCAUCUGAAGGUCUUUGGAUGCAUAUGUUACACACAUGUACCUGCUGUUAAAAGGGACAAAUUGUCUGAAAGGGCUCGACCUGGUCUUCUGGUGGGCUACAGCACUGUUAAGAAAGGCUAUAGGAUCUUGGAUCCUUCAACAAACAAAGUAUCAGUAAGCAGGGAUGUGGUAUUUGAUGAAAGGUCAUGUUGGAACUGGGAAAGGCAUGAACCUGAGGAAGUUUCUGAAGAACUUACAACAAACAAAGCUGAGCCAGAACAAAGUGUUCCUGAAAUGGACAUUGAUGAUGAACCAGUCAGAGGAACAAGAUCAAUGACUGAGAUUUAUGAAAGGGCUCAUAUAGCCAUAGCUGAACCAAGUAACUUUGAAGAGGCUGAAGCUCAGCAAGAGUGGAAGCAGGCAAUGGCUGAGGAGAUCAGCAUGAUUGAGAAGAACCAGACCUGGGAAUUGGUUGAAAAGCCAGUCAAAAGGAAGGUGAUUGGGGUGAAAUGGGUGUACAAAGCCAAGCAAAAUGCUGAUGGUACCUUGAACAAACUGAAAGCAAGGUUGGUUGUCAAGGGGUUCAGUCAGAGGUAUGGCUUGGACUACCUGGAGACCUUUGCACCAGUGGCCAGGCUCGACACCAUCAGACUGCUGAUUGCCUUAGCAGCCCAGCUCGAAUGGAAAAUUCAUCAACUCGAUGUGAAAUCAGCCUUUCUGAAUGGUUUUUUAGAUGAAGACAUCUAUGUUGAACAACCACAAGGGUUUGAAAUAGCUGGGAGAGAGCAUAUGGUCUACAAAUUGAAGAAGGCCCUAUAUGGCUUAAAACAGGCUCCAAGGGCCUGGUACAGCAGAAUCGAUGGCUACUUGACUGAUCUGGGAUUCAAUCGAAGCAAGAGUGAGCCAACACUGUAUGUCAAGAAGCAAGGGACACAAACACAACUCAUUGUGUCCCUAUAUGUUGAUGACCUGCUGGUGACAGGAGGAGAUCGAGCAGUGCUGGUUAAUUUCAAGACCAAGAUGCAAGAGGUGUUUGAAAUGUCUGAUCUUGGGGAGAUGUCCUAUUUUCUUGGAAUGGAGGUGACUCAAGCACAGAAUGGGAUAUUUUUAAGUCAGAAGAGCUUUGCCACAAAGAUUCUGACCAAGUUCUCCAUGCAAAACAGCAAACCAACUAAAACACCUGUUGCUGUUGGAGAAAAACUAUCGAGCCAAGGAAAUUUUGAGAAGGUAUGUGAAACUACCUACAGGAGUCUAGUUGGUUGUUUGCUAUACUUGACUGCCACUAGACCAGACAUAAUGUAUGCUGUAGGAUUGCUCUCAAGGUUCUUGCAUUGUUGCAAUGAGAAGCAUUUUCAGGCUGCCAAGAGAGUGCUCAGAUAUGUCAAAGGCACUUUGGACUAUGGCUUAAGGUACAGCAGGAAAGGAAAUCUAAAUCUAGUUGGGUACACUGAUAGUGACUGGGCUGGAUCGAUAGAUGACAUGAAAAGCACCUCAGGGUAUGCUUUCAACCUUGGUUCAGCUAUGUUCUGCUAGAGCUCGAAGAAGCAAAGUCUGGUGGCACAAUCUACUGCUGAAGCAGAGUAUGUGGCAGCAGCAAGUGCUGUCAACCAAACCAUUUGGCUUAGGAAAAUCCUGGCUGAUUUGAAUAUGGAUCAAAGGGAAGCAACAGAGAUCUUCUGUGACAAUCAAUCUACUGUUGCAAUUGCCAAAAAUCCUGUGUUCCAUGGAAGAACAAAGCAUUUUAGCAUUAAGCUAUAUGUUAUUCGAGAAAUGGAGCAAGCUCAGGAAGUGAAGCUAAUUCACUGCAAUUCAGAGGACCAGCUUGCAGACAUUUUGACUAAAGCCCUUAAUGUCACAAGGUUUGAGCAUUUAAGAAGAAAAUUAGGUGUUUGCACCAUGCUAACCAAGGAGGAGUGUUGAAGUUGGUCAGCAUGAAGCCAACACUCGAUUCCAUACAGGCCAUGAAGACCAAGCAAAGCUGGAACAGAUGCAAGGGCUGCUGAUGCAAGCUCAUUUUGUUCAUUUUGUUAUAUUUAGUUGAUGAAAUGAGUGUUAGUUCAUUUCUAACUAAGUUAGCUUUCUGAUUGAUGUAAUUAGCUUAUGUAUGAGCUGUAAACACACUUUUGUAUAAGUUUACAAGCUAAGAUUUCAAGUUUCUAUGUAAUUAGUGGAGGUAGGUAAUUUCUUGUUGAUUUUGACAAGCCUUAUGCUUGUGUUAUGUACUGGCUUCAAGCCAUUGUUUUAUGCAUGAAUCAAAUCAGUUUUUGUUUAUCAAUAUUCUCUCAAAUUUCCCCAGCUUAUUUUCUUCUUUCUUUAACUCGAAAUUGUUUGUUUUGCUCAGCAAGUUUAGAGGCUUGCUCGACAAGAUACUUGCUGAGUCUGCUUGAGUCUAUUGUUGCACCAACAGUUUUUAAUGCAGUUCAAUAUGAGGAACAUCAUCAUAAACAGGUGUGUGUGCGUGCAUAUGUAUUGCAUUUCCAUGGCUAUGGUUUUAUUAAUAUUCAAGUUUUGAAUUAACAUCUUUAAUAAACCUACAAUACAAUUAGCUGGCAUGGCAGGAGCAAAUCAAUGAAUUGUUGGAAGAAAUUGAGAAUGAUCAAGUGGCGGACGAACCAGUUCGUCCCAUUAGCUUGCCAACUGUCUCUACAGCAAGCUUGGAGAAGAAAAGAGAAGGUCAUUUAAUAGUGGCAGGACUUAUAGCCACGGUCACAUUUGCGGCAGCGAUAACCGUCCCAGGAGGUUUCAAGAGUGAAAAAGGAUCCGAAGAGGGUACUCCUUUUUUGAUUCAUGAGGCAGCCUUUAAAGUAUUUAUCAUAUCGAAUGGAUUGGCCUUUAUUCUCUCUCUUUCCACCCUCUCCGUUUACGUUAGGAAGAUGUAUUUCCUUUCCUCAAACUCAAAGCAGCGACGCAAAAUUUUAAUAACACGGUUGACCGCUAAGAAUCUCCUUAGUGGUGCACUGAUUGCAAUGUUGAUUGCUUUCAGCACAGCCAACUAUGUUGUGUUAAAACCUUCUCACGCACUUGCCAUAGCUUCAUGUUUGGUCGGCCCUGCCUUUAUUUUCACUUCUUUACUUACCCGCAAAUGGAUGUUUAUUCUUGUGUGGAUCUCGGCAUACUUUGUGAAUAUUCUUAUACCAUUUUCAUUGGUUUGAACUUGGUUUUUAGACUGAAAUUGCUUUUGUUUGUGCCUUAUUUUAGUGUUUUUAGAAUUUAUGGUUGUAUCGUUUGUGUUGAUUUUACUUUAUUUAAACUUUUUUGCUAUUUAGUUUUACAUGACAACUUAAUAGAGUGGGUUUGAAAAACAAAAUUUGGAGAAAUAUUACUUUAAUAUUAAUAAUCUCCAUUUAAUUGAAAUCAAUAUAAAGUUAUUAGUUGAUACACAUACAAUUUCAAAAAAGAUAAAAAAAAUCACAAUUUGUGUAAAUUAAGAUUUAUUAAAUUCAAAGAAUAAUAAAGAUGUUGUAACUAAAUCUGCAUUAUAAUUAAAAUAAUUUGACGAAUCAUUGAAAAAUAUGAGAAUUUUAGGUUUAAGAAAAACAACACAAGGUUUUAUUUAAAAAUGAGAAGUUGCCGCCAAUCUUUUUUAUUAUGUGUGAUCAAACACCUAUAAAAUCAUCUUUUAAAAAGAAAAUUUUGAGUCUAUAAUAGAAAUCCAUAGAAAAAUGUUUUAGUUCAAGAGUUAGUUACGCAAAAAAUUAAGUUAUAUACUUUUACUAUAGUAAAAAAAAUUACAAUUCCACCAUUUUGAUAACCUAUGUCUUUAUAAGUUUUAAAAGAUUAAAUCAAAUUUAAUUUUAUCCUUUUCGAGAGGUCAAAAUGUAAUUUUACCAAUACUAAUUUAAAAUUUUAUAAAUUAUAAAGGGGCUAGAAGAAAAAUUUUCAAUUUUAGGGGGACUAGUACCCCGCCAACGCUAGCUUUGCCCUUAAACUCUUAUAUUUCAAUCAAUUUUAAUGAAAUCAUUUCCAACUUUGCACUCUAUUAUAUUUGAUGUCUCAAGAAUCUUAACUUUCAACAAAAUAAACUUUGUUGUGAACGCCAAAAGGGAAUUAAAAUAUGUGACGGAGCUUGGGUCUAAUGCUAAUGAUGAUGGUUCGUACAUUCCAGUGCGUGGUGGCACCACAUCUUGGUAUCCUGACUCUAGAACGAGUCAUCAUGUCUGUCGCGAUGUGUUAGCUUUACGUGAUGUCACGCUAUAUUCAGGUAUGUCAUCUCUUUUAAUGGGCGAUGGUACUCCUGCGGUAAUUUCAUCAAUUGGUAAUGCUAUUUUACCUACUCAGUCUAAGUUGUUACGAUUGUCAAAUGUUUUAUGUGUGCCGAGUAUACGGAAAAACCUCUGAUCUGUCUCACAAUUUGCUCAUGAUAAUGGUGUGUUCUUUGAGUUUCACCCUACCCAUUGUGUUAUUAAGGAUGUCGUGACCCGAAAGACAUUGUUGAAGGGUCGCAUUCAUGAUGGACUAUAUCAAUUUUCUAUGCCAGUGGUAUCUACUCCAUCUAAUGUUGUUUCAUUUGUUGCUCAUUCGAAUAAAGAUCCAGAUUGUUCUAUGUUUGCUUUAUGGCAUAAUCGUCUAGGCCAUCUGUCAGCUUCUGUGGUCAAAGCUAUUCUAAAUAAAUGUAAUAUUGUUUCAAGUAAAAAUUGUUUUGAUGGUAUAUGUAUUGCAUGUCAAAAAGGGAGGUCACAUAAGUUGCCUUUCUCACCUUCGACUACUAGCUAUCGUUAUUUUGAGUUGAUUGUUUCUGAUCUUUAGGGUCCCGAAUAUGUUGCAUGUGAUGAUAAGAGGUAUUACGUUUCGUUUAUUGACAUGUGUACUAGGUUUACCUGGGUUUAUCUUUUACGUCAAAAAGCUCAAGCAAUAGAAUGUUUUACUUAGUUUCAAAAAUUAAUUAAGAAACAGUUUAGCAAGUUUAUUAAGCAGUUUCAGAGCGAUUGAGGAGGAGAGUACCAUGGUUUUACGUCUGUUUUAGAGUCCCAGAGAAUUAUACAUCGGCUGACGUGUCCGUAUACUUCCGAACAAAAUGGAGUGGCUGAGCGUAAACAUCGCCACAUUGUUGAAGUGGGUAUUACAUUAUUGGCUCAAGUAAAAUUGCCUAUUUAAUACUGGGGAUAUGCGUUUUGUUGCACGGUUCAUCUUAUAAAUCGACUUCCUACUGUCAUUCUUCAGGGCCGUUCUUCGUUUAAGGCACUUUAUAGAAAUGAUCCGACCUAUGAUCAUCUUCGAGUUUUUGGUUGCUACUGUUUUCCUUACUUACGUCCGUUUGUAGGUCAUAAAUUGGAUUUUUGGUCUCAGCCGUCUACAUUUUUGGGUUACAAUCCUUGUCACAAGGGGUAUCAAUGUCUUUUUCCAGAUGGUAAGGUUAUUAUUUCAAGACAUGUGGUAUUUGAUGAGCAGAGAUUUUUGUUUGCUGAGUCUAGUUCCGACAAAUCUAUAUCGACGACCAGUCAGACUAGUAUGACUGUUGUUCCUCUUGUGUGGCCAGCUUCUUCUUCGUCUCUUGAGCCUUGCAUGAUGUCACCAUCUCUACAAGGGUUGCAGUCUCAGCCUAAUGCCCCUACAUUAGAUGUUGAGUUGGUGCAGUCUCAGUCUCAUGCUUCUUCGACUGCUGUUGGGUCUGGGUCGGGUGAUCUUCCAGCUGUUCAUGAGUCGUUUUCACCAGGUGAUCCCAAUGCUCAUUCUCGUUCUAUCUCAAGAAUGUCUGAAGGUGUUUCAUCGUCAUCUGACAGUCAGAUUAGUAGGCCACCUAUGGGUAAUACUCACCGAAUGGUCACUCGGGCUAAGGCCAGAGUUUUCAAGCCUAAGGCUGGAGUUUUCAAGCCUAAGGUUUUAAAUGUUGAAGCUGUCGAACCUUCUACAAUUGAAGAAGCUCUGGCUACUGCUGAGUGGUGCGCUGCUGCGCAAGAUGAGUAUGAUGCUCUUAUUCGUAAUUCCACAUGGGAGCUAGUUUCUGCUCCAUCUAAUCGUAAGAUCAUUGGGUGCAAAUGGUUGUUCAAAAUCAAAAGGAAUUCUGAUGGUACCAUUGCUCGACGUAAGGCUCGAUUAGUCGCAAAAGGCUACUCUCAGGUUCUGGGGUGUGAUUUUAAGGAAACUUUUGGUUUGGUGGUAAAACCAUCUACUAUCAGAGUUAUUUUGUCUAUUGCUGUGUCUAGGGGGUGGUCGCUUCGGCAAGUGGAUGUGAAUAAUGCAUUUUUAAAUGGAGAUCUUGAUACUGAAGUUUUCAUGCACCAACCUCCUGGUUAUGUUCAGUAUGGUUCAGAUGGCAGACCUCUAGUGUGUCGUUUGAAGAAAGCAUUGUAUGGUCUUCGUUAGGCUCCCCGUGCCUGGUUUGAGAAGCUGAAAGGAUUUCUAGUAUCUGUGGGGUUUGUGGUAUCAAAGUCUGAUGCUUCCUUAUUUGUUAGGGUCGAACCAGAUUCAACGCUAUAUGUUCUUGUGUACGUUGAUGAUAUUAUUGUUACUGGUGAUGUGCCUACUGUUAUAGAGUGGUUUGUUCAGUUGUUGAAUAACGAGUUUUCGCUUAAAGACAUGGGCGAUCUUCAUUACUUUCUUGGUAUAGAAGUUACUCGCUCUUCAUCAGGAUGUCUUCAUCUCUGUCAGAAGAAGUAUAUACGAGAUAUUCUUGUUCGGUGUUCGAUGGAAAAUGCGAAGAGUGUUCAUACACUGAUGGUUAGUUCUUCUGUCAUGACUAGAGAUGAUGGUGAGCAUUUAGAGGACCCGACUGAAUACAGGAGCCUUGCCGGAGCAUUACAGUAUGUUACUCUUACGAGGCCUGAUGUUGCAUAUGCUGUAAAUCGGAUAUGUCAGCUUAUGCAUUGUCCCACUUCUAUUCAUAUGAUUGCUCUGAAGCGCAUUUUGCAAUAUCUAGGUGGCAUGCUUGAUCUUGGGGUUGUGUUUCAUCCGUCCACUAGUUUGUUCUUAGUUGGGUAUGCUAAUGCAAACUAGGGGUUAGAUUUUGAUGACCAGAGAUCCACUACUGGGUACUGUGUUUAUUUCGGACAUACUCCCGUGUCUUGGUGUACGAAGAAAUAGCAAGUCGUUGCUCGGUCUACUGCUGAGGCAGAAUAUAGGAGUCUUGCUACAGUCACUAGUGAGGUUACAUGGCUAUUAUCGUUACUUCAAGAAUUACAUGUUCAAUCUACCGAUAUACCCAGUAUUUGGUGUGACAGUUCUGGUGCAGCUGCGGUUGCUGCUAAUCCUGUUCUACAUUCGAAGUUCAAGCACGUUGAAUUAGAUUUAUUUUUCGUUCGUGAAAAGGUUACUGAUGGUUCAGUAGCAGUUGGAGAGGUUCCUGCGUGUGAUCAAGUCGCUGAUGUUCUCACUAAGCCACUUUCACUAUCGAAUUUUACUCGUUUUCGGAGUUUCCUACGGGUUUUGCCUAUGGAAAAGAUGGAUGAAUAUUAGUAGUUUAGAAAGUUGUUAGUUAGUUUUGAAUCUGGUAAAAUGCUGUUGCUUAGUUUAGAGCAGUUACUCAAGUCUUUAUAUAUACUGUACCUCGUGUAUUCAGAAAUCAAGUAUUUUGGAAUAAAGGAAAGAAGUUUAUUCUCUCAAUCUCUGUUUUCUUUAGUUAAAUAUUUCUAUUUAAUUUGACUUUUUUUUAAAGGAUUGAUGGCUAAAUUCAACUUUUUUUAAAAGGUUGAAGGCUAAAUUUUAAGUCUUUUCGCUAUUAAAAAUAUAAAUUUAAUUAUUAAAUGACACGUUAAAUCUAAUUUUUUUAAAAUUUGUAACCAUUUUUUUAUGGAACUUUGAAUGUUCCAAGUUAAUUAAUUAAAUUUUGUUUGGUGUUAUUAAGAAGAAAACCUUGAAUAAAACAAGAAUGUAACCCAUCAUUAGUAGACAUGAAUUUCAAAAAACUUAGCCUUGAUUUAUGGUUUGAUUAUUCCACCUUUUUCGUAAAAAUUAAGGAUGGUUCAUUUAAUAUCAAAAAAUCAUAAAUUAUACAAAGUAAGAUUUAUUAAAUAUCAAAGAAUAAAUAUCAAAAUUUAGUGUGUAACAAUUUUCUCAGCUACCAAACCCUGUCUUGGAAUAAUAAAAAAACAUAGGGCAGCAUUGACUUCACCACAAAGAGCUGUAGAUCUCAUUUUCUUCCAUUCUUUUUCUUUAGUUCUCCUCCUUUGCAGUUUCCUUAAAACCAAAUUUCACCAUAGAAAACUCCUACUAUAUUGACCUGACUUCUAACACAAUAUAUUACUAUUACUUAAGUGUUCAAGUAUAUAUAGUUGUUAUUUGUAGGUGACUUGAAUCGAGGAUUUGCAAGCAAGUAACUAACUGGUAAGGCAUUUGGUAAAUUUCUGAAUUUGCAGUACUUUUUUCUUGAGAUUGGAAUGUUUCAAGCUAAUUAAUUCAAUUUUGUUUGGUGUUAUCCAGGAAGAAAUAGAUCAACAAAAAUGGGACCUGAGGAGCCUGAAGACAACAUCACUUACAUGGAUGCUUCGCUGUAUAAGGCAGCAGCAGAAGGCAACAUUGAAGUAUUCAAUAAUAAGCGGGGGCUUCAACUUGAGUCGCUAAAGACCCCAAACCAUGACAACCUGCUCCAUGUUAACUUGGCAACCCAGGAGAAUGCUGUCUGGCUUUUUGACAGUGUUCACUCAUUCUUCAAAUUAUUCCCCGUAGAAUAUGUAAUAUUCCAUCGGUAUUUGAGUAUUUUCAUUACUAUGAUAAAAAGAGAAAAGAGAUCAGAUUUUAUCGAACAAAUUCUCAGCAAGUGUCCGUCACUGCUACUCCAAACGAAUGCUAAAGGUCAAACUCCUUUGCACGUUGCAGCAAGGUAUGGACAUUCUGCUAUUGUGAAACUACUAAUCAAGUUUUGCGCAAAAGCUAGAGAUGGAGAUUUAGAGAAGCUGGGAAUGGAUCAAGUAAAUGCAGUGAGGGAGAUGCUGAGGAUUACGGAUCAGGAAUCCAACAUGGCUUUGCACGAAGCAGCACGUUGUGGCAAUGUUGAAGUGGCGAAAGCAUUGUUGGAGUUUGAAGACCCUGAUUUUCCGUAUUCUGCCAACAAAAAACAGGAGACUCCACUUUACAUAGCAGCUAGGAGGAGAGGAUCUGGGCGCUUGUUGACUCUAUUAUUAGAUAAAUUCAAAUCAACUGGUCAUGGCGGCCCCCACGGUAGAACAGCUUUGCAUGCAGCAGCUAUGGCUGGAGAUGCAGGUAUGUUGUUGAGUUAGUUCCUUUUUUAUAUUCAAAUUUUGAAAUAAAUAAAAAGGUCUAUUGACAUUUUUUUUUGCUUGGAUUUAGAGGCAGUAAGGGUAAUAUUAAAGAAGAAGGGGAAUUUGACAAAAGAAAGAGAUGAAGAUGGACACACCCCUCUUCAUUAUGCUGCACACUUUGGUCGUAGAUUCUCAGUUGUGAAAGAACUUUUAAAAUGGGAUGUAUCAGCUGCUUAUAUAGGUGAUAAAAAGAGGGGGAUGACACCCCUUCUUAUGGCCGCCAGGCAAGGUUACCUUGGAACAGUUUCAAAGAUUCUCUCUUUAUGUCCAGAUUGUUCUGAAAAAGUGGACAAGAAAGGUUUGAGUUUACUUCAUUAUCUGGCUUUUAGAGGCUCUUCCUCCCCAAUAGGGCGUUCAGUUUUCAAGUAUGUUUGUAGUGAGAUUGUAUAUGGAUCAUUCAGAAAUCUAAGAAAGUUGGAAGGUGCCUUUGGAAUGACACCUCAAGAAGUUUAUAAUGCACUUCGAUCUGAGAAACAUCAUCAUAAACAGGUGUGUGUAUAUAUAUGGGGCAUUUCCGUGGCUAUGGUUUUAUUAAUAUUUAAGUUGUGAAUUAACAUAUUUAAUAAACCUACAAUACAAUCGGCUAAUGUGGGUGGCAUGGCAGAAGCAAAUCAAAGAAUUGUUGGAAGAAAUUGAGAAUGAUCAAGUGGCGGAGGAACCAGUUUGUCGCUUUCCCAUACAAAAUGUUUCUACAGAAAGUUUGGAGAAGACAAGAGAGGCUCAUUUAAUAGUGGCAGCACUUAUAGCCACCGUCGCAUUCGCAGCGGCAAUAACUAUUCCAGGUGGCUUGCAGAGUGAAAAAGGGUCAGAGCAAGGCACUCCCCUUUUGAUUCAUGAGGCAGCGUUUAAAGCAUUUGUUGUGACAAAUGCAUUGGCCUUUAUUUUAUCUGUUUCUGCCCUCACCACCCACUUUGGGGUUUUGGAUAAUCUAUUAUCAGGAUUUAAAUUUUUUCGUCAAACAGUUUUAUAUCGAACUCAGUCUGUUUCUGGGAUCCUUGGCUAUGCAACGCUGGCAAUGGUGAUUGCUUUCAGCACAGGUAGUUAUGUGGUCUUAAAAUCUUCCCUCAGACUUGCCAUUGUUUCGUAUCUCAUCUGCCCUGCCUUUUUACUCUGUAUUUGGGGAAUUUUGAAUCCUUCAAUGCAUAUGUAAAAUAUAAAUAUGAUAAUAUUACUUUAUCAUUGAUUACAAUGCUGUUCCAAUUCCUAAUAAAAAAAUUAAAAAUUCUUUAUUAAAAAGAUAAUUUUGAGCCUACGAUAAAAAUUAAGAAGAAAGUGUUGCUUACAUGAAAUGAAAGGAAAGUUUUGGCACCUUCACGACACUCAAAAUUGACACUUUGUUAAAUAUGUUUUGUCUACAUUCAUAAAUUAAAAUUCAUAUCUAGGUACUUAAUUAUGAUCCAAAUUUUUGAUAAAUUAAAAACAAAUAUAUUAAAUGAGUGAAUCGGUAAUUUAAUAGCAAAACAAAAAUGAGGAGUAGCAUAUUCAAAAUUCAAGGGCCUUUCUUGAGGUUUUCCAUUUUAUAUUUUUUAUCAUAUAUAAAAGAUAAAAAAGUUAUAAAUUUUGAAGUAAAUAAGAAAACAUUUAGGACCAAAUCAAAUAUUAUCCCAAAGUUCAGAAACAUUCGACUUUAAAAAUUGUGAAAUUAAAUAGAAUAGAAAACAAUAACAUUUCGAAACUAAUAAAAUAUUAACAAAAAUUGGAUCCCAAUUCCACAAAUUAAAACAAGAAUGUAACCCAUCAUUAAUACACAUGAAUUUCAAGAAAACUUAGCUUUGAUUUAUGGUUUGAUUAUUCCACCUUUUACGUAAAAAUUAAGGAUGGUUCAUUAAAUAUCAAAAAAUCAUAAAUUAUAUAAAGUAAGAUUUAUUGGCAUAUUAAUAAAUUUAGCCUUCCAAUCUUUAUAAAUUCCAGUAAUUUGAUCCUAAUUUUAAAAAACAAAUUUGACCUUUAACUUUACACAUUAUGUUAAUUUAAUCUUGAUUCUUAAAAUUUAAAAAAAAUAAAAAAGUUAAAAAUGUAUCUAUAAAAUACAUAUACAAAAUUAUAAAAUACAUACAAAAAUAUAAAAAUAUUUAUAAAUAAAUGAAUACUAAUUUUUUUCUUCAAAGAAAAUCUAGGGUUUAGUCUGAAUGAGUCAAUAUUAACUAACAUGACCAAAUUUUAGUGUGUAACAGUUUUCUGAGCUACCAAACACUGUCUUAGAAUAAAAAGAGAACAUAUGGCAGCAUUAACUUGACCACGAAGAGCUGUAGACCCCAUCUUCUUCCAUUCCUUUCUUUAAUUCUUCUCCUUCUUUGCAGUUUCCUUAAAACCAAAUCUCACCAUAACACGGUUGACCGGUAAUAAUCUACUUAAUGGUGCACUGAUUGCAAUGGUGAUUGCUUUCAGCACAGCCAACUAUGUUGUGUUAAAACCUUCUCACGCACUUACCAUAGCAUCAUGUUUGGUCGGCCCUGCCUUUAUUUUCACUUCUUUACUUACCCUACUAACCCGCAAAUGGAUGUUAAUUCUUGUGUGGAUCUUGGCAUACUUUGUGAAUUUUUUUAUACCCCCCCCCCCAAAUGUAUGUUAAUUAUUAUGUGGAUCCGGUUAUACUUUGGGAAUAUUUUUAUACCAUUUUCAUUGGUUUAAACUUGGCUUUUAGACUGAAAUUGCUUUUGUUUGUGCCUUAUUUUAGUGUUUUUAGAAUUUAUGGUUGUAUUGUUUGUGUUGAUUUUACUUUAACUUUUUUGCUAUUUAGUUGUACAUUACAACUUAAUAGAGUGGGUUUGAAAACCAAAAUUUGGAGAAAUAUUACUUUAAUAUUAAUAAUCUCCAUUUAAUUGAAAUCAAUAUAAAGUUAUUAGUUGAUACACAUACAAUUUCAAAAAAGAUAAAAAAAAUCACAAUUUGUGUAAAUUAAGAUUUAUUAAAUUCAAAGAAUAAUAAAGAUGUUGUAACUAAAUCUGCAUUAUAAUUAAAACAGUUUGACGAAUCAUUGAAAAAUAUGAGAAUUUUAGGUUUAAGAAAAACACAAGGUUUUAUUUAAAAAUGAGAAGUUGCCACCAAUCUAUUUUAUUAGGUGUAAUCAAACACCUAUAAAAUCACAUUUUAAAAAGAAAAUUUUGAGUUUAUAAUAGAAAUCCAUAGAAAAAUAUUUCAGUUCAAGAGUUGGCUACGCAAAAAAUUAAGUUGUAUACUUUUAUGAUAGUAAAAAAAAUUACAAUUCCACCAUUUUGAUAACCUAUGUUUUUAUAAGUUUUAAAUGAUUAAAUCAAAUUUUUAUUCUUUUUGGGUGGCUAAAAUGUAAUUUUACCAAUACUAAUUUAAAAUUUUAUAAAUUAUAAAGGGGCUAGAAGAAAAAUUUUCAAUUUUAGGGAACGCUAGCUUCCCCCCUAAACUCUUAUAUUUCAAUCAUUUCGAACAUUGCACUCUAUUAUAUUUGAUGUCUCAAGAAUCUUAACUUUCAACAAAAUAAACUUUGUUGUGAACGCCAAAAGGGAAUUAAAAAAUGUGACGGAGCUUUCAACAAUUAUGGAAUGAUAUAGUUUUCGUUUGUUUUGAUCAACUUGUAGGUAAUUUCAAUGAAGCAUGUUGCCAGCUAAUUGACAAACAAGUUAAGCAUUUGAAUUUGUAAUAAAAAAUUUUCUCCAUUUUUGAAUGCUUUGAAGCUAAUUAAUUAAAUUUUGUUUGGUGUUAUUAAAAAAUGAUGAAUUUGAUAUAUAUACUGUCGAAACCAUUUUUUUGAAAACAAAAAUUAGUAGUCGACUUAAAAAUGAAAGUUGGAGUCGCCACCGAUAUUUUAUUGAGGUGUGAUCGGAUCACUUUGAAAACGAUUUUAGGUCUACGAAUUUUGAGAAAAUAGGUUCGGGAGUCGGUUACGCACGAGAAAGGGUUAGCACCCUCGUAACGCCCAAAAAUUGGUACCGAAUCGAUUGUUUAAUGUCUUAGUGUCGAAAAUUUGAAAAGAUUUUAAAAUACAAUCCUUUUGACUUGAAUAAAUUGAAUUGAAUAAUAGGACACUCUUAUUUCAAAGAAAUAAAAUGUCAUACCCAGUGAGUUAGGGCGCAAUAUUUUUAAUCUUCAAAAUUAAGUUUGUCUUUUGAAAAACCCAUGCAUUUUGAGAAGGAUAUUUGGUUAUUUGGGUCAAAGGAAAAAUCAAAACCCAGUAAGUUGGGGUUCAGUUUCUCAAAAUUCCUAAACACCAUAUAUUGCUUUUAUUUCAAAAAUCCUUAAUUCUAGGUGGCAAAAUGUCGGAUCCAGUGAGUUAGGAUUCAACAUUUUGAAAUCCCGAAAAAAAAAUUAUUUAAAAUUUGUAUGAUUUUAUUGCAAAAUAAGUACUUGCCUAUUUAAAUUCAUCAAAAAGAAUUGAAGUCCAAUGAGUUAGGACACAAUCCUCUCGAGUUAGUUCUAUUUUUAAAAAAAAAUUUGAAAUAAAUAAAGAACAGGUCUAUUGACAAUUUUUUUUUUUUUGCUUUGAUUUAGAGGCAAUAAGGAUAAUAUUAGAGAAGAAGGGGAAUUUGACAAAGGAAAGAGAUGAAGAUGGACACACCCCUUUUCAUAUUAUGCUACACACUUGGGUUAUAGAUUAUCAGUUGUGGAAGAACUGUUAAAAAGGGAUGUGUCAGUUGCCUAUAUAGGUGAUAAAAAGAGGGGGGAUGACACCCCUUCUUAUGGCAGCCCGCGAAGGUAAUGGUGGAACAAGUGCAAAGAUACUCUCUUUAUGUCCAGAUUGUUGCAAAAAAGUGGACAACAAAGGUUUGAAUUUACUUCAUUAUACGGCUUUUAAAGACUCUGUCUUUCCAUCAGGGAGUUCUGUUUUUAAGCGUGGUGGUGUUGAGAUUGUAUAUGGUUCAGUUAGAAAUCUAAUGGACUUGGAAGGUGCCUGUAAAAUCUAACGAUUUUGCAUUUCCAUGGCUAUGGUUUUAUUAAUAUUUAAGUUUUGAGUUAACAUUUUUAAUAAACCUACAAUACAAUCGGUUAAUAUGGGUGGCAUGACAGAAGCAAAUCAAAGAUUUGUUGGAAGAAAUUGAGAAUGAUCAAGUGGCACAGGAACCAGUUCGUCACUUUCACUUACCAAAUGUUUCUAUAGAAAGAUUGGAGGCUAUAAGAAAUACUCAUUUAAUAGUGGCAGCACUUAUAGCCACCGUCACCUUCGCAGCGGCAAUAACUGUUCCUGGUGGUUUGGAGAGUGAAAAAGGGUCUAAGCAAGGCACUCCCUUUUUGAUUCAUGAGGCAGCCUUUAAAACAUUUGUUGUAACAAACACAUUGGCCUUUAUUUUCUCUGUUUCUGCCUGUUGGGAUUUAGACAAUGAUAGAUGAAGGUUAACAGAAGCUUGAGCAACAAUGCUAUAUGUUUGCUGGUGAAAAUAAACAGAAUCGGGCUUGGGAGCAAAGAAAAUGAAAAACAAGAAAACAGAGAGUUUUGGAUGAAAUUUUCAAAAUGAUUUCAUUAACAUUGAAUGAAGGCACAAAGCCAAUACAUAUACCAGACAUUUAGCUGGUCAAAUCAAAACAAAUUGUCACCUAACAUUACCUACUAUCACUAAGUAACAUUGGAACUUACAAAAACAUUGCUUGCACACAUAGGUAUACUAAUUUAUCAAUUCAUCAAUAUCUAAUUACAUCAAAACAAUAUCAACUUAGUUCAAAUCUGACUAAAUUACAAAGCAAUAUUUAAGGUAACAAAACGGAAUGAAAUACAAUAGCAGUAAUGUGCUUCAGCAGCUGCAGGCAUACUUCAUGUGCUGUAAGUGCAGCUUGAUUUGCUUCUUCAUACUUCAUGUGCUGUAAAUGCGGUAUGCAGGCCAACUUCAACACUCCUCAUUGGCUUGCAUGCUGCAUACUCCCAUUUUGGCUCUCAAAUGCACGAACCUUGACACACUAAGAGGCUUUGUUAAGAUAUCAGCAAAUUGUUCCUUAGAAUUGCAAUUAAUCAGCUUCACUUCUUGAGCUUGCUCCAUCUCUCUAACAAAGUGAAAUUUGAUCUUGAAGUGUUUCAUUCUCUCAUGGAACACUGGAUUCUUUGCAAUUGUAACAGCAGAUUGGUUGUCAUAAUUGAUCUCUGCUGCUUCCCUUUGGUGCAGAUUCAAAUCAGCCAUGAUUUUUCUUAGCCAAAUGGCUUGAUUGACAGCAUUAGCAGGUGCUACAUAUUCUGCUUUAGCAGUUGAUUGAGCAACAACAUUUUGCUUCUUUGAAUUCCAACAAAAAAUGGCUGAUCCAAGAGUAAAAACAUACCCUAAGGUACUCUUCAUGUCAUCUAUCGAUCCAGUCCAAUCACUAUAAGCAUAACCAACCAAUUUCAUACUUUUAGCUUUGCUAAAUAGCAUUCCAUAGCUCAGUGUACCUUUGAUGUACCUAAGAACUCUUUUGGCAGCUUGAAAGUGCUUUUCAUUGCAGCAAUGCAUGAAUCUAGAUAGUAUGCUUACAGCAAACAUGAUGUCUGGUCUAGUGGCAGUAAGAUAUAGCAAACAACCUACCAAGCUCCUAUAGACAGAUUCACUAACCUACUCAAAGUCACAUUGGCUCGAUAGUUUCUCUCCAAUGGCAACUAGUGUGUUUGUUGCCUUGCAAUUUUGCAUGGAGAAUUUGUUCAGAAUCUUGGAGACAAAAGCCUUCUGACUUAGGAAGAUUCCAUGCUGUGUUUGAGUCGCUUCCAUACCAAAAGAAGUAAGACAUUUGCCCUAAAUCUGACAUCUCGAACAUCUGUUCCAUCUUGACUUUGAAAACUUUGAAAUCAGCUAGCAUUUCAUGAUCUCCUCCAGUUACUAGCAGGUCAUCAACAUAUAGGGACACUAUUAGUUGAGUUUUACUACCUUGCUUCUUCACAUACAAGGUAGGUUCACUGAUGCUUCUUUAAAAUCCAAGGCUAGCUAGGUAGCCAUCGAUCCUGCUAUACCAGGCUCUUGGUGCUUGUUUCAAACCAUACAAGGCUUUCUUCAGUUUGUACACCUUGUCCUCUUCACCUGCCACUUUAAAACCUUCAGAUUUCUCAACAUAGAUUUCUUCAUCAAGAAAACCAUUGAGGAGUGCUGAUUUUACAUCAAGUUGAUAAAUUUUCCACUGCAUUUGUGCUGCUAAGGCAACUAGCAGUCUUAUGGUGUCAAGCCUAGCUACUGGUGCAAAGGUCUCAAAGUAGUCAAUGCCGUACUUUUGGCUGAACCCUUUUACAACCAGCCUUGUUUUCAGUUUGUUCAAGCCUCCAUCAGCAUUUUUCUUGGCUCGAAACACGCAUUUCACCCCAAUGACCUUUCUAUUUGUUGGUCUCUCAACUAGCUGUCAGGUCUGAUUAUUUUCAAUCAUUCUGAUUUCAUCAGCCAUUGCCUGUUUCCAUCCUUUUUGAGCUUCAACUUCUUCGAAGCAACUUGGUUCAACUGCAGCCACUUGAGCUCUUUCAUAAAUCUCAGCCAAUGGUCUAAUGCCCCUGACUGAUUCAUCAUCAAUGUCUAUUUCAAGACCAUUCUGAUCAACUUCAGUCUGAUCUGUCAAUAAAUCUUCAGAGACUGCCUCUGGUUCAUUCUUUUCCCAAUUCCAACUUGAAUUCUCAUCAAAGACUACAUCUCUGCUCACAAGCACUUUGUUGCAUGAAGGAUCCAGGAUUCUGUAGCCUUUCUUUAUACUGCUAUAACCCACCAGGAUGCCAGGUUAGGAUGCAGUGGUUUUCUUAUGAUUGAACGCACAUUAAGUUUCAUAGUUCACUUCUAUUUUAUUUCCAUCUUUAUAGAUAAUCCACCAGGUUAAGAUGCAGACUCGGCAUACAGAGGACUCAACUCGGGUUUUAUAUAUUAAAAUAUUUUGGAUUUAUUAUUCAAAAUUUUUCGUUAUUCAAGAACUAGAAUAUCUUAUUUAAAUCAUGGCAUGAGACUUAAGUUUUUGUUUAAUUUAUCAUGUAUGACAUUUAACUUAAUUUAAUAUAUUAUUUUUAAUUAAUUAAGCAUGAAAUAUGAUUUUAAUAAAAUUAAGUCGAAAAUCAUUUUUCCAUUGCUAAAUUAUAAUUUAGUAUUGAGUUGUAAAUAAAUCGAAAUUUUUUUAACUAAUUUUCAAUCUCAUGUUUUAUACUGAAAAUAAGCUAAGUUUUCUAUAUUUUAAAUCGGUCAUUUUUUAAACUUUGAUCGCUACUAGGCCAUUUCGGUGGCCGAUGUAUUCUUUCAAAUUUGGAUCUAAUGUAUAGGCUUAGUUGAAGAGGUUACAACAAGAUGCAAGAUUAAUGUUGUUUUGUUUGAAGUUUAAAAUUAGUAAAACACAUAGCAAGGAUAACAUUAGUUGUUGGAGAUUAUGGUGUGCCAAAAUGUUGAAGUAGGGAAUUUGACAAAGGAAAGAGAUGAAGAACUGUUAAAGGGAUGGAGGGGGAUGUCACCUCAACAAGUUUAUGAUGCACUUCGAUAUGAGUCAUCACGAGAAUUAUCAGUGUGAAAAGGUGUGUGUAUUUUUAUGACCAAGGGCUAUGGUUUUUUUAAUAAUUGGGUUUUGAAUUAACAUAUAUAUAUAUAUAUAAACCUACAUUACAAUACAAUCGGCUAAUGUGGGUGGCAUGCCAUAAGCAAAUUGAAGAAUUGUUGAAAGAUAUUGCACUUGAAGAAGUAGCCAAGUUACCAUUUUUUCACAUUCCCUUAUUAACUGUCUCUGCAGAAAGCUUGGAGAAGACGAGAGAUAUUCAUUUAGUAGUGGCGGCACUUAUAGCCACUGUGGCAUUCGUAGCAACCAUAACUGUUCCAAGUGAUUUCAAGGGUGAAAAAAGGUCAGAGCGGGGAACUCCUUUUCUAAUUUACGAGGCAGCCUUUAAAGCAUUUGUUAUGCAUUGGCCUUUAUUCUCUUUGUUUUUGCCAUCUCCAUCCACUUUGGAAUUCUGGAUCCUCUUUUAUCAAAAAUAAAUUAUUGAGAUAUUAAUAUAAUUUUAUAUUAAACCCAGUUCAUGUCUAAUGUCCUUGGUGAUUGCUUUCGACACAUGUGGUUAUGUGAUUUUAAAACCUUCUCAUAGACUUGCAUAUUGUUUCAUCUGCCCUGCCUUUUUUGUUCAAUUCUUCUCCUUAUUUGCCAAGUAUUUUCUUUACAGUUUCCUUAAACCCAAAUUUCAUCGUAAAAAACUCCUCCUUUAUUGACCUGACCUCUAACCAGAGAUUUUCGUUUUGUUUAAAGUAAAAUUAUAAAGUUAAUAAAGCACAACGCAAGAAUAGUACUUAGGGCAGCAUUGCCUUGACCACGAAGAGCUGUACACCCCAUUUUCUUCCCUUCUUUUUCUUCAAUUCUUCUCCUUCUUUGCCAAGUGUUUUCUUUACAGUUUCCUUAAACCCAAAUUUCACCAUAAAACCUCCUACUUUAUUGACCUAACCUCUAACCCUAUAUAUUACUAUUACUAAAGUGUUCAAGUAUGAAUAUAGUUGUAGGUGACUUGAAUGGAGGAUAUGCAAGCAACAAACAAAUAGGUAUGGCAUUUGGUAAAUUUCUUAAUUUGCAGGUUUUUUUUCUUGAGUUUGGGAUGUUUCAAGAUAAUUAAUUAAAUUUUGUUUGGUGUUAUCCAGGUAGAAAUAGAUCAACAAAAAUGGGACCUCAGGAGCCUGAACAGAACAUCAGUCACAUGGAUGCUUCGCUCUAUAAGGCAGCAGCAGAAGGCAACAUUGAAGUAUUCAAUAAUAAGCAGGGACUUCAACUUGAGUCGCUAAAGACCCCAAACCAUAACAACGUCCUCCAUGUUAACUUGGCAACCCAGGAGACUGCCGCCUGGCUUUUAAACAGAUUUCACUCAUCCGAUCCGGUUAUGAGUUUUUUCAUUACUAUGAUAAAAAGAGAAAAAAGAUCAGAUUUUAUCGAACAAAUUCUCAGCAAGUGUCCGUCACUGCUACUCCAAACGAAUGCUAAAGGUCAAACUCCUUUACACGUUGCAGCAAGGAAUGGACAUUCUGCUAUUGUGAAACUUCUAAUCAAGUUUUGCGCAAAAGCUAGAGAUGGAGAUUUAGAGAAGCUGGGAAUGGAUCAAGUAAAUGCAGUGAGGGAGAUGCUGAGGAUUACGGAUCAGGAAUCCAACAUGGCUUUACACGAAGCAGCACGUUGUGGCAAUGUUGAAGUGGCGAAAGCAUUGUUGGAGUUUGAAGACCCUGAUUUUCCGUAUUCUGCCAACAAAAAACAGGAGACUCCACUUUACAUAGCAGCUAGGAGGAGAGGAUCUGGGCGCUUGUUGACUCUAUUAUUAGAUAAACUCAAAUCAACUGCUCAUGGCGGCCCCCACGGUAGAACAGCUUUGCAUGCAGCAGCUAUGGCUGGUGAUGCAGGUAUGUUGUUGAGUUAGUUCCAUUUUUUUUUUAAAAUUUUGAAAUAAAUAGAGAACAGGUCUAUUGAGUUUUUUUUUUGCUUGGAUUUAGAGGCAAUAAAGGUAAUAUUAAAUAAGAAGGGGAAUUUGACAAAGGAAAGAGAUGAAGAUGGACACACCCCUCUCCAUUAUGCUUCACACUUGGGUAAUAGAUUGUCAGUUGUGAAAGAACUGUUAAAAAGGGAUGUAACAGCUGCCUAUAUAGGUGAUAAAAAGAGGGGGAUGACACCCCUUCUUAUGGCAGCCAGGCAAGGCCAUAUUUUAACAGUUUCAAAGAUUCUCUCUUUAUGUCCAGAUUGUUGUGAAAAAGUGGACAACAAAAGUUUGAAUGUACUUCAUUAUCUGGCUUUUAGAGACUCUCCCUCUCCAUUUGGGAAUUCUGUUUUCAAGAGUGGUGAUAUUGAGAUUGUAUACGGAUCAGUCAAAACUCUAAUGGAGUUGGAAGGUGCCUUUGGAAUGACACCUCAAGAUGUUGAUAAUGCAGUUCGAUCUCAGAAACAUCAUCAUAAACAGGUAGUUGUGUGUACAUUUUACAUUUCUAUAGCUAUGGUUUUAUUAAUAUUUAAAAUUUUGAAUUAACAUAUUUAAUAAACCUAUAAUACAAUGGGCUAACGUGGUGCCAUGGCAGAAGCAAAUCAAAGAAUUGUUGGAAGAAAUUGAGAAUGAUCAAGUGGCGGAGGAACCAGUUCAUCACUUUACCGUACCAAAUAAUUCUAUAGAAAGUUUGGAGAAGACAGGAAAUGCUCAUUUAGUAGCUGCAGCUCUUAUAGCCACCGUCGCAUUUGCAGCAGCAAUAACUGUUCCUGGUGGUUUGGAGAGUGAAAAAGGGUCAAAUCGAGGCACUCCCAUUUUGAUUCAAGAGGCAGCCUUUAAAGCAUUUGUUGUAACAAAUGCAAUGGCCUUUAUUUUCUCUGUUUCUGCCCUCACCACCUACUUUGGGAUUCUGGAUCAUCUUUUUACACGAUCUAUUUUUUGGCGUGAAGCAAUAAUUUUAAAUCGAACUUGGUCUGUUUCUACGCUCCUUAGCUCUGCAACGCUUGCGAUGGUGAUUGCUUUCAGCACGGGUAGUUAUGUGGUCUUAAAACCUUCCCACGAACUUGCCAUUGUUUCAUAUCUCAUAUGCCCUGCCUUUUUACUUUGUAUGUGGGCAGCUUUGUUUGUAAUUUUGACUCGUUCAAUACAUAUUUAAAAUAUAAAUAUGAUAAUAUUACUUUAUGGAUUAUUACAAUGUUGUUUCAAUUAUUAUAAAUUCAAAAAUAUUUUAUUUUCUUUUAAUAGUUUUUCAAAUAUUAAAUAUAUAAUGCAAAAAUAUAUAUAUUUUGUUUCUCAUGAAAAAUAGAUAUCAAUCAUGCAUUUCAAGUUUUCAUUAUUGAAAACAAAAUUUUAUUUCUAGUUAUCAAAUUUGAUUUUAAAUUUUCAAAAAAUAGAAAAUAAAAAUAUUUUCAGAAACCUAACGAAGCUUAACUUUUUUUUUUUUGGGUUAGUAUACCAUUUGGUAUUUGAGUUAAUUUCAAUGUUCAAUUUGAUACUUAAGUUCGACUUCAAUAUUUAAUUUGAUAUCUAAACCAAACGAUUUCAUAAGGCCUAAUAAAUAUUUGACAGGUCUACUCUAAUAAACAAGCAUGGGUAUUCUAAUUGAGACAAAAGAAAAAAAAAAGAAAAAGAAGCUCAAGUAUUAAAUUGAACUUUUUUAAAGUUAAACUCGGAUACUUAACUAUGACAAAAAGAAACUCAAGUAUCAACGUGAAAAAAAAUUAAGUACAAAAUCGAACAUUCAAACCAAAUUCAUAUACAAAAUUAUAAAAAAUAAUCUUUUAAUAUUAAAUUAAAAUUUGAAGUGAAAUUCAAGUAUCAAAUAAUAUAUUAACUCUUCUUUUUUUUUUUGUUAAAUCCUCACCUUGAAAAAAAGCUAAGGUUAUUUGUUUUACAUUUACAACUUAAAAUUUUCAUAUAAAUAGAUUCUGUAUUUAUAAAAAUCUAUUUUUAUUAAAGGUUAAAUAAGAUUUAAGUGGUGUGUUGUUUUAAAGUUCACAAAUUUUUAUUUAAAAUAAUUACAUAAAAAUAAAAAACUCAAAAUUUCACACUAACAAUAUAAAGUUAAAAAAUCACACAUAAAAAAUAGCAUUGCUAAAGAUUCUGCUUUACUAAAUUGUUUAAGUAAGGAAUUAUACAUGCCAUGGUGCUUUCUUUGUAGCAAUGAUCUCUUUGGAUGGAUGAUGCGUUUAUUUACGGUUAGUGUAAAAAUAACGAUAUAAUACUCCAAACCCGGUCUAGAUGUUAUGGCCGAAUAUGGAGGACUUACAUUAGUUUGUUUUAAAACUCUUGAUUUAAUCAAACUUAGUUGUGCGUUUCAAAAACAAAAAACUUGGUGGAACUCUCACAAACGUUCAGAAAAACUUAAGUCCGAAAACACUUAUUUCAAACUCAGAAAUUUAGUUCAAUUUCAUUUGUUUCAAAAGCACCAAUUUUGGAUAAAUCGUUUCCGGUUAAUGCCAAAAUUUGUUAAAAACUAUUUAUUUAUUUACAGAAAAACACUUAAGAGUAAUUUAAUUUGCAGUGGAAAAUUUUUCAAAAUAAUUUUAGCUUUGAAAACCCUAAUCUAAUUUGCUAACCCAUGUGAUUUUAUAGUUUUAAGAUAAAAAAUAUCAAAAAAAUCAACGAACGAAACGAAAACCAAAACACAACUGAAAAAUAGAUUACAGUCCCAAAAUUAAUUAAAACAUAAACCAACAUAUUUCAUUUAACGACUGGUAACCAAUCCAAGCUCCCGCACGCCGUCCGGUUCUAAGUCUGAAGUUUACCUAAAACAUAUUAAACAAACAAGUGAGUUAGAAGCCUAGUGUGUGACCUGACCCACAAACAGAGUUUUCUUAUAAGUUUUGCAUAAACAAUAAUCACAUUGAAAUAUCGUAUCGUAUUACAUAUUAAAGCAUGUCAUGUAAUGUAUCGGAAAUUAUCACAUAUCAUAUUUGAAUGUCAUAAUUUUAAAAACAUAUAUCAGAACAAAAUUUCAUAAUAAACACAUUCUCUUAUACAAAAUUAAUUAUAUGUGUGUUCAGAUUCAAAUAUAAAUACAGACACAAAUCCUACCUCCAUUCGCAACACACCAAAUAGGACUACAAGAGUUCAUCCAUCCAAUCACACCAAUAUGUGGCGGUGUGCCACUCAUAAAUAUGUAGCUAAGCUUCUAUAUAGAAAUUUGCAAUCUAGUCGCCAUAUAUUUGCAAUAAAAACUGCCAUAUAACACUUCUUCUAUUAUAUCAUAACCCACCUCAAUGCAUAUGCAAAAUCACGUUAACAUUCAUACAUAUAUCAUAGAUUGUAUGGCAUGCAUGCAUAAAUAGAUAUUAUACAAAGCAUAAUGCAACACAUAACUUAUACAGAUCAUAACAUAUUGAGAUUAUGCUCCACACAAAGGUUGCAAUUUUUUCGUGGAAGAACUGUUAAAAAGAGCUGUAUCAGCUGCCUAUAUAAGUGACAAAAAGAGGGGGAUGACACCCCUUGAUUAAGUGCUAAAGUUACAUAUUUUAUGUAAUUGAAUUGGUUAAUUUAUGAGAGUGCACCGCUAAUUUUUCCAUGUUUACAUUAAAUUUUGUGCAGAGAUGCAAUUUGGGGCUAAAUAGAAGAAAAAUGAAACAAUUGGGCUAAAUUGAAGAAAGAAGCAAAGAAGGAGGGCCAAAGCAAAAUUUUCCCAAUAUUAAUUAGCUGAAAUUUUUGUUGACUUAGUGGGAGAUUAUUUUGGGAUUUUAUUUUAUAUCAUGGAAUAUUUUUCCAAGGCCACUAGUAUAAAUAGAGGCUACUUUGUUCAUUUUAUUCAUCAAUCAAUCAAUCAAAAUAUUAAGCUUUCAUCUUUCAAUACAUUUUCUCUCUUCCUGUCACGAAUUCAUUUGCUGCUUUUAGUUUCUUUUCCUUCAAUUUAUUAAUUCCUAGUAGCCACCAACUUAAGCCAUUUGCAAUCCCUUUUUCAAAUUCCCUUUUUAUUUUCAGUAGCCAACCACCCAUUUACCUUAUUUAAUUUAUCCAAUAGUCAACAUGCCCCAAACCAUAGUUAACUAAACCCAUUUUCAGCUUUAGGUCGGAAUUAACCUCGUCAAAACCCGUGAGUUACGAACCCGAGCAAUUUAACUCUUAAAUUCCAGUACUUAUUAUUUCUCCGGAUUAAGAGUAUGAUUUUUUCAACUCACAAAGUCAAACCAACAUUAAGUCAAAAAAGACGUCGUUUGAUUUAGUGUGGUUAGACGUACAGUUGAAAUUCCGAAAGGAACGUUUCUAAUCGGUUUUCUGUGAACACAUUGGCGUGCCAAGUAGAGAUUGCUGUUUGGUUCCGUCAAGGGAAGUAGUAACCAGAUUUAAAUGUCCCACGCGGUUGAGGGCAUUGGUUCGAGCUAGGCUCUUCUAGAACGCAAAGCUGCCGGAGUUCUAAAUUACGAACGUUUCGUGGUUGUUCGAUCGAUAAGGGUUAGUUAUUGGACGUUCCAUAACUAAUUUAUAGAAGGAAGAGUUGGUGUCCGAGGCAUCCUUGGUAGCUAUAACUAGCUUAUUGGAAAAGAGGAGUUCAUCUAAUUUCGAGGAUCGGUUCAAAGACGAGGAAAAAUCCGUGCCUAAAGCUGAGCUUUUUUUAAUUAAUUCCCCUUCAGAUUUUAUUUAACUAUUUUUAUUAUUUUGUCUUCAAGUUUUACUUUUUACGUUUUUUUUAUUUAUUUAUUUCAAGUUUCAGAUUUUAUCCUCCCGAAUUUCUUGGGCACGACAACUGCCCCGACAAAAAUCUGGUCAAGAGAAGAACAAUUUGCAGUAAACUCAGUCUCUGAGGGAUCGACCCUACUCCCUAGACUACUUAAAAUGCAAAUUAGGCAUAUGUUUAUAUUGGUGGAUUUGACACCCAUCACUCCUUCUUAUGGCUGCCAAGCAAGGUUAUCUUUUAACAGUUUCAAAGAUUCUCUCUUUAUGUCCAGAUUGUUGUGAAAAAGUCGACAACAAAGGUUUGAAUUUACUUCAUUAUCUGGCUUUUAGAGGCUCUUCCUCUCCAUUAGAGUGUCAUCUUUUCAAGCUUGGUGGUAUUGGGAUUGCAUAUGGAUCGGUCAGAAAUUUAAUGGAGUUGGAAGGUGCCUUUGGAAUGACACCUCAAGAAGUUUAUAAUGCACUUCAAUAUGAGAAACAUCAUCAUAAACAGGUUUAUAAUCAAUGAUUUUUUAUAUCUCAUCCGCACUUCAUUUUGGUGGCCUCCUCCACAUGGAUGGUUAAAGUUUAAUGUGUGUGGGAUUGCUAAAGAAGAUAGAGCAGGUUGUGGAGGUGUCUUGAGAGAUAAGGAGGGUGUCGCAAGAGCAUUAUUUUCUGGUUCAGUAGCAGCAAAUGAUGCCAAUGUGGCUGAGAUUGGUGCAGUGAAGAUUGCUCUGUAAGUAUUUUUUUAGUUAUGAACUGGAAGAUUAAUGAUUCUUUAUUUAUUGAACUUGGUUCAUUGGUGGUGUUUUCUUGGUGUGCUAACAAGGUAAUGAGACCAUGGUCUCUUCAAGCAAUUUUUGCAGGUAUUGAAAAUGACAUGUUAAAGGCUGGAAAUGUUGUAUUCUCAUUGGCGGAUAAGAAAGGUAACGAGAUGGCAUCUUCCUUGGCGAUUGCAGGUUAUAAUCGGGUGAAAAUGUUUAAAGCUUGGUGAUGAAUUUUUGUUUUGUUGCAUUCAUAGGUUUAUUAGAGUUGGAAUGCGUUUUAAUUUUGAUUGCUGUAAUACUGAAAUUUUUGUUGUUGUUCUGUUCGUCUUUGACAACAGUACAGCUGGAAUGAAGAAAAAAAAAAAAAAAAGAAAAACGAAUGUUACCUCUUUGAAUAAGCAUUACUUUGAUUUUCAGUUAUAAUUAAAAAUUAGUUUGACAAAUCAUUUAAAAAUAUAAGAAUAAGAUUAAGAAAAAUACAAAGUUUUAUUUAAAAGUGGGAAGUCGUCCUCAACUUUUUUAGUUAGCUUUAAAAAGAUAAAAUUGAGUUUAUAAUAUAAAUUCAAAGAAAAAUGUUUAGGUUAGAGAAUUCGUUAGCACCCUUGUGACGCCAAAAAUUGGGCACCUUAUUAAAUAUGUGUUGUCUACAUUCGUAAAUUAAAACUCAUAUCUUGGUUUUGAUUAUGAUCCAAUUUUUUGAUAAAUUAAAAAUAAAUAUUAAAUGAGUGAAUCAAUUUUUUAAUAGCAAAACAAAGAUAAUGAUCAAGUUGUAGCAUUUUCAAAAUUCAGGGGCCUUUUUUGAGAUUUUCCAUUUAUUUUUCAUCAUGUUUAAAAGAGAAGUUAUAAAUUUUGAAGUCAGUAGCCCAAUAUUUAUUAAACAUUAAUUGCGCCCAAAUCAAAUAUUAGCUCAAAGUUCAGAAACAUUCGAAUUUUAAAAUUGUGAAAUUACAUUUAAUAGAAAGCAAUAACAUUUCAAAAACUAAUAAAUAUCAACAAAAUAAAAUUUGAUAUUAUCAUGUAAGCUGCUAUUUUCAAGAAUUUAAUGUUUUAGUCAAUGUUUUCGUUAAAAAAAAUCAAUUUGAUUCCUUUUGAAAGGUUUAUGAACUAAAUUCGACUCUUUUUUGAAAAGAUUUAGGACCAAAUUUAGCUCAAGAAAAGAAUAAGGGUUAAAUUUAGCUCAAAAAAAGAAUAAGGGCUAAAUUGAUAAAAAUAAAUUAUACAUAAAUACUAAGGGCUAAUUUUUUUUAUUAUGCCUACUAAGGGCUAAUUUUGUUAUUAUGCCUAAUGAAAAUUAAGAACUCAAUUUAAGUACUUAUAAAAUCUAUUUGAUAUAUUUCUUAAAAUACAGAACAUUAUUAGAUUGUUUGAUAAAUGUAAUUCUUAAAUUUUAAAAGUAAAGUAUUUAAAAUUUAAUGUUAAAAGAAAUAAAAUACAAAAGAAAAUCUAUCAAUAGUCUAUUAUUUACUUAUCAUUUUUCAUAUUUUUUUCGUUGAAAAAUUCUGUACUUUGAUUUGUCACUCAUUAUCAAUGGCUCUACUUUCUCCAAAUUUGUCUAAAAAUGGGUUUAAAAAUUUGUCUAAGCCUUACUUGAAAGAAAAUUGUUAAGCCUGAGCCCGGCCCAUAUUAAAUUUUACAACAUCAAAAAAGGUAUAUAUUUAAUAUAUAUAUAUUUGAUUAAAAGUAUAUUUGAUUAAAAAUAAAAAAAUAUUUAAUAUAUAAUUUGGGUCGGGCCGGGCUCGGGUCAAAAAAAGUUUUACAAGAACCCCGCCCGUUUUCUAAACGGACCUCAUUUUUUUGCCCAAACUCAUAUUUCAGGCCUAUAUUUUUACCCGAACUCUCCCAUUUUUCGAGCAGGCCGUCGGGCCGGGAUGGACCACUCAACCCAUGAUCACCUCUACAUACAGGGCGACGAAAUUUAUUUUUUGAGAGGGUGGAAAUUAAGUUGAAAUUAAGUUGUAUACUUUUAUGAUAGUAAAAAAAUGUAAUUCCAUCCUUUUAAUAGUUUAAAUUUUUAUAAUAUUUAAAAGAUUAAAUUAAGUAUUUAUAAUUUUUAGAAGGUCAAAAUGUAAUUUUAUCAUUAUUAAUUUAAAAUUUUAUAAAUUAUAGAUAGGUUAAAAAGAGAGACCUAUCGUACCCUUGGCUGCACCCCUAAACCCAUAGGUUUUCAUCCAACUUUGAAAGUCCUUUCAAGCUUUCCAAUCUAUUAUAUUUGAUGUCUCAACGAUCCUAACUCUCGACCAAAUAAUCAUUUCCACUAUUUUUAAGCUAAUAUACUUAGGAUUGAGGUAGAAUAAGGACAUAGUGAAUUCCAAAAGUAAAUUAAUUUUUAAAGGGAUUUAAGCCUAAUUCAUUUUGUGUCAAGUCUACAGUAUUAUUAGUUCAUAUUAACACAUCUCUCUCUUUACUUGAAAGUUAAUCCUAUUCCGGCAAUCAAGAUAAAUUAUCUCUCCUUAUUAGAUUUUAGACAACAUAAUAAUUUUUAUAUAAAUUUCUCUCUCUUCGUAAUUCUAUAGAUUAUAAGUCAUGUAUUUAGAUUACCGACUAAUGAAAGUUGUAUUUUGCAUACAAAACUAAAUUUGUGAUGCAACUUCGAAUUAAUUUAACAGAGGAAAAGAAGAGGAGUGCGGCAGCCAUGCAGCAACGACCAAAGCCAAAGAGAAGGCGGCUUCCACACAAUUUCUUGACUUUUCUUGUGUUUCUCGUCCAUACAAUUAUUUUAUAUUCUAGUAGCACAUUUUCAUUUUGUUUCCCUUGUAAAUAUUUAAAAAUAUAUAAAUCUAAUUAUUUACAUGUUUGAUAAAUAAAUUGUUUGUAUAAAAAAAGUGAAUUUUAAAAUUAAAAUUCGUUUAUAUAAUUAAACAAAUUAAAAUUUAUGUCCAUAUUACAAAUUAAAUUAAAAUUAAUACAUGAUUUUGAUAUUUAUUUCUUUGCAUUUUCGAGAAAAUGUAUUGACUUCACCAAAAAGAGCUGGAGAGCUCAUUUUCUUCCAUUCUUCUCCUUCUUUGCAGUUUCCUUAAACCCAAAUUUCACCAUCAAAAACUCCUACUUUAUUGACCUCACUUCUAACCCUAUAUCACUAUUACUAUUACUAUUACUAAAGUGUUCAACUAUAUAUAGUUGUCAUUUGUAGUUGACUUGAAUGCAGGAUUUGCAACUAACUGGUAUGGCAUUUGGUAAAUUUCUGAUUUUGCAGCACUUUUUUCUUGAGCUUCGAAUGUUUCAAGCUAAUUAAUUCAAUUUUGUUUGGUGUUAUCCAGGAAGAAAUAGAUCAACAAAAAUGGGACCUGAAGAGCCUGAACAGAACAUCACUCACAUGGAUGCUUCGCUGUAUAAGGCAGCAGUAGAAGGCAACAUUGAAGAAUUCAAUAAUAAGCACGGGCUUCAGCUUGAGUCGCUAAAGACCCCAAACCAUGACAACGUGCUCCAUCUUAACUUGGCAACCCAGGAGAAUGCUACCUUGCUUUUUAACAUAUUUCUCUCAAUAAUCAAAUUCUUCCCCUUACUAUAUGGAUGCUUCUCUCCGCCUAUGCGUGAUUUAAUUACUAUUAUAAGAGGAGAAAGAAGAUCGGAUUUUAUCGAACAAAUUCUCAGCAAGUGUCCGUCAAUGCUACUCCAAACGAAUGCUAAAGGCCAAACUCCUUUGCACGUUGCAGCAAGGUAUGGACAUUCUGCUAUUGUGAAACUUCUAAUCAAGUCUUGUGCAAAAGCUAGAGAUGGAGAUUUAGAGAAGCUGGGAAUGGAUCAAGUAAAUGCAGUGAGGUGGAUGCUGAGGAUUACGGAUCAGGAAUCCAACACGGCUUUACAUGAAGCAGCACGAUGUGGCAAUGUUGAAGUGGUAAAAGCAUUGUUGGAGUUUGAAGACCCUGAUUUUCCGUAUUCUGCCAAUAAAAAACAGGAGACUCCACUUUACAUAGCUGCUAGGAGAGGAGACGGAGGCAUGCUGAGUAUACUAUUAGAUAAAUUGAAAUCAGCAGCUCUUGGCGGCCCCCACGGUAGAACAGUUUUGCAUGCAGCAGCUAUGGCUAGAGAUGCAGGUAUGUCGUUGAGUUAGUUCCAUUUUUGUUUUAAUUUGAAAUAAAUAAAGAACAGGUCUAUUGACAUUUUUUUUGCUUGGAUUUAGAGGCAAUAAGGAUAAUAUUAGAGAAGAAGGGGAAUUUGACAAAGGAAAGAGAUGAAGAUGGGCACACCCCUCUUCAUUAUGCUGCACACUUGGGUUCUAGAUUCUCAGUUGUGGAAGAACUGUUAAAAUGGGAUAUAUCAGCUGCCUAUAUAGGUGAUAAAAAGAGGGGGAUGACACCCCUUCUUAUGGCAGCCAGGCAAGGCUAUCUUGGAACAUGUUCAAAGAUUCUCUCUUUAUGUCCAGAUUGUUGCGAAAAAGUGGACAACUAUGGUUUGAAUUUACUUCAUUAUGCGGCUUUUAGAGACUCUGUCUUUCGAUUUGGGAGUUCUGUUUUUAAGCGUGGUGGUGCUGAGAUUGUAUAUGGAUCAGUUAGAAAUCUAAUGGAGUUGGAAGGUGCCUUUGGAGUCACACCUCAAGAAGUUUAUAAUACAGUUCGAUCUAUGAAACAACAUCAUAAACAGGUGUGUGUGUAUAUAUAUUGCAUUUCCAUGGCUAUGGUUUUAUUAAUAUUUAAGUUUUGAAUUAACAUAUUUAAUAAACCUACAAUACACUCGGUUAAUGUGGGUGGCAUGACAGAAGCAAAUCAAAGAAUUGUUGGAAGAAUUGGAGAACGAUCAAGUGGCAGAGGAACCCGUUUGUAAGUUUCGCUUACCAAAUGUUUCUACAAAAAGAUUGGCGGCUAUAAGAAAUACUCAUUUAAUAGUGGCAGCACUUAUAGCCACCGUCACCUUCGCAGCGGCAAUAACUGUUCCUGGUGGUUUGGAGAGUGAAAAAGGGUCAAAGGAAGGCACUCCCUUUUUGAUUCAUGAGGCAGCCUUUAAAGUAUUUGUUGUAACAAACGCAUUGGCCUUUAUUUAUUCUGUUUCUGCCCUCUGCAUCUACUUUGGGGUUCUGGAUAAUCUAUUAUCAAGAUUUAAUUUUUGGCGUGAAACAAUUUUACAUCGAACUAAAGCUGUUUCUGGGCUUCUUGGCUAUGCAACAAUCGCGAUGAUGAUUGCUUUCAGCACAGGCAGUUAUGUGGUCUUAAAACCUUCCCACGGACUUGCCAUUGUUUCAUAUCUCAUAUGCCCUGCCUUCUUUUUCAUUCUGCAUUGGACUAUUUUUGAUUACUAUAUUAAGAGGAUAUUAUUUUAUCGUUGAUUACAAUAUGUUUCCAAUUCCUAAUGUCAAUGUUACCUCUUUGAAGAAAUAUUACUUUAAUAUUAAUAAUCUCCAUUUAAUUGAAAUCAAUAUAAAAUUAUUAGAUACACAUACAAUUUCAAAUAAAGUAAAAUUUAUUAAAUAUCAAAGAAUAAUAAAGAUGUGGCAAUUAACUCUCGGUUAUAAUUAAAAAUUAGUUACAUUAUAAUAAAGACAAUGAGAUUAAAAAAAAAUUCAAAGUUUUUGUGCAUUAGACUUUCAACAUUGUAACUUUAGCAUUUCGACUAUAACUUAAACUACGAAUCUCUAUUUUGAGCCCAUAAUAUAGUAAACUACUUCACAAAUCAAGCACCAAAACCUCAAGAAUGCAUCCAAAAAUAGCCUGGAAGUUUGACGUGAAAGUUGCUAAGAAAUCUUGAAACAAUCUGCUUUAUGUAAAUAGGUAAAUUUUUGCAUUUUCUAUAUUAUAUUAUCUUUGCCUUAUAAACAUACAUUAUUAGAUUAAAACUUGAGGAGAGACCCAGACAUAGUCACCUUAGCUUUAUUUUGUUUUUGCGUUUUAUUUUCUUUAUGAUUUUUUUUAAUUUUUUUUCUAGUUUAAGGUCAAUCAAAGUUUGAUUCAAUUAAUUUGUGAGACAUGAUUUGCACUUUAAUUCUUUUUUGUUCUUUGGUAUUCAUGCAUCUUCUAUUAUAAUUACAAUUGCUCAGGUUUGUUAGUAUUGAGUCAUCAACUAGAACUAAUUUAUUAAAAACAUUGAAGAUAUCAUUACAUCGAUGAUCGAACUUAAAAAAAUCAAUUGUAGAUUUUACCUUUGGGUAAAAUUACUUUCUUUGGUUCAGUUUUUAAUUUGAAUUUAGUUUUUUAUUUUAUAAAACCCUUUUUUUUUAUUUACCUUAGUGGUUCUUACUUAAGGAAUAUAAUUAUCACUAAUAUCUAUAUAUGUGGGUAUAAUUUUGCUUGUUGUUUUCUAUUAGUUUAUAUGUUUAAAUUAAUUUCAAUUUUAUAGGUCUCGAUAGUCUAACAACUCUCUUGGAUCUUCCUUGUUGAGCAUUUUUGAACUUCUUAAACCUUUGGCUUCAUUUUGAUCUGUAUUUAAAAACUUUGUUUAAGUUUCGAGAUAAAAGGGUUAUCUACUCUUGCAACUCUUCUAUAGUAGUGUUAUGAUUAGUGGACAUUACUUCUGUCACUUGUAAGGAAACACCCUUUUUUCCUCCGCUUCAAUUUUCUUUUUAUUUCAUCUAGAUUGAUCUCAUAGGUUUGUAGAAAUCCAAUUAACCCAUCAAUUCACAUAUUAUCAAUAUCUUUGGCUUCUCCAAUGAUUGUGACUUUGAUGUUGAAUUUCUUUAGAAAAGAUCAAAUCACACAAUUUGGAAUAGAACUUGUCAAUUGUUUCAUUAUCCUCCAUUUUUAGAGUUUUAAACCUUGUUAUGAGCAUUUGUAAUUUAGAUUGCUUCACAAUCUCUAUAACACCCCUAAACCCCGCCUGAACGUUAUGGCCGAAUCUGAAAUGUUACGAAGAAGAGUUUUGAAACCGAUCUUUACAUGAAAAAAACAACUCGUAUGGUAUGUUACUAGAAAAGAGUCCUUAUUUUAUAAAACAUAUCCAUUUAACAUUUUCUUUACUAAAACCAUCGAUAUUUUGUUCUUUAAGAAAAACUUAAUUUGCUGCAGAAAUCUUAAGUGUCAUUAUAUGUCGAAAACCAAGUUUGUGUUUCCCAAAAUGUUUGUUUGUGUAAAACCGUUAUUUAAAAAAAAGCGUCUGUUGUACAUUGCAGAAAACAUAAUCAAACCAAAAACAACAUCAAAAACCAAAAGAAAUCAAAAAGGACGGAGAGUCCCAAAAUUACAAAACUCUCAACAAAAACCAAAAAUUAAAAUAAAACCAAUAAUUAAAGGAUAGUUUCCAUACUAGUGGUCAUCGCUGAGCCUCCGUCGCACCGACCCACCUAUGUCUGAAGAUUACUUGAAUAAAGUAGACAAACAGAUGUGAGUUUUCAAAAACUCAAUGUGUAACUUAACAGAGACAUGCAUACACAUAAACUCAGAUUUCUCAUGUAAUAGAUCAGAUACAGGCAUAAGUCCUUAACAGAAUCAUAUAAUAUCAUAAUCGGAUUAUCAGAAACAUACAGAUAUGCAAAGUCCUACCCCCAUCCUCUACACACCAUCUCCGACCAUCCUAACACACCAUGUGGGGUAUAAAACACCCACCCAUCCCUACACACCACAUAAUGUCUUUAUAACACUUAUCAAGAAUAGUUUGCAGUCAAGCUGCCAGUAUAUCAGCAACAUGUUGCCUCACAGAACACUUCCUCCACAUAUACAAAUCCCACCCCAUACACAGAUAUAGAUAACAGAUAACAAAUAUAACAGAACUAACAUGUCCGGCAUCCUCAUAUACAAAUAUCAUACAUGUUAUUAUGAAAUAGUCAAAUCAUACAUAUCAACUUCUAAUUACUCAGAUUAGUCUAUCAAAAUAGCAGAUAUCAUGCAUUAGGGUUUGUUUUGCCCUUACUGACCCUAUGAAAGGCCCACAGUUGAUCGGGACGACGUGUGCGACCCUAAGGAAAAUUUUAGAAAUUUGGGCCCACACGCCCGAAACAGCCGGUCACACUGCCACACAUACUCCCGUCACACGGUUGUGUGGCAUCAACAGGCCACUUUUUCAACUUUCAUCGAACCUCGAUUUCUCGUGAUUUCAUUACACACCUGGUUCAAUUUUUAUGUGAAACAAUCUCGAGACCACCAAAACCUAAAAAUUGACAAUACAAGCCCUAAAAUCAGUCCUUAAUCCUCAAUUAAACCAAAACAAAAAAAUAAACUACAGUGAAACUCAAGUAUUUGCCACUUACCCAACUUCCCGAACAAUCCCGAUUAUGUUUCCGUAGGAAGAGAGUUUCGUUCCUCACGAUUCACUGCUACCAAUAAUCCACAAAUUAAUACUAACGAAAGACAACAUCGACUUAGAUCAACUUUAACAAUCGCCAGUAACCCGUGUAAAAUCUCACUACCUCUACUUACCUAGUCGCACGAAGAGAUUCAAAUUUCGAAGCAUCACAAUUUGAAUGGAGAAUCAUGACAAAAACUAAAAGAAAAGAAAGAGAAAGUUUUUGACAGAGGGAGAACAGAAGAAAGUUAGAAAAAGGAGAAUUUUUGGGAAAAAUAAAAUAAAAUCAAAAUAAAUCAAAAUUUAACACAUAUCUUAACUUCCCUCACUACUCAGAAUUUCACUACCACCGAACUUUAUCAUACAACUGAAGCAAAAAUUAAUAUUCACGCUCACACGGGGACUCAAACACAAAACCACAAGGCAAGUUAACACUUUACUAGUCAAACCAACAAACUCAUUCUAUUAUGACUUGACUAACAAUAGAAUAUAAGCCAAACCGCCAAGGAUAAAGCUAGGGUACAAAAUAACAUAAUUUUCCAAAAGAAAAACUUAAACCUAAGACCUCAAAUACACAAUCAGAACACUUAACCAUUGAAACAAAUACCCAUUUAUGAUAAAACUCACAGAAACAAAGUUAAAUUAGUUAGGGCGUUACAAUCUCCAUGCCUUGAUGGGCAAUCUCAGAGACUUCAAGCUAUAUAUAUAUAUGUGUGUCACUUGUCUUGAUAAGCCACAAGGUGUCUUGGAAUAAGUAAGGCAUUUUGUAAUUUUUCUUAAUUUGUAAUGUUUUUUUCUUUUAUCUUUGAAUGUUCCAAGGUAAUUGAUUAAUUGGUGUUUUCAAGGAAGAAAGCUGUGCAAUAGAUCAACAAAUAUGGGACCAACGUUAAACGAAAUUGUUAUUUCCUCCGGUGAAUCUGAGAAGCCUGCAGAGAACAUCACUUACAUGGAUGCUUCAUUGUAUAAAGCUGCAGCAAUAGGCAAAAUUGAAGAAUUCAAUAAUUACCAGAGGCCUGAACUUGAGUCGCUGAAGACCCCAAACCAUGACAACGUGCUCCAUGUUAACUUGUCAACCCCUGAGCGUAUCUGGCAACGUGCUCCAUGUUAACUGAAUUGUAAAUAAAUUAAAUUACAAGGUUGACGUUGUGACAUCGUUACUUUCUCGUUGUGACGUUGUCAAAUAGUUUGCCACAUCACGAUAUUGUAGCACCACUUAUUGUUUUGGCCUCGUCGAGAUGACGGUGUUUCUCAUAUCACUGUGACAUUAUAGGUCAUUUCUUGUCGUGGUGUCAUAUGCUAUUUCUACAAAAUUUUUCUUGAUUAUGUUAAAGUUGUAUGACCCAAAUCCUAUCACUUGUUCCUACAUUAAGAAAUUUUACUAACUUUGCUUGAAAACACAACAAGAAUAAAGUAAGUAGAAUUUUAUUUUGUUUAAAUAAAAUAAAGUAUAAGUUAAAGUGUUCAAGGAAUGAAAUAUGCAUGCUAUGACGCUUUUUGUUAUGCUAUGCUAAAGUGUUCAAUAAAGGAAUUAUGCAUCCUACGCUUUUGUUAUGCUAUGUUGAAGUGUUCAAGCAAUAAAUUAUAUAUAUUAUAUGUGUCACUUGUCUUGAUAAGCCACUAGGUGUCUUGGAAUAAGUAAGGCAUUUUGUAAUUUUUCUUAAUUUGUAAUAUUUUUUUUCUUUUAUCUUUGAAUGUUCCAAGCUAAUUAAAUAAUUGCUGUUAUCAAGGAAGAAAGCUGUGCAAUAGAUCGACAAAUAUGGAACCAUCGUUCAACCACAUUAUUAUUUCCUUUGGUGAACCUAAGAAGCCUGCAAACAACAUUAUUUACAUGGACGUGUCGUUGUAUAAAGCUGCAGCAGUAGGCAAAAUUGAAGAAUUCAAUAAUUACCCGAGGCCUGAACUUGAGUCGCUGAAGACCCCAAACCAUGACAACGUGCUCCAUGUUAACUUAUCAACCUCUGAGUGUAUCGGGCAACGUAGCAGAUCAGAUUUUAUCGAACAAAUCCUUUUCAAGUGUCCAUCACUGCUACGCCAAACAAAUGCGAAAGGUCAAACUCCCUUGCAUGUUGCAGCAAGGAAUGGGCAUUCUGCUAUUGUGAAACUCCUAAUCAAGUCUCGUGCCAAAGCUACUGAUGAAGAUUUAAAGAAGCUGGGAAUGGAUCAAUUGAAUGCAGUCAGGGAGAUGCUGAGGAAUACGGAUCAGGAAUCCAACACGGCUUUACAUGUUGCAGCAAGGUAUGGUCACGUCGAAGUGGUGCAAGAAUUGCUGGAGUUUGAAAACCCUGAUUUCCCAUAUUUUGUCAACAGAAAUCAGGAGACUCCACUUCACAUAGCAGCUAGGAGAGUAGAUAAGCUCUCACUGAUUAUACUAUUAGAUAAAUUGGACAGCUUUGCAUGCAGCAGCCAUGGCUGGAGAUGUCGGUACGUUAAGUUAGUUCCAAAUCAUUCUUGUUUGAAAUAAAUAAAGAAUCAAUUUAUUGACUUUUUUGUUUUGUUUUGCUUGGAUUCAGAGGCAACAAAGAUAAUAGUAGAGAAUAAAGGGGAUAUGACAAAGGAAACAGAUGAAAAUGGACACACCCCUCUUCACUAUGCUGCGCACUUAGGUCACGAUUCAGUUGUGGAAGAGCUGUUAAAAUGGGAUUUACUUGCUGCCUACGUAGGCGAUAAAGAGUGGGAAAUGACACCCCUUCUUAUGGCAGCCCGGCAAGGCCAUGGACAAAUAGUAACAAAGAUUCUCUCUUCUUGUCCGGGUUGCUGUGAAAAAGUGGACAAAAGGGGUUGGAUAACUUUUUCAUUUUGUGGAGUGAAAGUUUUCAAGACAACAUUUAAUAGAACUAUUCUAUAUUUUAUUAACUAAACAACUGAAUUUAAAUAGAAAAAAGAGUAUUAAUUUAAUUGGAAAAAUAAUUUCCUUAUUUUAAUAAACUACUAAAAGAUAAAAUCAAAUAUUCUUAGAAUAUUUCAAAUAAUUUAUUCUAAAAUUUAUCUACCUAAAUAAGAUUUAUCUACCUAAAUAACUUUAAAAUAUAUCCCAAAAUAUAUGCCUUUCACAUAUUUCAGCACAGAGAUCCUUCUUUAUUUACAAUUCUCCAACGUGAUAAUGGUUGUAGCACUAUAUAUGGGCUAGUAAAAAAUCUAAGGCAGUGGAAAAAUGCCCUCGGAAUCACACCUCAAGAAGUCUAUGACACAUGUCGUAGUCGUUUCCAUAUCACUGAUCAGCGUACAGAGAAAAUGGUAAAAUUUCUAUGGCCUAUGGCUAUGGUUUUACAUGCAUGUAUAUAAAAUACAAAGACCUAUACUACAAUACAAUCGACUAAAGUGGCAGGAGCAAAUUAUGGAAUUGUUGAAAGAUAUUACAAAUGAGGAAGUAGCCGAGAAACCAGUUCGUCCCAUACCUUCGAUAACUAUCUCUGCAGAUAGGUUGGAGAAGGAAAGAGAGGUUCAUUUAGUAGUGGCAGCACUUAUAGCCACCGUGACUUUCGCAGCAGCCAUAACCGUUCCAGGUGGUUUGAAAAAGGAAAAAGGGUCAGAGCAGGGCAUUCCUUUUCUCAUUCAUGAUGCAACUUUUAAAGCAUUUAUUGUAACCGAUGCAUUGGCCUUUCUUUUCUCCCUUUGUGCCCUCCUUUUCCAUUUUGGAAUGCUGCCUCCUUUUUCCUCAAUUCAGCGCCCUACUUUUCUGUCUCACGUCGGUGCCACUACGUUUCUUGGUUAUGCAACGUAUGCGAUGGUGAUUGCUUUCUGUACAACCAUUUAUGUGGUGUUAAAGCCUUCGUACGGGCUUUCCUUCGUUUGCUAAUCCAUGGCAUUGUUUUCCAUUAUUUGGUGGUGAUUGUACAUUAAAGAUGAAAGAGGGAAAUAGUCCUUCAUUAAAAUUGAGUUAUUAGAAUUCCGCGUAUUGGCCUAAUAGUUAGGGUGUUUAUUGUCUUUGGUGUCGCUUAAAUUCGAGUAGCGCUAGUCACCUUGCUAUUAAGGCUUUGUCCUCCUCUUAUAAUUCACAAAAAAAAAAAAAAUUGAGUUAUUAAAUGCUGAUUUAUGUUUUAUAAGUAUAAGGAUUAAUGAUAAAUUUAUAAAUAAUAUUAAGUGCACAAUUUUAAUUAAAUUAAUGAUUAAAAAUCAACUAAUAAAUUAUUUGAGUCAAAAGUUGAAUAUAAAAACACAGCAAGAAUAAGAUAAUAGAUUAAUGUUGUUUUGUUUGAAGUAAAAGUAUAAAAUUAGUAAAACACAUAGCAAGGAUGCUAUGCUAUGCUAAAAUGUUGAAGUAGGGAAUCGGUGCUUUCAUCAAUUAUGGAAUUAUAUAUGGUUUUCGUUUGUUUUGAUAACUUGUAGGUGAUUUGAAUGAAGCAUGUUAGAGUUAAACCCUAAAUUCUAAAACAUAAACUUUAAAUCGAAAGAAAACCUUAAAUAAAUGAGUAAAAAUAUAAUUAUUGUUAAUUAAAUGGUAAUUAAAAUAAAAAUAGUCAAAAUAAUAUAAUGAGUUUUAUCUGCUACAAUUUGUUACGACAAAUUAAAUUCUUUUCUGUAAUUAAUAAGCUUAUUUUUGAAUAAUUUGAUUACAUUUCUAUUAAUUUCUCAUUUUAGCAUUUUAUGUUCGAUUUCAAUAAAAUAAACAUUUUUACAUAGUUAGGUGUUUUAAUGGCCCGUUAGGCCAAUCAAAGCCUAAGAAACAACUAAUGGAUUAAUUGAGUGUGUAGGACAUCAUUUCGGGCCAAGAAAUUUGAAGAACGACCCCAAUGUCGCAACAUCCAUUAAUAGUGUUGUAACAACCAACUUCGAAAGUUAUAAUGGGGAUGCAAAGACGACAGUGUCGCAAAAAUGAACUUUGCAUGCAAGCUAGGAGAGUAAAAUCGAUGAUGUCGUGACACCCAACUUCGAGGCCAAAAAAGUCUCAUUCGAUGUCCGAUGUCUUGACAUCAGUCCUAUUGACACUGAUUCAACGAGGGCAAAAUACAACUGAGGAGGGUGUUUUCAUAUGCACAACUCAUCCUAACCCGUUAAUCACUUGCAUUUGAUCUAAUAAGAUCAUAAAAUACCAGAAUUAUAAAUAGAAUAGUUUAAGGUUUAAUUGGGGUUUUAUUCCCUUACUUAAUUUUCUAGCUUUAGGUUUUGUUAGAUUGGGAACUUCUAUUUUAGAUUCAAUUUUAAUUCGAGUUUUAAUUUCUUCAUCAAUCUUUAGUUUUUCUUUUGCAUUGGCUUUCAAUCGCUGUUUCCUCAACGAUUAUUAAGGGGUUUUUGUCUUCCAAGCACAAUCGGCAUAUCAACGAAUCAAAAUUAUAUUUUCCCCUCUUUCUAGUUUGCUAUUUGUUUUAAUGUCUGGAUUGAAUUUAAGGAAAAUUGUAUUUAGACUUAUGAGGAGCUAAACCAGUAGGAAGAUUAAAGAUCGAAGGUGGAAUUAAUUAACUGAGAAAUUAGAGUUUUCCUUAGAAUUAGUUGACUUAAAUUAUGUGUAAUUAAAUCUUAAGGUUGACAACUCUAAGAAGUUAUUUAGGUAAAUGAGGUCAAAAGAAUAGUUUAUCGAGUAUUUCCUAAUUUAAUUCGAUUUAAACUGCGAGGUCAAAAUAUAAGUAGUUUCUGACGAUUAAUUGAUCUAGUUACAGGCCGAAAGGUAAUAACUAGGUUAAUUAUUAACUAAUUCAUCAAAACCCGAAUUCUGAAGUUAAUUAUGAACACUGACAUGAGUUAAUCUUCUGUCUUUUACCGAGUGAAUUUCAAUUGUUAGUUUAGUUUUCUUUAAUUUACGGUAGUGUCACUACUUAAUUUUAUUUAGAUUUUUCGUACUAUAAUUUUAAAUUAUUAUUGUUUAAACCUGUUAGUGUAGAAAUUAAUCUCUAGUUUAAUCUAGCCUCUUUUGGUACAAUUUUUUGAAUACUUAGUUGUUCCAUUGUAACUUUUAUGUUAUAACCUGACUUGUAUAUUUGCGAACAUAACUAUUAUUUCAUAUAUUUUAUUUACAGUAUUUCCAGCCCCGAUAUUUACAUGUCGAGGCGAGUAAUCAGAGUUCCAACAACUCGUCCUUAGAAGUAAUAAAUAUUAAUAUUUUAAAUAGAUAUAGCCAAAAUAAUAUAAUGAGGUCCAUCAACUUGUGGUUGGAAGUAAUAAAUAUUAAUAUUUUAAAUAAAUGUAGCCAAAAUAAUAUAUUUAUGUCCAACAACUAGUCCUUGGAUGUAAUAAAUAUUAAUAUUUUAAAUAAACGUAGCCAAAAUAAAAUCCAACAACUCGUCCUUGGAAGUAUUAAAAUUUUGAUAUUAUUAUUAUUUUAAUAUUUUUAUAAAAAAUAAAAUAUAUAAGCAAUUUGAAUUUUAGUCAACAUGAUUUCAACGUUCUUAAAUUUAUCAUUUCAAUCAUAACAUUAUUUGUUUUUUUAUAAACAUUAACAUGGUAAUAUUUUUAUUUUGGUUUUUUCAAAAUAUUCACUGAAACAAGUCUAAUGAUUAAUCUUUCGUAUUCUGUAAGUCCAUUAAGAGGUAAGUGCUAAAGUAUAUAUAAAAUAUACUAAGUGUGUCUUAAUUUUAUCAUUUCAGUUAGAGCAUUGUUUAAUUCUUUUAAAAAACAUUUACAUAAAAUUUUCACUUACAAUGAAUGUGUCAUAAUUUAGUCAUAUAUAAAUUUAAAAGUGAUAAAUUUGUUUUUUGGGUACAUGAAGAAUGAUCAAAUCAUAACUAGACUAGAUGGGACCAAGUCAUUUCAAAGCAAUCAUUAUAUAUCUUUUGAAGGAUUUCAUCUGGAGUUGCAUAUAGCUAUAUAUGUCCAGAGGCCCUGAAAAUCCAUUAUUACCAGUCCAUCGGCUACUUAAUUACCCUAUCUGAAUACAUGAUGUGUCCCACUAAUCAUUCAAGCUCGUUGAGUAAUUUCUUUAAUGCUAACAAUUUAGUAAUUUAAUGAUCUUUAACAACCUUGUUUUCCGUAUUAUAUAAUUUUAAUUAAUAUUUUAUAAUUAAAAUUAAAAAUUUAUGUAUUCAAAUUAAUCCAAAUUCACCUAAGCUUUGAAUUAGAUUGAUAAACUACAUUUAGAUAAAUCUAUUUAUAACAACUUAAUUUUUAUUUAAAUUUAUAUAUAAUUCAAUAACAACUUAAUUUUGUAUUUAAAUUUAAAUAUAAAUCAAUCUUAUAAUAUUUGUAAUUAAUAUAGAGUAGUAAACUAUUCUUAGUCAUGAAUUAAUUUCUUCCACCCAUUCUUGGCUGCAAAACCAAAGACAAUGAGAUAAACAAAUAAAAAGAAAUCCUAGCCUUGAUUUAUGGUUUCAUUAAUUCUACCUUUUGGCCCACAAAAUGAAAAUAAUGACAAAAAGUUGUUCAAUUCUUGAUUGAGUCUUAGCUCAAUUGUUAUUGACAUUAUUACCGGUGUAAGAGGACGUGGGUUCGAAUGUGCUGAAACGUAUUAUCUUCUACCUUAUUUAGGCCAUUGUGCUCUUCAAAAAUUUGAAAUUUCGUUCUUAUAUUUUUAUUUUUAAAAAUUUAGUCCCUUUAUUUUUAAGAUCUUAAAAUUUAGGUCCAAUUGUUAAUUCUAUUGUUUUAACCUUGAAAAAUUUGUAGAUUGAGAUCACAUCCCUUUCAAAAUUUGCUGAAUUUUCAAAAAAAUAUGUUAAAUGUUUGAUGUGAUUUUUCAAAAACUUUACAGAAACUUGGUUGAAGAAUUAAUGGUUUCCAGUUGACAAGUUGACUUAGGCAUUACAGGAGAACUGAUAGUUUGAUGAAUCUAUUUGGUUAUAAAAUAUUUGUAUUGAUCACUCUGCAAGAGACUAAUUACAGGCAAGUAACAAACAGGAAAGACAUUUGGUAAUUUUCUGAAUUUCUAGCUUCUUUUUUUCUUCAGCUUAGAAUAUUCCAAGCUAACUAAUUAAUAUUUGUUUUGUGUUAUCUAGGAAGAAAGCUCUGCAAUAGAUCAACAAAAAUGGAACUAUCGAUAAACGUCAUGCCUAUGUCCUCCGGAAAACCUGAGGAACCUGAAGAGAACAUCACUUACAUGGAUGCUUCGUUGUACAAGGCAGCUGCAGAAGGCAACAUUGAAGUAUUCAAUAAUAAGCAGGGGCAUCAACUUGAGUCGCUAAAGACCCCAAACCAUGACAACGUGCUCCAUGUUAACUUGGCAACCCACGAGCUUGCUGCCUGGUUUUCUAAUGGAAUUCUCUCAAGAACUAGAUCCUUCCCCAAUUUAUAUUUAUUUGUCUAUUUGUUUUUGUGGAUUUUCAUUAUUAAGAAAACAAGUGAAAAAAGAUUAUAUUUUAUCGGACAAAUUCUUACCAAAUAUCCGUCACUACUACUCCAGACGAAUGCUAAAGGUCAGACUCCUUUGCACGUUGCAGCAAGGAAUGGACAUUCUGCUAUUGUGAAACUUCUAAUCAGCUCUUGCGCAAAAGCUAGAGUUGGAGAUUUAGAGAAUCUGGGAAUGGAUCAAGUAGUUGCAGUGAGGCAGAUGCUGAGGAUUACGGAUCAGGAAUCCAACACGGCUUUACAUGAAGCAGCACAGUAUGGCGAUGUUGAAAUGGUGGAAGAAUUGUUGAAGCUUGAACACCCCGUGGAAAGAUUGUUGGAGCUUGAAAAUCCUUAUUCUCCGUAUUCUGCCAACAAAAACCAGGAGACUCCACUUUACUUAGCAGCUCUGAGAGGAGAAGAGCCUUUGCUGAAUGUAAUAUUAAAUAAAUGGAAAUCAGCUGAUCAUGGUGGCCCUCAUGGUAGAACAACUUUGCAUGCAACAACUAUGGCCGAAGAUAAAGGUAUGUUGAGUUAGUUCCAUAUAUAUUUUUUGUAAUAAAUAAAGAAUAGAUUUAUUGACAGUUUUUUUGCUUGGAUUUAGAGGCAACAAGUAAAAUAUUAGAGAAGCAAGAGAAUUUGAGAAAGAAAAAAGAUAAAGAUGGGCACACCCCUCUUCAUUAUGCUGCACACAUAGGUUACAAUUCUGUUGUGGAAGUAUUGUUAGAAAAGGAUGUAUCAGCUGCCUAUAUAGGUGAUAAAAAGUUGGGGAUGACACCCCUUCUUGUGGCAGCCAGGGAAGGUAAUGUUGGAACAGUAAAAAAGAUUCUCUCUAAGUGUCCUGAUUGUUGUGAAAAAGUGGACAAAAGAGGUUUGAAUUUACUUCAUUAUUUGGCGUUUAGAGACCGUUCCUAUAAAUUAAGUCAUUCUCUUUUCAUGCCUGGUGGUACUAAGACUGAAUAUGGAUCAAUCAGAAAUCUAAGGAAGUUGAAAGGUGCCUUUGGAUUCACCCCUGAACAAGUUUAUGCAUUACUUCGAUAUGAGGGUCAUAACGAGAAAUAUCUGGAUGAAAAGGUGUGUAUUUCUAUGACUAUGGGUAUGGUUUUAUUAAUAAUUGGGUUUUGAAUUAACAUGUGGUGGUAUGGCAGAAGCAAGUCGAAGAAUUGUUGAAAGAAAUUGCAAGUGAAGAAGUAGCAGGGUUACAAGUUUCCCACAUUCCCUUACCAACUGUCCCUGCAGAAAGCUUGGAGAAGACAAGAGAUGCUCAUUUAGUAGUGGCAGCACUUAUAGCCACCGUCACAUUUGCAGCAGCAAUAACCGUACCUGGUGGUUUGAAUACUGAAAAAGGGUCAGAGCAGGGCACUCCUUUUCUGAUUGAUGAGGCAGCCUUUAAAGCAUUUGUCGUAACAAAUGCAUUAGCCUUUAUUCUCUCUGUUUCGGCCCUCUCCAUCCACUUUGGGAUUCUGGAUCCUCUUUUACCAAAACUAAAAUUUUGGGGUAUUAAUCUAAUAUUAUAUCGAACUCAGUCCGUUUCUAAUCUCCUUGGCCGUGCAAUGUUUGCGAUGGUGAUUGCUUUUAGCACCGGCAGUUAUGUGAUUUUAAAACCUUCUCAUGGACUUGCCAUCGCUUCAUGUUUCAUCUGCCCUGGCUUUUUUGUUUGUUAUUACGUACAACAAUCCCUAUCUUUCGUGAAGAGGUUGUUGGAGUGAUAAUAACGAAUUUCAUCACAAAUAUUAUAUUAUCUGUGACAAAUUUUAUAUGUCGCACUAAUUAUACCACAAUAGUCAUUAUUAUGAUAAUAGUUGUGACGGUUUAAAUAUUGUUUCUAUAAAUGUAUAAUGGUGACCUAAUCUAUUUGUCAUUAGCAAUUCUCUUUCUUCUUGAGUAAUUAUAUAAUAGUCACAACAUAUAAUUAUUCCGAACAAAAUUAGGCAUUUAUAAAGCUCAAACAAAAGCAUUUGAAUUUUUUGUAAUGAGAUGAAUAGAAGUUAUUAAUUCCGAGUUUUGUAAGUAGAGAUAAUCAAUUUUUACUAAAAGGUACUCAUAUUGUGUGAAAGACAAUAAAAAGAAGAGCUCAUGGAGGCCCAUGGUAGAACAACUUUGCAUGCAGCAGUACUGGCUGUAGAUGGCAGGCAAUUAGAUAUGCAAAUAUGUUAUCAACAACUUCAUUUAUUUCCCGAAAUAUAUGUGAAAGGGAAUUAAAUCUCUAUUUGAAGCCAAAAUGGAUGUGGUUCCAAGUGUUGAGCGGCAUAGGAAGUAAUCAAAAUAUAUGUUGCACUGCAAGGAAUUCAAGGCUGCCUUGUCCACAAAGGCUUAUAACUGCUAAGCACCUGCUCUUAAAUUUGAUUAUGGCCUAAUAAACAACAUAGGGCAGCAUUGACUUCACUACAAAGAGCUGUAGACCCCAUUUUCUUCCAUUCUUUGUCUUCAAUUCUUCUCCUCCUUUGCAGUUUCCUUAAACCCAAAUUUCAACCAGUCAAUUAAAUGUUUAAAUUUGAAAAUCCCCAUACACUUGAUGCUAUUUUCUUUUCUUUUUUUUGAAUUUAGCUAUGGAAUUUACAUCUUUUAUCAAUUUAGUUAUUUUUAUUAUUUUUUAAAUUAAAUUUGACUCUUCAUCUUUCAUAAUAGAGUUCAAUUUUACCAUAACACAAAGAGCUGUAGACCUCAUUUUCUUCCAUUCUUUUUUUCAAUUCUUCUCCUUCUUAGCAGUUUCCUUAAAAGCAAAUUUCACCAUAAAAAGCUCCUACAUCAUUGACCUGACCUCUAACCCUAUAUAUUACUAUUACUAAGCAAUAGUGUUCAAGUAUGAAAUUAUAUAUAGUUGUCGUUUGUAGGUGACUUAAGUGGAGGAUAUGCAAGCAACAAACAGGUAUUGCAUUUGGUAUAUUUCCUAAUUUGCAGUAUUUUUUUCUUGAGUUUGGAAUUUCAAAGCUAAUUAAUUAAAUUUUGUUUUGUGUUAUAUAUCUAGGAAGAAAGUUGUGCAAUAGAUCAUGGGAACAUCGAUAAACAUCAUGUUUAUAUCCUCCGGAAAACCUGAGGAACCUGAAGAGAACAUCACUUACAUGGAUGCUUCGUUGUACUAGGCAGCUGCAGAAGGCAACAUUGAGGUAUUCAAUAGGUACCCAGAGCUUGCACUUGAAUCGCAAACGACCCCAAGCACUGACAACGUGCUCCAUGUUAACUUGGCAACCCACGAGCUUGCUACCUGGUUUUCUAAUGAAAUUCUCUCAAUAACCAGAUACUUCCCCAAAUUAUAUUGUUUUCGUCUAUUUGUUUCAGUGGAUUUUCAUUAUUAACAAAAAAAGUGAAAAAAGAUAAGAUUUUAUAAUGACCCCAAACCAUGACAACGUGCUCCAUGCUAACUUGGCAACCGAGGAGACUGCUGCCUGGCUUUUAAACAGAUUUCUCUCAAUACUCAACUUCCUCCCCGUAAAAUAUGUAUUCAUCACCGUAGAAAAUGUACCAUCUAUCGGUCUUUGAUUAUUUUCAUUACUAUGAUAAGAGGAGAAAAGAGAUCAGAUUUUAUCGUACAAAUUCUCAGCAAGUGUCCGUCACUGCUAAUCCAAACGAAUGCUAAAGGUCAAACUCCUUUGCACGUUGCAGUAAGGUAUGGACAUUCUGCUAUUGUAAAACUUCUAACCAAGUCUUGUGCAAAAGCUAGAGAUGGAGAUUUAGAGAAACUGGGAAUGGAUCAGGUAAAUGCAGUGAGGGAGAUGCUAAGGAUUAGGGAUCAGGAAUCCAAUAUGGCUUUACAUGAAGCAGCACGGUGUGGCAUCCAUCAUGUUCCAUUACUAUUGUCAAAAUUACUGUUAUGCACACAACUUGACUUUGGCUGGUCACUCAUUAUCAAUGGCUCCAGUAUCAAAUUAGGGGUACUUAAUUGUGUUCUCUUGAAAUAUUGAAGAAACUAUUUGAAUACUGAAUACCAAAUUCGCGUUCCCAUUUUAGAAACUAUUUUAAUUUCUUUAAUUUGAAUAUCAAAUUCGAUCUAGGAUCAUCAAGCACUCUUAUUUUUUGAAUUAAUUUUGUAACGGAUUUAAGAUUAUAUUUCAUUUUCGGUUCCAUCUAAUAUGUUAUUAGUCCAAAUUAACACAUCUAUAUCUCUACUUGAUAGUCAAUCCUACCCCGGUAAUCAAGACAAGCUAUUUUUUAUUUUGUUUAAUGAAGAUCAUAUGUUAGAAGCUAAGAAAUUUAUCAAAGUAUAAGAAAUUUUUGAAUUAUUACUAUUUUAAUAUUUUUGUCUUUUAUAUAUUUUUUAAAAAUUAGAAAAUAUAAAAGCAAAUCAAAUCUAAGCUACUAUGACUUUAAUAAUGCUAAUUUUGUAAUUUCAACCAUAACACUAUUUUCUAAAAUAAAUAUUUACAUAAAUUUUUUUGUUACAUGAUAAAUAUGUGAGAAUUUUUUUUUUCUUAAGGUAUCCACUAAAGCAAGCAUAGUGAUUUAUUUUCCGCAUUUUCUAAACCUAUUAAGAGAGUAAAUGUUUAAAUAUAUAAAAAAUAUAUAUUAAGUGUCUCAUAAUUUUUAUUAAAAAUUAUUAAAAUUUAACAACCUAAAUCCGGCCUAGACAGAAAGACUAAGUUUGGGAUGUCUCAUGAGCUUACCAGAACACGGUUAUACUUAGAGCUGGCUUAAUCAAUACAUAUAGUCAAGUCUUUAAAAAAGACCAAUCAUUCAAAGCAUAAUUCACUCUUAAAACUUAAAGUCUGAAACCAAAUAAAUGAUUUAAACACACACGCAUAUAUUUAAAGUAAGUCCAAUAGAUGACCGAGUCCCUCGUCCGCCGGCCACUCAGUUCUAAGAGUUUCCUGAUAUCCAUUCAAUCCAGUUAGUGUGUUGCAACUUAAUAUACACAUAAAAAAAUUUGACAUGUUUAUAAUAACUCAGAUAUAAUUGGAAGUUCAGUCAGCAUACUCAAUCUUGAUCGGUCAAAUUAAUAAUUUAUUACAGUUUCGGAAACAAAACAGUUCUGGCACGCAACAAAUCUGAUACAGAAACAUGUACAGAUGUAAAUACGGAUACAAAUGUAAAUAUAGAUACAAAUGUAUUUAUCCUAACCCCCAUCCUCUAUACACCAUCUCCGACCAACCCAACACACCAGUAGGUAUAUAAUACCCGUCCAACCUUAUACACCCCAUAGUGUCGAUAUGACACGUUGCAGUGCUUACAGUCACGCUGCCAGUAUAGAUUCAAUUGUGGAUGGUUUAACCACCAAAUCAGUACAGAAAGCUUCCUCCAUUUCAUGAUCCCCGCCCAAUGCAAAUGUAGAGAGCAAAUGACAAAUAUAUAUGUUUCUUAUGCAAAUAUAAUCACAUAGUCCAGUAUAAUAGAGGGUUGAAAUUCUUAAUAAUUAUCUCAUACGGGUAUGUAGAAAAAGUUUAUAAUCAUGAUAAAACAGAUCAUAUAUAGUUCAGUUUAGUUCAUACAUAUCCUACAGACGGCUUACACUCAUCUCGUACAACAACUAUGGCGUUAAUAGAAAUUUUGUAAUUCAGGCUCACACACCCGUGUGGGUGCCCAUGUGGUUCCACACAGUCUGACACAUGGUCGCGUGGCUACCCGUGUGCCCCUAUUAAUCAAAUUAGUGAGUUACACGGUCUAAGCACACACUCGUGUGCUGCCUGUGUACCUCACACGGUUUGGCAUACGCCGCUGUCCCUUGCAUGUGAGUCCCUAAUAUAUAAAUAGUGAAUUACACGAUCUGGACACAUGCUUCUGUGCCCCCUGUGUGACCACUGCACCUUAAUUUCUCACACACGGUUUACCCCACGCCUGUGUGGCUCGCCUAUAUGUCUCCAAUCCGAAGUCAGUGAGUACACAGUCCACUACACGGUCAUGUGGCACACACGGCCUGCACACACGCCUGUGUGUCGUCGAUAGUCCCGUUUCUGGCAAAGAAAAAUGCAGAAAAGAAAGGGAUUUCUAUACCCACCUGUUACACGACGCUGUAGAAGCAUCCAAAUGCAAUUUCCAGUCCUAAAAUAAGUCCCAAACGCCCAAUUCAAUAAAGCAUUUGCAAAAUAUGCAAGUAACAACAAUCAAUGUUCAUCAAAACCGUCGACUCACUACACAAAAUGGAUGGAAGCCUACUUACCGCGAAUUCCCAGUACACGUUUAGUUCCUAAGUAAGGUGAGAAGCGUUAGGCAUCUUCCGGGUCUUCUCCUACAAUUCAUCGAAGUACCUGAAAUGACAAAACGAAUUAACUCAACGAAAUGAAAUUCAAAAGAAAAACCCCAAACAACAAAACCAUCACAACGAACAAAUUAAAAACACGAACUCUUAUCGUUAGCAACAAAAUCGACCACAGAAGAAUUCAAAUCAGCAUUAAUUGAUUUAAUCAGCAACAAAAAUAAUACGAGGCCAAUUGUCAAAAGAAACGGUAACUGAAGAAGAACAGAAAAAUAACGCAGGAGGGAAAUUUUAAGAAAACAAAUCAUAGAAUUUCAGGAAAAAAAACUAAUACACACAAAACAGAUAACCACUAAAACAAACACAUAUUUAUUAAAAUAAUUUAACAAGAAAACUCAAAUUUUUGUUGUGAAGUUGAUGAAAUUUUAUUAAAAAUGAUUGAAUGAAAAUAAAAAUUGAAAUCAGUAAAUCGAAGGAUUUAAACGUUGAUUAAUUAUGCUUAGUUUGAGAGAAAAUUUAAGUAGACAAUUUUAAUUCAAAUUAUGAAAAAAAUAAGUAACCAUCGCUAAUCGUAUAUAGCAAGAAUAGCAUAGUAAAAUUAUGGUGCUUUCAUCAAUUAUGGAAUCAUAUAUGGUUUUCAUUAAAUUUAAUAGCUAAAUUGCACUUUGUUCGAGGAUUUCAAUUAAAUUGAAAUUAGAAUGAAUAAACAUAGUAAAAAUAAUCAAUUUCCCUAUUGUUUUUUUAAAAUUAAAUUUGGCCUCAAUUUUUAAAAAAAUUGAAUUGUUAUUUUUCUAAUUAAAAUACUAAUUAAAAUUUUAAAAUUUUAAACAUACAGCCUGCAUGGUAAUUCGCUUGUACUUUAUGUUAAUUUGUUGAAUUUUUAUGAACCUAUUAUAAUUGUUUUUUGAAUUUUGAAUUUUUUUUAUUUUUUGAAUUUUUAAAUUAAUUAUUGACAUGACAUAUAAGAUAAUAAUGCUAUAUCAACAUGAACUACAAAUGGAUUGUUAUGCCAAAAUCGUUAAAUUUUUUUAUGUUAUAGUCAAUUUUUUUAAUUAAAAAAAUUAUUUAACUUUUUUUAAAAGGUUAAUAACCAAAAUUAAUUUAGUGGAUGCAUGCGUACGCAUUAUCUAUAAAGCAAGUUAAAAAAUGACGGAUUUGAUGUCUCUACUUUUCAACAAUUUAGUAUUUUAACCAUCACUAGCAACUUUGUUUUAGGGCCAUUUGAUUUCCUUUUUGUUACAAUUAAGUCAUUGUAUAAUAAUAUUUAUGGUAAGAUACACAAAUAGUUAUCAUUGUUUUGGUGAUUUGGGUUUAAUUUUUUUUAGUUAUUAAUAUUAUCGACAUUUGAUAUUUUGUUCACUCUUUCAUUAAAUCAUUAGCAGAAUGUUGACGCAACCUUUCUUUAUUAACAUAAUAAUAAAUUUAACCAUUUAAUAUCUACAAAUUCUAUUAAUCUGGUCCUAAUUCUAAAAAAUAAAUUUAGCUCUUAACUUUAUCCAUUAUGUCAAUUUAGUCUUGAUUCUUACAAAUUUAAAAUAAAACUUUAAAAAAAUUUAUUUAAAAAUUUUUAUCAAUAAAAAUACAUACAAAAUUAUAAAAUGCACAAAAAAAUAUAAAUUUUUUUUAAAGGUGAAUACUCAAUUUCUCUUUAAAGAAAAACACAAAUAAAAACUUAGAUCUAAUUUAUCAUUUGUUUUGUUGAAAAUGUGGUAAAUCUUAGGGAUUUUCAUUGUUGUAAGGGUGAAAAGAAAAUGUAGGGUUUAGUCUAAAUCACUCAAUAAUAACUAACAUCAUCAAAAUCUAGUGUGUAACAAUUUUCUCAGCUACCAGACACUGUAGACCCCAUUUUCUUCCAUUCUUUUCUUUAAUUCUUCUCCUUCUUUGCAGUUUCCUUAAAACCAAAUCUCACCAUAAAAAACUCCUACUUUAUUGCCUCACUUCUAACGCUAUAUAUUACUAUUACUAAAGUGUUCAACUAUAUAUAGUUGUCAUUUGUAGUUGACUUGAAUGCAGGAUUUGCAAGCAACUAACUGGUAUGGCAUCUGGUAAAUUUCUGAUUUUGCAGUACUUUUUUCCUGAGCUUCGAAUGUUUCAAGCUAAUUAACUCAACUUUGUUUGGUGUUAUCCAGGAAGAAAUAGAUCAACAAAAAUGGGACCCGAAGAGCCUGAAGAGAACAUCACUCACAUGGAUGCUUGGCUGUAUAAGGCAGCAGCAGAAGGCAACGUUGAAGUAUUCAAUAAUAACCAGGAGCUUCAACUUGAGUUGCUAAAGACCCCAAACCAUGACAACGUGCUCCAUCUUAACUUGGCAACCAAGGAGAAUGUUCUCUGGCUUUUUAACAGAUUUCACACAAUAUUCGAAGAAUUCCCCGCAGAAUAUGUAUUAUUCCAUCGGUGUUUGAGUAUUUUCAUUACUAUGAUAAAAAGAGAAAAGAGAUCAGAUUUUAUCGGACAAAUUCUCAGCAAGUGUCCGUCACUGCUACAACAAACGAAUGCUAAAGGUCAAACUCCUUUGCACGUUGCAGCAAGGUAUGGACAUUCUGCUAUUGUGAAACUUCUAAUCAAGUCUUGUGCAAAAGCCAGAGAUGGAGAUUUAGAGAAGCUGGGAACGGAUCAAGUAAAUGCAGUGAGGGAGAUGCUGAGGAUUACGGAUCAGGAAUCCAACACGGCUUUACAUGAAGCAGCAGGGUGUGGCAAUGUCAAAGUGGUGAAAGCAUUGUUGGAGUUUGAAGACCCUGAUUUUCCGUAUUCUGCCAACAAAAAACAGGAGACUCCACUUUACAUAGCAGCUAGGAGGCGAGGAUCUGGGCGCUUGUUGACUCUAUUAUUAGAUAAAUUCAGAUCAGCAGCAGCUGAUGGCGGCCCCCAGGGUAGAACAGCUUUGCAUGCAGCAGCUAUGGCUGGAGAUGCAGGUAUGUUGUUGAGUUAGUUCCUUUUUUUUUUUUUUUUUUAAUUUUGAAAUAAAUAAACAGCAGGUCUAUUGACAUUUUUUUUUUUUGCUUGGAUUUAGAGGCAGUAAAGGUAAUAUUAAAGAAGAAGGGGAAUUUGACAAAGGAAAGAGAUGAAGAUGGACGCACCCCUCUUCAUUAUGCUGCACACUUUGGUUCUAGAUUAUCAGUUGUGGAAGAACUGUUAAAAAGGGAUGUAUCAGCUGCCUAUAUAGGUGAUAAAAAGAGGGGGAUGACACCCCUUCUUAUGGCAGCCAGGCAAGGUAAUGCUGGAAUAAUUUCGAAGAUUCUCUCUUUAUGUCCAGAUUGUUGUGAAGAAGUGGACAAUAAAUGUUUGAAUUUACUUCAUUAUCUGGCAUUUAGAGGCUCUUCCACUCUAUUUGGGCGUUCUUUUUUCAAGCUUGGUGGUAUUAAGAUUGCAUAUGGAUCACUCAGAAAUCUGAUGGAGUUGGAAGGUGACUUUGGGAUGACACCUCAAGAAGUUUAUAAUGCACUUCAAGAUGAGAAACAUCAUCAUAAACAGGUCAUGUGUUUGCCCAUAUAUAUUGCAUUUCCAUGGCUAUGGUUUUAUUAAUAUUUAAGUUUUGAAUUAACAUAUUUAAUAAACUUACAAUAAGACCUGCUAAUGUGGGUGGCAUUGCAGAAGCAAAUCAAAAAAUUGUUGGAAGAAAUUGAGAAUGAUCAAGUGGCGGAGGAACCAGUUCAUCGCUUUCUUUCACGAAAUGUUUCUACAGAAAGCUCGGAGAUGACAAUAAAUGCUCAUUUAAUAGUGGCAGCACUUAUAUAUACCGUCGCAUUCGCAGCAGCAAUAACUGUUCCUGGUGGUUUGAAUAGUGAAAAAGGGUCAGAGCAAGGCACUCCCCUUUUGAUUGAUAAGGCUGCCUUUAAAGUAUUUUUUGGAACAAAUUUAUCGGCCUUUAUUCUCUCUGUUUUUACCCUCACCAUCCACUUCGGGAUUCUGGAUAUUUUAUUUUCAGGAUUUAGUUUUUGGCAUCAAACAGGAUUUAUUCGAACUGAGUUUGUUUCUUUGAUCCUUGGCUAUGCAACAUUGGCGAUGGUGGUUGCUUUCAUUACAGGCAGUUUUGUGAUCUUAAAACCAACCUACGGACUUCCCGAUGUUCUUUUUCUCAUUAGCCCUGCUGUUUUUUUCUUUGUUUUCAUAUUUACUAUAUACAUACAAUAAUAUUACUUUAUCAUCUAUUGUAAUCUUCUUCCAAUUUUUAGUAUCAAUAUUAUCUCUUUGAAGAAAGAUUUCUUCAAAUAUUUUUUUUGAGAUAUGUCUAACUUAUCCAUGUUAAUCAUCUCUAUUUAAUUGAAAUUAAUAUAAAGCUAUUAAUUGAUAAACAUACAAUUUCAGAAAAGGUAAAAGAAAAAUCACAAUUUGUUUAAAGUAAGAAUUAUUAAAUAUCAAAGAGUAAUAAAUAUGUUGUAACUAAUUUUCCGUUAUGAUUAAAAUCCAAUUUGACGAAUCAUUGAAAAAUAUGAGAAUUUUAAGUUUAAGGAAAAACUUAAGGUUCUAUUAAAAAAUGGAAAUUUGUCACCAAUCUUUUUAAUUAGGUGUGAUCAGACACUUAUAAAAUCGCUUUUAUUGUGAAGUUCAUGAAAAUGAUUAAAUGUCAGCUAAUUAACAAAAUUUGGUUUGGUGUUAUUAAGUGAAAGCCUUGAGUAAAACAAGAAUGUAACCAUCGUUAAUCGACAUGAAUUUCAAGAAAACCUAGCCUCCAUUUAUGGUUUGAUUAAUUCCACCCUUUGGCCAAGAAAAUGGAAAUAAAGAUACAAAGUUGUUCAAUUGAAGUAAAUGCAUCAUUAGUCUAUGCAUGUAUAUAUGUGAUGUCCACUAAAUUAAUUAAUAAAUUGACUAAGUUAAAUGCACCUAUCAAUUAAUAGUAUAGUUAUGGCGACCACACAUAUCGUUCCCUCGAGGAUUACAAUUAGUAAUAAUUAUCUGUAAUAGCCCGAUUUUCAGUGAUGUCGGAAACAGUCCAAAUCUGGCAAAUGAGCUCAAAAAUUUUAUUAUUUAAUAUUUACGAGCCAAAUGAGGUAUUUAAAAGAUUUUUGAAUUAAUAAGUUUGUGGUUAUAAGGAUUUAUUAGAUUAAUUAAUUUAGAAAAAGAGGUAUCGAGACCUCGGUAUUAUAAAUUGAGCCGUAAAUAUUUUUAUAAAUAUUUACGGAGUGUCAAUAAGGUAGUAUUAAAGUUUCAUUAGAAAAUUUUAACGUUUUGGUAGUCAAUUAAUUAAAAAGAACUAAAUUGAAAAAGGUGCAAAAUUUGCUCAAGUGAUUAAAUAGUCUAAAUAAUAAAUAAAGGAAGACUAAAAGGGCAAAUAGACUCAUAUGAAUGGCAUGAAAAAAAUCAAGGAUUUUAUGUGAAAUAAGGGCAAAAUUGUAAAUUUCACCAAAUUAAAGAGAAAUAAAUGGGAAAUUGAAAAAUCUUGACAAAUUCAUCAUCAUUUUCAGCUCAAAAACAGCCAUAAGCUGAUUUUUCAUAUUUUAGCUUAAUGUAAGUUUAAUUCUUACUUUUUCCUUAAAAUUUUUAUGUUUUUGGACUUUUACAACUAGGUCUAACUUACUAUUUCAUUAGUUUUUGAUUUUGUUGAAAGUUUUGGAAGAUAUCAUUGAUAAGUUCAUAUGAUUUUAGUUAUCUAUGAGUGCCAAUACUUGUAGUUAUGAGUUAUUGUAUGCCAUUGAAUUUGUGUUAGAUACAUGUUAUAUGCUAACUCACUAUGUUUUGGAGAAUUUUAAUGUCAUGGUAAUCAAAGAAGCAAAGCAUUUUAAUGGCAUCAGCUUUUUUACAAUUAAAAUGUCCACAAGCUAAUGUGUAUGAACUUGGGAUGUGGAGUUCAGCUUAUUGGGAUGUGGAAACUAAAUAGUAAAAUGUUGAAAUUGUCCCAGUUAAUACCACAUUACGGUUGGUUUCCAUGUUACAAUACGAAAUCCGAUGGGAAAAUUGAAUUGCUGUCUGCUAAUCAUUUUCAUUUAGUUUGCUGUUUAAAUAAUGUUGCCUCACUCUUAUAAUCACCACUUUUUCUAUUUUUAUAUGCCCUCUCUCUUUCCCCAAAGUGGCGUUCCACGUGUUCACUUACUCUAUAUAACACCUUAGGUUUAGUCUUUUAAUUACUAAGGAUGUGGGUGUUUACCCAGACCAUGAGCUGAGUAGUGUUAUUGAUUUUGGAUAAAGCAUGUCGGCUACGUGCAUCUUAAUUGCCAUAAACAAGGGAUAAAUGAGAGACAUUGAGGCCCCAAUGGAAUGCUAAAAACAAUUUGAAACAAGGUUGAGAGAAGUGGGGUUUGGUAAACGUCACAUGCAAAUGCAAUUAUUAUUAUUAACUUCAACAUAUUAGUAUAAAAAAGGGGGACGAAUGUGGGCUAUGGGCCUAAAGUCAAAAAGGGGUUUUGUUAUGAAUCUAAAUUAAAGCAACCUAAAAGCAUUUCAUAAGCUUAUGAUUAAGACAAAUCUUGCUUUUAAAUUUGUAUUAUUUGCAUGGUCAUGGCCUUAUCCCUAGAGCUACACCUUUUGAAAUGACAAGUGCUAUUUUUAGAUUGUCUGAACAUUGAAGAGACAAAAGCUGUCAUAUAGUAAUCUAUCCUUCAAUUAUUGUCGCCUAUUCCUCACUAUUAACGGAAUAACAGGAUUCAUUUAUAAUUCACCAUUUUCCAACUUAAUUAACAACUAAAAAGGUCAAAUGUUCCAUAUUUCAAUGGCAUCAGGGAGAUGGAAUUCCUUGAUCUAACAUUUAAAUUCCACAAUUAGUUAUAAUUUUGAUUUUCUUUUUAUAAAAAAGACAGAAGCAUGCAAUAGAUAGUAAUAUAUAGCACUCUAUUACGUAGGUGGAUUAAAAAACAUAUUUUUUAUCGAUUGUGAAAGAGUUUAAACCGUACAUAGACUCCGAUAAUGGAUGUUGUCUUUAUUAUAUCACAAACCUUAAUUGUUGACUAAGUCGGCAAACAUCCAAGCUAAUCCGCUCUAACUUCCAAUGUACCUUGACACUUGCCCAAUAAAACCCUCCUCCCUCAAUUGUGAAAAUCAUAACAAACACGGCCUUCAACGUUAAGUUUUCGAUUAUUAAUUAAUAGCUCUCAAAAAACAAGUAGGGGACUAUGAAUUGGAUUUAUACUAGUAAAAGAUCGACAAACUAUUACAUGAUCCAAAAAAUCUCUAAGAGCAAUUACUAUAUAUCCCUACCGUAGUACCAUCUUAUUCUUGCCAACCAAACAAAUAUCACUACUACUCAUUCCUGGCCAAUCUAUACUGGAGUUGCUAUGACUAGAUCAUCUUUUUAUAACCAAACUACCUUCUUUUUUCUACUACUUCUAUUUUGAAAUACCUCUAUAGUUGUUGUAGACAAUUUUUGAACCUCAUUCCUUGUUUAUAAAGAUCAAGUUUCGCACCUUUAAAUAUCACCUCAUUCCGCAUUUCCAUAUCAACCACAUAGUCUUCGCACCGAUACUAUAUAUACAAGUUGCAUCGUCUACCCCUUUCCAUUGUUUUCAGCUUAACAUCCAAUUCUUUACAUUGCCUACGUUUAUACUUCCCAUUCUAAUGCCUAAACCCAGUCCAAACUAUACAGCGUGCGAACAAACCUUUAAUGAAUAAGUGAUUCACAUCCUCGUCCUUCUGCUUACAUAGUUGACAAAUAAGUUUUACAUUUUGUAAGAGGUGCUAAAGAAAAAUCACAAUUUCAUAAGGAAUAUCACGAUUCCACAACCACUUCCAAUCAAAGUGAAGUGUAGUUUCUAUGCCUUCAUAUGAAUUCAUAAGGAAUAUCACGAUUCCACAACCACUUCCAAUCAAAGUUAAGUAUAGUUUCUAUGCCUUCAUAUGAAUUCAUAAGGAAUUUAGGGUUUAAGGAAGUUGUCUAAGCUUGUAUACGCUGACUUCAUAUGAAUUCAUAAGGAAUAUCAAUGAAUGCGUUCAAAUGAAUUCAUCUUUCCCUUCACUAGGAGAGUACUUAGUUCCUUACCCUAACCAUUCUAAGCACUUUGAUUGAUACACUUUGGGACUUUAACAUAAGACAAUCAAUACAAAGGUAGAGAUGCAAAUUGGGAGUAUACCAUUGUAACAACCUGACAUUAGUCAAAGUCAGAAAAUACGGUUUCAAAACUCUAUUUCCGUAAACUGAGUCCAAAAAGACAAAAUAAGAAUAUUUAUGGAGUUUAUAGAAAAUAUAUUAAAGAUCGGUUAAGUAAUUUAACCGAGAAACUCAUUAAUUAAAGCUCAGGUGUUAAAUUGCAAUCGCUAUUGAAUUUUAAAUUGAAAAUGCUUGAAGACCAAAUUAACAAUUAGUCAAAGGACCAAAUGGUUAUUUAACCAUUAAUUUGAAAAGAGUUUUAAUUAAUGUAUUUUAAUUAAGUUUUGGAAACCUAUUUGCUUGUAUGAAUCGUCGAGUAGGUAUUAAAACAAAAUCAUAAUUGCUUCUACCACAAAUGUGGCAUUUCAUGUUUCGGACCGAACGACCGGGUCGUGUGCAAGGUCUUACAACCAUUGCCUUAAACAUAAAGGCUUCCAAUGUGCUCAUUUAUUUUUGCAAUAUAUCAAUAGGGGUUGGAAAAACUUUCUUGUUACAAAGGUAACCCAACUAGAUUCCAAGAGUUUUGGGGUCGCUCUACUCGUUUGAUUCCUACAUAUUCGAAAACCACCGCUUUUAUUGACUCCUACUUGAUAGACUAAGAUAUAAAUAAAGAUUUUCUAUAAUUGAUGGACAAACUUGAUAUUCCUCCAAAAUUCCCUUCCCUUAUUUUGUAUUCCUAAUUGCAUGCAUAAGUUCAACCCCUAAGAAAAUAUUAUCAAUAAUACGUCUCCCUUAUGGUGUAAUCAAUCUUGACUAGCCCCUUCAAUCUACUCACUGAAACUUUUGUUCAAAUUUUAUAAACCACAUUAUACAGGCUAAUUGGACAUUACCUUUAUCCUCAAGAUACGAGUGAUCUACGGUCUUAAAUUCUUUCAAUAAAAAACCAAAACAUGCUUGAGUUAUGAGAGGACCUACAAUAUCCCAGAACAUGCUAUCAAUCCCGGCAGCUUUAGAGCAUCAUUUUAAAAUAUAUACCACCUUUACUAUUUCUUCUGGUCUAAUCACCCCUCAAAGAUAGUUUAUGGGGUAAUCGUAAAAAAAAAAGAAAGAAAGAAACCCAUCAAUAAGAAAUAAAAAUAUCAAUUAAACUUUCAAUUCAACUCUUGUAGCUGAAAAAAUUAAUCAACGAAACCUUAAACUAACAUUGAUCGUGACAUUUUUAUUGACUUGACUAAAAUAGUAAUAAUACAUAACAUAUCAUAUGGACUGCAUAUUGACAUGACAUUUUUUACGCAUCAAGCAAAUAUUUAAAAAAUCGUUAACAAAUAGAUACAUUUUUUUAAAAAUAAUUAUUUAAAAUAAUAUAUCUAGAAUAAACCUAAAUAAACAACUAUCCACAUUCAUUUGAAUCUAGAUAACUAUUUAUCCAGACUCAUCUUGAACUUGAUUCCUUUGAUAAUUACUAAAAAUUAAAAAAAAGAAUAUAAAAGAAACUUUUUAAUAAUUAUAAGUUAUUAAAAUUAUUAAAAACUUAUAAAAGAUAUUAAAAACCACUGAGAUGAACCUAGACUCUUUUUUUUUUUUCACUUAACACGUACAAAACUAAUUUUCAUAGAAAACCAAAAUAAAAUUGUCAACAUUAUAGGGAUUAAACAAAUUUUUUACUGUUUUGCUCAAAAUACAAUCAACAAAUACUUAAAAAAUGAAAGCCCCAAAAUGAAUUCUAAAGCAUUGAAUACAAACAUUCACAUUGAGAAUAAGAAGUUACAUUGAAGCGUCACUAUAAAUAUAGUUGAAUGAGCUCAUCACUAAUCACGGAAGGAGUAAGCACACCCAAGUCUGUAUAGAGUAGAGUAAGAUAUUGAGGAGGAGUGUAAUCUCGAGCCGAUCUUUCUACCUCAACCUUGGAUGGGAUUAGUACCCCAAAAUCAAUGGGGUGUCGCGCAGGACUCAUAUCUUUUUGGUCCUAAGGAUAAUGUCGAGCAAACUACAAGGGAGAAGAAAUUCACAACUGAGUUAUGCUAGCCGGUAGUCUGAACCCUUCUUUCUAGGUUCGUUGUAUGUAGCCUAUUUCUUUGCUCGGAUUCAAAUACUUAAGAGCAAGAAAUGAAGCUUUUUAGUUACCUUGUAGCAUUCUGCAGCCACAUAAACAGGCUUGUUCAUGCUAUGUGCCACAAAUGCAAUCCGGAAUGGCGCCAUCAUGUUAAUGAUACCUUCACUUUCAACCACUCCAUCAGCUCCAAAGAGUACCAUGUCCACCUCAUCCAUAGUGUAUGCCACAGCAGAGUCUAUUAAAAGCUUUACGGGAACAUCAAGGUUGGCCAGCUCAUUAGAAAAUCGUAAUCCAGUUCUAUCUGGCCUUCCUUCUGUUUUAAAACAAUGUGAACUCUUUCAUAAACACCGCCAUCUGAUAUGACUUAGUAGAACAUAUGCAAAAAAAAAGAAGAUAAAAUGACUAGACUUCUUUUUUGGUGACAGCACAUUUGGUUUAAUCCUGUUAAGAAUUAGUUGCAUGCACAUGACAAGGUACACAGAAAGUAAAACCUGUGCAGAGAACUCUAAAAGUGUUUCUUGUUUUCAGCUGCUGUCUUCAAUACUUCGAGAACAACUCUAGAGAAACCAUGUACCAAAAUGGUACAACCAUCAAAAAUAAAAUCUUGACUUAGCAUUGCAAUAAUCCUGCGAGCCUACAAUGUUUGGCAAUAAUGUCUUUCAACAACAGGAAUGCUUCAAGUAUAAUUAAAAUGAAAUGAAACAGUAGAGAAGUAAUUUACUAGAAAAGCCACAAUUUAUCUGAAAUACCUUACAAGAUAUUUCCCCAAACUUCUCUGCACGUUCGAUCAGGCGAGACUUAGCUGAAUUAAAGUCCUCAUACUCUAAAGCUGAUGUUCUUGUUACAUACAACAUGAAGAGAUCACAACCAGCUGUCAACGAGAUAGAGGUUGUGUCCCAUGACUGGCAAUACAAACAUAAGCUUGAUGAUGAAAUUGAGAUGUUGAUGGGUGUUUAAAGGUAUUUUAUUAAGGAAUUUUGGAUGAAAUCAUGUUUUAGGGAUUAAUUAGUAAAGUUGUUGAAUUUAUGUGAAAUUCUAAAAUUUCAUCGAAUUUAUGGGAUGCUAUUGAUAUAUGUGAAAGUAUUUAGGCUUGGAAUAAGGAAUAAAUUACUUAAAUUUCAAUUUUCGAGCCUAGGGAUGAAAUCGUCAUUUAGUAAAAGUAUAGGGGCAAAAUAAUAAUUUUGCCUAAGAUGUGACUUGGAUAGAAUUGAAUGUAAAUUUUAUUAAGUUGAUGUUAAAUUUACUCAUAUAGAUCCGGAUAGAUCAAAUACGAAGCUAGAUCGAGGUAAAGAAAAAGUGACGGAUUAGUAGACAUCAAUUCACAAACACUUGUCGAGGUAAGUUCGUGUAACUAAAUUGUGUAUAUUUAUAUGCUUAAAUUUGAAUAUUGAAUAUGUAAAUUGUAUAAAUGUCAUGUAUGUGUAUAUAAUUUACCUCAUAUCCGAUAAUUCCUGAUAAAUGAGUCAUGUAUGUGUAUAUAAUUUACCUCAUAUCUGAUAAUUCCUGAUAAAUGAAUAAGUCCCAUAAAAUGAAUGAAACUCGAUUGGAUACAGGGUUCUGUUUCCCAAAAUGGUAAUGUUCCUGCAUAUGUUGCAAACGUCCGUAUCUCGAAAGAGCGUCCCGUUACAAGCCCUCUCAAGCUUCCCGUUAUAGUGUUCUUGCGAGCUUCCCGUUAAAUGCUCUUCUGAGUAUCUCGACUGGUUGUGUUCUGCAUAUGUUGUAGACACACCCACGCUCUUAUGGGUGUUCUGUUUAUAGGUUCUUUGUGAACCUCCUGUUAAAGUGCUCUUCGGAGCUUCCCGUUAGUGCUCGCUUGAACUUCCCGUUAUAUGACUAUCCGGUGCUCUCUGUUAAAGUGCUCUUUGGAGCUACCCGAUAUAGGCUCUUUGUGACCUGUUGUUAAGCCCAGAAAAGCUUCCCGUUAUAGUGCUUGAGAGAGAGCUUUCUGUUUAAGUGCUCUAAUGAGUACUCGACAUGAAUUGACAGAUUUCUGAUUUAUACACUUUAUGUGUGUAACAGCCCGAUCUUGACCCUAAUCGGAACAGUAGUUUUGGGACCACAAAUUCGAGUCUAAAAAAAUAUUUUAAUAUUAUUUUCUGUGUUAAUUAUGUGUGAAUUUACAUGUGUGAAAGUUUCGUAAAUUAAUUUUAUUGUUUGUGUGCUUAAUUUGAAAAAAAGGGGCUUAAUCGCGUAAAAUGAAAAUUUGAUGGCUAAUUAAGAAAGUGCCUAAUUGUUGUUGUCUUUAUAAGUUGGAGGCCUUAUGUUGUAAUUUAGCCAAUAAUAAUAGGUAGUGGAUGGCAUAAUGAUGAUAUGUGAUUUAUAUAUAUAUAAAAUAAAAGUUAAAAUAAUAUUAAUAUAAUAAUAUAUGUUAUAAUAAAACAAAACAUUAAAAGCCACUAUUUUUUUUAUGUUCAUCUUUCUUCACCGAAUGGAGAAAAGAAAAACAAGGUUUGAAAGCUUGAAACAUUCGGCCAUUUUGAAGCUUAAUUCAAGGUUGGUUUUUGUUCGGUUUUUGAUAAUUUUUACGUUUUUGAGAUCGUUGCUUUGAAUACUUCAAAACCCAUGUCUUAAUUUUGUGAAUUGUUGAUGAUUUUGAGAAAUGCCAUUGAUGAAUGCUUGAGCUUUGUGAUAGUUGAUGAUGAAAUAUGAAAGAUAUGUGAAAGAUUAACAUGUUUGUCUUUGAAUUUUUGAUGAAUUUGAGUAAUUAGGGUUAAAUUGUAAAAAUAAAUUUUUGAGGGACUAAAAUGUGAAAUAAAUGAAAUGUGUGGUCUUGUAUGGACACUAGGAAUAUUUGGCCCUUAAGGAGUGUAGUCAAAUUUUGUGUAUUUUGUGUUUUGAGCAAAAAGGACUAAAUUGUAAAAAGUGUGAAAUGUUAGGGGCAAAAUUGUAAUUUCUCAUUUAUGUGUUUUUAGGCUAAAUUGAAUAGAAUGGUGUUUAACUAAGCUUAAUUUGAAUAUGCUUAGAUUAAGAAUUAAAGAAAUCAAAUUUGGAUCGAGGAAAGACAAAAGUGGUGGAGUAGCCGAUUUAACAGUCGACGACAUCCGAGGUAAGUCUAUAGGCAUAUAAAUGUCGUUAAAUUUGAUAAUAUAUAUGUUACAUGUUGGAUGGAAUUUUUGUGAAUAUAUUUGUGUAUGGCCGAAUGUAUAUUGAGCAAAUGAGCUAUAUUCGAGUUCGAUUCGAUCGAGAUACGUUAUCCGAAAGUCCCGUACGAACCCUAGGAAUAGAUAGGAUACAUAUGUCAUGGCAUAGGAUUUUCGAUAUGUGUUAUCGUGUAAGACCACGUCUGGGACGUUGGCAUCGACUUGUGUUUACGUGUAAGACCCUGUCUGGGACAAUGGCAUCAAUAUGUGAUUACAUGUAAGACCACGUCUGGGACGUUGGCAUUGUACGAGUCUUCCGACUAUCCGAGUAUCCUUUUUAAUUCCGAAUGGUUCAACGGGAAAAGAUAAGUUGUGUACGAAUGUAUAAAUCGGGCUAAGUGACCAGGUAUGUGAUAGUUAAUUACCUAUUUGAAAAUAAGGCAAGUUGUAUACUUGAAUUGAUGAUAUGAAGUUAUGUGAAAUAUGGAUUAUGUUAUUGCAUAUUUGAAUAUAUAUGUAUUCGACCUUGAUGUAUAUGUGCAUUGAGGAAAGUGAUGAUUGGUUAUAUUAAUGUUCAAUGGAUUAUUCAGUAAAGAGGGAAGUUAUUACAAAUUAUAUAAGUUUUGAUAUAUAAGUUGAUAAAUUGAAUUAUAUGUGAAAUUAUAAUGGUUUAUUACUAAUUGUCUAGCUCAAUUUAUGUAAAUGAUUAAAUGUUUAUUUGCUUAUGAAUACUAAGCUUUAAUAGCUUACUGUGUGUAAUUGCUUUCAAUUUUAUAGAUUUGGAAGUUGGUUAAGAGCGGGGAUCGUCAGAGAAGUCUAUCACACUAUCGACUAUUUUCGGUAUUUUACUAAGUUUGAAUUUAAACUUAUGGCAUGUAUAGUCUAGUUAAUAUGUUUGAUUUUUGGGGAUGUAAAUAUGAGCCAUGCGAAAAUGGCUUAUUUAUUUUGUUAAGCAUGGUUUUUAUGCUUUCGAUCAAGUGAUAGAUAUGUUGAUUUUGGUAUUUCGGCUAUGGCAUAUUUAUUUAUGUGAAUUAUGUUUGAUAUAUUUUGUUAAUAAGGUGGUAAAUAAUUCGGCAUAGGUGAGCUUAGUUAAAGCAUAUAAUUGAAGUGAGUUUCGUAUAAUAUGUUAAUCUCUGAAUCGGCCAUGGUAUAUAUAUUAUGGUGUUUUAGUCAUGUGCUUCGGUAAUGAGGUAAAUGAUAUUCAAGCUUAAUUAAUCUUGGUUAUGUGUUAUAUAUAUAUAUGAUAUGUGUGAUAUGUUUGGUUUUGGUCUUGGUGUUUCGGCUAUGGUUUAUUUAUAAGUAAAUAUAUGUGAAUCUUGUUUGAUAUGCUUUGUUAAGGUAUUGUUAUGUAAUUUAGUAAUUAAGUGAACUCGGUUAUGGCAUAUAGGUGAAAUGCUAAGUAAAUCAUAGAUGAAAUGACAGUUAAAUUUGGUUUGUAAGAGUAUAUUUGCAUUAAUAAAUUGAUUUGAAAGAAACUAGUAAUGUGCAUAGGUAUGUACGAUUAUAAGGUAUGGAAGAAUAUGUGUAUAUUUGGUCAUGAUCUAGACCUGUUUUGGAAGUGUGUUUUAUGCUAUAAAUUGGUGUAUGGAUAUAGGUUUGGAAAAUGUGAAUUGAUAUGUAUGAUUUUACUAUUUGAAUCGAUAUGGUUUGAUUAGUAAAUGGCAUAUUUUGACUUAUGAUUUAAUGACUAAAUCUUGUACAAUUUAUGAGGUUAUUUAUGGAUGCCAAUUUGUUAUGAAAUAAAUUAGGAAUGUCGAGUAUUUAAUAAAGGUACGAUUUGCUCAUGCAAGUGGACUUAAUAUUCGAUUUUAUAUUUGUAAAAUGAUAUGAAUUGUAUGGAUUUUUGGAUAUGGCUAAAAUGGUGUAUUCAUAUGCGCAAACUUGUAAUAGAUAAAUAUGAAUGUUUUGGUCUUUUGAAUGAUAUAUAUAUAAAUGAUUUUAAGGUAGGUUUAAAAUUUAUGAAUAAGAUACAAACAAAUUCGAGUAAUGAUAGUUAAGUGAGUAAAACAAGUUUGAAUUUAGCUUUUAUAAAUUUAUUGGAUUAGUCAAUUAAAGGAUAAGUUGAUUUGUAUUGAGCGUAUAUAAUUUAUGAUUGAAUGAUUUCACUGAAAUGGUCAUAUGUGUAUAAUAUAAUGGCAUAAAAGGUAUGUACGACCAUAAUAUAAUGUUACUAAUGUUGUAUAUGUGAUUGGACAUUAAGUUGUAUACAUAUUGGUUUCAUUAUGUACAUAUACAGAAGUUAUGAAAUGCAAUGUUUGAUAUUUAGAUAGUAAAAUUAUGUACGGAAGUAUUUUCUAUAUAUGAAAAGUGAAGAUAUAUGCUUGAAUAUGAUUUAAUUAUGAAAAUGUCAUUAAUACGAUGGAUUUAGGGAAAUCGAAUAUUGAAAGUAUUUUAAUUUAACAUGACUCUGAUGUAUACAAGUUUGGUUCGAAUUUGUUAAUUAUAGAAUAUGUUCAUUGAGCUUUGAUGUAUGUUUAAAUUGAAUUAGUUUAAAUUUUGAAAUGUGUUUAUUUGUGAUACAUGCUUAGUAAGGUAUGAUUGAUUUGAAUUGUAAUUAUCAUUUUAUACAUAUUUGAAUUUAAAAUAAGUAAAAUGAGGAUAUUCAAGUUUGAUAAUGUUAUAAAUGAAUCGUUAUUCUUUGGUGUAUGAAAGGAGGUAAAUGACUGUGCUGAACUGUGUCUUGUUCGGUAAUGCCUUGUAACCCUAAUCCGAUGACGGAUACGGGUUAGGGGUGUUACAAUAUGUACUACCCUCGUAUCCAUCGAGAUUUCAAAUGAUUCAACAGGUGAAAUUCUGACAUGAAGACAAGUGAAAAUUAAAAUGAAAUCAAUAUAUGAAAAAUACAUGAAAUGCAUGGAACUUGGUAUUUGAUGAGCUCAUCUUUGGUGUUGAUAUUUACAUGAAAUGAAUAACUAACAUAUUUGAUGAGAUUAUGUACUUAGGCUAUGGCCAAGUUGUUUGGAAUGCAUGAGUAUGUUUACUUAGUGUACAAAUGAAUGGUAAGUUUACUUCCCGUUAUACGAACUUACUAAGCACUAAGUGCUUACUCUGUUUUAUAGUACUCGGAAGCUCGUUGGGUUGGAAGCUUGGCGGAGAUCACUCACACUAUCCAUUGGCUCACUUUGGUAUAUUUAUGACACUAUUUUUGGAUAUAAUGGCAUGUGUAGGCUUGGUUAGCCAAAGUUGGCAUACAAAUAUUUUGGUUGUAAAUAGCCAUUGGAAUGGCUUGUGAUGAAUGUGUUUUGGCAUAUUAACAUAUGAGUUAAUUUCAUGUUUGGUAUAAGUGCUUAAUUUGGUUUAUGAAUAUUAGUAUGAUAUUAAGUAAAUGUGGUCAAAUAUAUAAAUUCACAAACAUGGAUUAUGAAGUGAUAUGGUAAGUAUGAGACUUGAGUUUUGCAUGUUUUUAAAUGUUUUAGAUUGACUUUUGGAUGUGUUAAAAUGUUUGCAUAGGUGAGUGAUCAAAUAGGUGAGAAAUAAGGCUUGGAAAUGACAUUAUUUUGUCCACACGGGCAGAGGCACGAGUGUGUGUCUUAGUCGUGUGUGACACACGGCCUAGCACAUGGGCAUGUGUUCUAGCCAUGUGUCCCUUGCAUUUUAAAAUUUUAAAAUAGAGCACUUGAAAUUGAUCACACGGUCUGGCACACAGGCAUGUGACUUGGCCGUGUGACCCCUGCACUUAAUUAAGUUGCAAGUCAGAGAGUUACACGGGUUAGAGACACGGGCGUGUGCCCUACCUCAUAUACCACACGGCCUAAGACAUGGGCAUGUCACUUGGCCGUGUGAGCCACAUUGCUUGACCACACAAGCGUGUGACCCCUGAACCUAGGAAAAAUUUUGAAAUUUUGUAAAAAUUCUCUAAGUUCCCGAUUCAGUCUCGACUCAUUUCUAAUGUAUGAUUUGGGCCACGAAGGCCUAUAGAAGGGACGAUAUGGUUAAACCCUGUUCCAACGACGGAUACGAGUUAGGGAUGUUACAUUAUCGCCUUUCGGUUACUUAACCUAAUAAUUCAAAGGAUUGGUUAAAACUAAAAUUGACUAACUAAAAUAACUAACGAAUGUGUCAAAUAGCAAAACACGAAAAUAAUCUAAUAUCAUCCGAUUUACUAAACGAUACCCACGUACGAAUCCACUUAGAAUUCAUCUAAAAUUCUCAAUUUAAUUUAUGCAAUUUAUUUCCUUAGUUUCCUUGAUCCAUAGAAAUCCCUAACUUAUGCUAAUAUCUCUUUCGAGCAUAAAAGCAACUAACUCUAGGUUGAUUAAUUGAAAUUUCCUUCUAAUUAAAACCCUUAUUAUCUCAUUAAUUCACUCUAUGGAUUCUCUUAUUAGAUUUGAUUCUAAUUUGGUAGAUUUGUAUCGACCUAUUUCUAGGAUUAUAUGCAACUCCAUUCGACUAUGCAAAAUCUAAUUACAAGAAGGGUCUAUUCAACCUCAAACUCAUGCCCAUCAAACAUGGAUUAAGACCCUAGAAAUAUUAACCCAAGAAAAAAUUUAGAAUUCAUAAUUGAAAAUAAAGAUGCUAAGAUUUUAUUGCAUAAAACUAUAAAUCAAAUAAUAUCAUCCAUCGUAAGGCUCGUCUCCUCUAGGGAUUUAGAAAAUUAGUUCAUACUUGCAAGAAUAAACACCGAUAAUACAAUAUAACCAUUAAAAUAAAAGAAACCUAUGAUAACUUCCUCAGAAAUCAAUUUGGAAUCUUUAAUUUUGAUGGAGAACUGCUUUGAAAUCAACUUCAAUGGUGUUCUUUUGGGUAAUUUUCGUGCUAAACCAAGACGGAUGUUGUUUUCCCUUUUUUAUUUCCUUAUAUAUGCCUUCUUAAAGUACCAAAAACUUAAAAAUUUAAACUUCCGACUAUCAUUGUACACCGUUCCCAAAAGUUACACACCCUUGCCACACACCCUUGUGGUUCACAUAGCUUUGUGGUCUGGCUGUGUGAAAAUCUGUUACCCGUGUACAGCUUCCAGACUGCUUCAAUGUUAUGAUUUUCACUUGUUUUUCGCUCUAUUUGUUCCCAAGUUCUCUAUUAAGCUUCAAAACAUGAAUUUAAAGGAUUAUAAGUAUAUAAUUCACAAUUAACACCACUUUAUUACCCAAAAAUGCACUAAGAAUGAGGCUAGAAUAUGUUACUUUUGACACUUAUCAAAUAUCCCUAUACUUAAGCAUUUAUUUGUCCUCAAGCAUAGGUCUCGGCUCACAUUCAAAUUAACUUUCCUUCACCCAUUAUUUUCACUAGUCAUGGCUUAGGAUAGUCUAUAUAUAAUUCGAAAAUUAAACUAAAAUGACAAUAAAGAGCAUGAGUAAUCCAAGCAAAAAUUUUAAUUUCAAAACAUAGGAUUCUCCCCUACCUUAUAAUGACUUGAAAUUCAAACCCAACCAGAUUUAACAUCCUUACUAAGUUUCACUCAAAACACUCAAAGUGUUUAAAGGUUAAUUAAUAUGCACUCAAUAGUCAAACAAGGAAUGUUAUUACCAUAAGCUUGCUUAAGAAUCAAAUCUCCACCACUACAAAUAUGAGAUGACACAAAGAUCAAGAGGUUUUUACAAGGGUUGUAACGGGGAUUAGGUUAAGAGUAUAGAAGGUAUAAAAGGUGAAUAUAGUUGAGAGUUGAAAUGAUAAGUUACCAAACUAAAAGAAUAAGAUGCUGAAUUGCAAAAAUUUAACAUUAAAGUGAAACAAAGAAUUGAAGUGAGCUUUUAUAUAUGGUGAUGAUGAUGAUUUAAGCUCAAAAAAAAAAAAGAUAAUGAUGCUUAUAACAUGAAUAUUGACCUCUCAAUUGAACAAGAUAGCCUAAAGAAUUUUUAGAAUGAUCGAACAUAUCUAGGAAAUUUACCAAAAAUCUAAUCUCAAUUUAAGGGAAGCAAUAAAAAAGGUAAUUCACAAAAUUAUUGGGGUUUAAGGGUUAAAAUGGAAGGGGUGAUAAACAAACAAAAAGGGAUUAGGCUCAAAGGGGUUUACUAGUGGGCAAUGAAAUGGGUAGGCUAUUUAAAUGUUAAAUGGUUUAAAUCUUAAGUAUCUCUAUCAUCUCAGUAUAUCAAAUCAUUAUAUUUGAGAAUUCACAACAAAUGUUGGAUCUCAGUAACAUUUGUAAUCAAUCUCAUACAAGUGCGCACAAGACCUUAUUUACAUGCCAAUUUUAUCCUAACAUUUACUAAGUUCACAUGAGCAUCUCUUACACAUAUAAAUAUAUAUUUUCAAUUUAGUCCAAUUCUAACAUUUAGAACCAAUCAAUAAAUCCACAAUCACACACUUAUACACAAAUCAAAUCAAUUAAUUAUUUUAAAUAUAAUUAUUUUUAGUAAAAAUAAAUUUUAUAUGUGAAAUAUUUAUUUUUUUUCCAUCCAUAUAAUGGGUCUGACAAAUUUUAGUAUUAUAUAUUUUUUAUGUGUAUUUUAGAUAAUUAUUUGAAAUAUUUUACAUAUAAAAACAAUGAUAUUUGAAAUAAUUAUUUUUAGAAUAUUAGAAUUUACCAUACUUGCAAUAUAGGUGAAAAUAUAUUGAUAUUUGUAAUAGUUAUUUGAAAUAUUUCACAUAUAUUUGAAAUAAUUUACAUAUAAAAUCAAUAGUGAUAUUUGAAAUAAUUAUUUGAUUUUAUAAUAUUAGAAUCUACAAUAUCCACAAUGUAGGUGAAAAAAAAAUAUUUCACAUAUAAAAAAUUAUAUUUACUAUUUACUAAAAAUAAUGAUAUUUGAAAUGGUUAAUUGAUUUUUUUAUAGUAGAAUUUAUCGUACUUACAAUGCAUAUAAAAAAAAUAUUUGAUGUAUAAAAAUUAUAUAUAUAGAAAAAUAUAAAAAAAUUAGUUGAUGUUUUUUAAAAAAUAAAAAAUAAAUAACAUAAUGAUACUUAUGAAUAUAUUUUCACUAUAUCCACAAUGCAAGUGAAAAAAAAUAAUGAUAUUUGAAAUAAUUAUUUUUAUAAUAUUAAAAUUUAUGUUACCCACAAUGUACGUAAAAACAUUUUUUUUUAUAUAAAGAAUUAUUUAUAAAGAAAAAUAUAUCAAAAAAUUAGUUGAUGUUUUUAAAAAUACAUAUAAUUUUAACAUAAUGAUACAUAUGAAUAUAUAUUCAUCAUAUCAAUAAUGUAAGUGAAAAAAUAAAGAGAUUUGAAAUAAUUAAUUUUAUAUGUUAGAAUUUACGAUACCCACAAUGUACGUAAAAAAAUAUUUGACAUAAAAAAUAUAUAAAGAAAAAUAUAUCAAAAAAAUAGUUGAUGUUUUUAAAAAAUAAAAUAUAUUAACAUAAUUAUAUAUAAAUUAUUUUCAUUAUAUAAUUACAUAUUUAUUAUUUUGUGUGUAUAAAUAAAGAAGUGAUUAAUUAAAAUAAAAAUAAAAAGUUAAUUGAAGACUUGAAAAUAGCAUGCUUAUUAAUUAAAAAUUAAGAAAAAAAAGCUUGAAGAAAUAUUCAUUAGGAAAAAAAAAAUAAUAUAUGGGGGGGGGGGAUUCGGAUAUGGGACUUAAGGGUAGAAAAUGCUAGAAAAAUAAUGAGGUCCUUGGAAGUAAUAAAUAUUAAUAUUUUGAUAUUUUAUAAAAAAUUUAUAAACUAUAUAAGCAUAAUAGGAUUUGAACUUAAGUUACUAUGACUUCAACGAUCUUAUUCUUGUUAUCAGAACAUUAUUUAUUUCUUUUUAUAAACAUUUACAUAUAUUUUUUUUAGAUCUAACAAACAGGGAAGGCAUUUGGUAAAUUUCUGGAUUUGCAGUAUUUUUUUCUUCAAGCUAAUUAAUUCAAUUUUGUAUGGUGUUAUCCAGGAAGAAAUAGAUCAACAAAAAUGGGAGCUGAGGAGCCUGAAGAGAACAUCACUCACAUGGAUGCUUGGCUUUAUAAGGCAGCAGCAGAAGGCAACAUUGAAGUAUUCAAUAAUAACCAGCGGCUUCAACUUGAGCCGCUAAAGACCCCAAACCAUGACAACCUGCUCCAUGUUAGCUUGGCAACCCAGGAGAAUGCUGUCUGGCUUUUUAACAGCGUUCACUCAAUAUUUAAAUCGUCCCCGCACAAUAUGUAUUCUCCCUGAUAGAUUUUGUAUCACACGAUCCGGGUUUCAAUAUUUUCGUAACUGUGAUAAGAAGAGACAAAAUAUCUGAUUUUAUCAGACAAAUUCUGUUGGGACAAUGGCAGCAGCAAAAAGAAAAGAACAAGACAGAGAACAAAGGAGGAAGAAACAAAAACAAUUUACUUGCUCACAAACGUGCAACAAGGAAGCAAUCUGAGUUUCACAACUGAUAUGCUUGAUUUUUCAAUAAGAAAAACAAUACAUUUAUAGCCAACUAUAUCAGUUAUUAUUACCUAAUACCACUAAGUAGCCUAGUAACUUUAAAAACAUUGCUUACACAAACAAGCCACCUAAACUAGUCAUUCAACACCUAAACAUAUCAAGCUGUCAUCAGCUUGUUCAUUUCCAAGUAGUUUAAUCAACAAAGAAACUAAAAAGAAAAACUUGUUGUUACAGCAAGUAUAUGUGCUGCAGCAUGUCAUCAAGCUGCAUGCACUUCAACCAAAACAUGUAUCAGCAGCAUGGUUGGCCAAUUUCAACACUCCUCCUUGGACUCCAUGCUGCAAAUACCAAUCAUUCAUCAAGUUUUUUGAACUUGGCAGCCCUUAGAUGCUUUGUUUCAAGCUGACCAAUUCAUUUUCAACCUUGGCCUCAUUCACAAACAAAUCUGAUUUACACACUUGACUAUCCCAGUCUUUUGUGCCAAAGAUUUGUUCACCAAAUGGAGUCUUCUCCUCCUUCACAGCCUUGGUUGACAACACAUCUUGCCUUGUUUCUUUGUUCAUAACAAUCUUGUUUCUUCUUGCACAAACAGUUCGUGAGUAUAGUUUGCUUGCACAAACUGUCUUCAACAGGCUUGCAACUAUACAACACGCAUUGAGCUUCCACAUGUUGCUGAGCUCACACCUUUGACAGACUCACAUCUUUGCAUAUUGUCUUCAACAGGUGUCUUCAACAGGCUCGCACUUUGCUAAGCUUGCAGCUUUGACAUCUUGCUAAGCUUGCACAUUUGGAAAGCUCACACCUUUCCUUGAAACUCCUCCUCCGGCUUAUUCAAGCUUGUUUGGGGGUCUUAUAAGUUUGAGCCGAUGUUGAGCAGGGGAAGCAAAAUCAAUGGUCCCUUAAGACUUAGGCUCUGAUACCAUUUGUUGGAACAAUGGCAGCAGCAAAAAGAAAAAGAACAAGACAGAGAACAAAGGAGGAAGAAACAAAAAUAAUUUACUUGCUCACAAACGUGCAACAAGGAAGCAAUCUGAGUUUCACAACUGAUAUGCUUGAUUUUUCAAUAAGAAAAAUAAUACAUUUAUAGCCAACUACAUCAGUUAUUACUACCUAAUACCACUAAGUAGCCUAGUAACUUUAAAAACAUUGCUUGUACACAAACAAGCCACCUAAACUAGUCAUUCAACACCUAAACAUAUCAAGCUAUCAUCAGCUUGUUCAUUUCCAAGUAGUUUAAUCAACAAAGAAACUAAAAAGAAAACUUGCUGUUACAGCAAGUAUAUGUGCUGCAGCAUGUCAUCAAGCUGCAUGCACUUCAACCAAAACAUGUAUCAGCAGCAUGGUUGGCCAAUUUCAACAAAUUCUCAGCAAAUGUCCAUCACUGCUACUCCAGACGAAUGCUAAAGGUCAAACUCCUUUGCACGUUGCAGCAAGGUAUGGAGAUUCUACUAUUGUGAAACUUCUAAUCAAGUCUUGUGCAAAAGCUAGAGAUGGAGAUUUAGAGAAGCUGGGAAUGGAUCAAGUAAAUGCAGUGGGGGAGAUGCUGAGGAUUACAGAUCAGGAAUCCAACACGGCUUUACACGAAGCAGCAAGGCGUUACAAUGUUGAAGUGGUGAAAGCAUUAUGUUGGAGUUUGAAGACCCUGAUUUUCCGUAUUCCGCCAACAAAAAACAGGAGACUCCACUUUACAAUGUUGAAGUGGUGAAAGCAAUGCUGCACACUUGGGUUAUAGAUUAUCAGUUGUGGAAGAAGUGUUAAAAAGGGAUGUAUCAGCUGCCUAUAUAAGUGAUAAAAAGAGGGGGAUGACACCCCUGCUUAUGGCAGCCAGGUAAAGCUAUCUUGGAACAGUUUCAAAGAUUCUCUCUUUAUGUCCAGAUUGUUGUGAAAAAGUGGACAACAAAGGUUUGAAUUUACUUCAUUACCUGGUUUUUAGAGGCGCUUUCUCUCCAUUAAGAGUUUCUCCUUUGAAAUGACACUCAAGAAGUUUAUUAUGCACUUCGACCUAAGAAACAAGAUCAGAAACAAGUGUGUGUGUAUAUAUUGUAUUUCCAUGGCUAUGGUUUUAUUAAUAUUUAAGUUUUGAAUUAACAUAUUUAAUAAAUCUUCAAUACAAUCAGCUAAUGUGGGUGGCAUGGCAGAAACAAAUCAAUGAUUUGUUGGAAGAAAUUGAGACUGAUCAAGUGGCGGAGGACCCAGUUCAACUCAAUCUCUUGCCAACUAUCUCUGCAGAAAGCUUGGAGAAGACAAGAGAUGCUCAUUUAGUAGUGGCAGCACUUAUAGCCACCAUCGCAUUUGCAGCGGUAAUCCCGGUGGUUUGAAUAGCGAAAAAGGGUCAGAGCAAGGCGCUCCCCUUUUGAUUGAUGAGGCGGCAGCCUUUAAAGCAUUUGUUGUAACAAAUGCAUUGGCCUUUAUUCUCUCUGUUUCUGCCAUCUUCAUCCACUCCGGGGUUCUGGGUAAUAUGUUAUCAGGAUUUAAGUUUGGGCAUCGGACAGUUUUAUAUCGAACUCUGUCUGUUUCUGGGAUCCUUUUUCUAUGCAACGUUUGCAAUGUUGAUUGCUUUCAGCACAGGCUGUUAUGUGGUCUUAAAACCUUCCCACGGACUUGCCAUUGUUUCAUAUCUCAUCUACCCUGCCUUUUUUGUCUUUAUGUUGCUAAUUUUGAAUCUUACAUCAUAUAUGUAACAUAUAAAUAUGAGAAUAUUACUUUAUCACGGAUUACUAUUCUUCCAAUUCCUAGUGUCAAUGUUCUCUUUGAAGAAAUAUUACUUUUAAGUUUUUUUUAGAUAUAUCUAACUCAUCAGUAUUAACAAUCUCCAUUUAAUUGAAAUCAAUGUUAUUAGUUGAUAAAUACACAUUUUCAAAAAAAAAUUAAAAAAAUUCAUAAUUUAUGUAAAGUAAAAUUUAUUAAAUAUAAAAAAAUAAUAAAUAUGUUGUAACUAAUUUUCCGUUAUAAUUAAAAAUUAGUUUGAGGAAUCAUUGAAAAAUAUGAGAUUUUUAAGUUCACCACCAAUUUUUGUUGGCUAGGUGUGAUCAAACACCUAUAAAAUCACUCUUUAAAAAGAAAAUUUUGAUUUAAAAAAAAAUUAAUUUUGGGUACGAUAGAAAUUCAGAAAAUAAAUAUUUAAGUUCAAGAGUUGAUUACGUGAAAAGAAGGUUUUAGCACCCAUGCCUAAAAUUGAUAGUUUGUUAAAUAUAUUCGUCAAUUAAAAUUUAUAUCUCGGUAUUUAAUUAAAAUCCAAAAUUUUGAUAAAUUAAAAAUAAAUAUAUGAAAGAUGUCCAGAUUGUUGUGAAAAAUUGGAAAAAAGAGGUUUGAAUUUACUUCAUUAUUUGGCUUUUACAGACCGUUCCUACAAUUAAGUCAUUCUCUUUUCAUGACUGGUGGUACUAUGGCUGCAUAUGGAUCAAUAAGAAAUCUAAUGAAGUUGAAAGGUGACUUUGGAUUUACAGCAGCAAUAACUCUACCUGGUGGUUUGAAUAGUGAAAAAGGAUCAGAGCAGGGCAAUCCUUUUCUGAUUGAUGAGGCAGCCUUCAACAAAUGCAUUGGCCUUUAUUCUCUGUUUCUGCCCUCUCCAUCCAGUUUGGGAUUCUGGAUCUUCUUUUAUGUUUCUAAUCUCCUUGAUUGUGCAGUGGUUGUGAUGGUGAUUGCUUUUAGCACAAGUUGUUAUGUGGUUUUAAAACCUUCCCAUAGACUUGGUACCGAUUCAUGUUUCAUUUGCCCUGCCUUCUUUGUUUAUUAUUACAUACAACAAUACCUAGCUCUCGUGAAGAUGUUGUACUAAAAAGUACUCAUAUUGUGUGAGACAAUAAAACGAAGAGCUCAUGGAGGCCCUCAUGAUAGAACAAUUUUGCAUGCAGCAGUUAUGGCUGUAGAUGCCAGGCAAUUACAUAUGCAAAUAUAUUUAUUAACAACUUCAUUCCCCCCCAUCUCUGUAUUAAACCGAAAGUCCAUGUGAUUCCAACUGUUAAGCACCAUGGGAAGUGUUGAAAUAUAUAGGAAGUAAUAAGAAUUUUAUACAUAAUAAUGAAUUUACUAAUUUGACAUUUUUCGUAAUUAAAUUUAGCGUUUAAUUUUUUAAAAAGAGUCAAAUUUGAUCAUUUACUUUUAAAAACUAUUUAAUUAUCGUUUUUACACUAAAAUAUUAAAAUUUUAAAUAUAGUAGUUCGCGUGAAAGUUGGCAUGAACUUCAUGUUAACUUUUUCAACUUUUAAAUUUUUUAUAAUUUUUAAAUUAUUUCUUGACGUGCCGGAUAAAUAGUGUUAUCUCACAGUUUACGAGUUUUUCCAUUCCUAUGAUAAAAAGAGAAACGAGAUCAGAUUUUAUGGAACAAAUUCUCAGCAAGUGUCCGUCACUGCUACUCCAAACGAAUGCUAAAGGUCAAACUCCUUCGCACCUUGCAGCAAGGUAUGGGCAUUCUGCUAUUGUGAAACUUCUAAUAAGUCUUGCGCAAAAGCUAGAGAUGGAGAUUUAGAGAAGCUGGGAAUGGAUUGAGUAAAUGCAGCGAGGGAGAUGCUGAGGAUUAGGGAUCAGGAAUCCAACACCGCUUUACAUGAAGCAGCACGGUGUGGCACAGGGAUUUAAAUUGCGGUCGCGGUCGUAUUUUCGGUCGCGUCGCGUUUGUCGCGGUUGCAGACAUAACGGACGCUAUUGCGAUUACUGCGGGUAUCACGGUCGUGAAUUUUUUUAAAAUUCGUACAACUUAUUAUAAAAUAUAGGAAUUAUAAUUAUAAUUAUAAAAAGUCAUUUUUUAUGAUUUUUAGAGUUUUAAAUAUUUAGACUUUGAUUGCUUUUUGCUAUUUAUUUGGACUUCUUUUUUUUUAAUAACAUUAUAUUAGGCUUUUAUUAAUAAAACAAAAUUAUAAAAACUGCACACUUAUAAUUCUAAAAAGGCCCAAAGCAGAUGGCCAAAAGUAAAAAAAUCUAGAUAUUUUUAAAGUAAAAAAAUCUAGAUAUAAUCCUAAAAAAAGGCACCGAUUCCUUGCCCAAUCAGCUGAAAUCUGCCCUCUCUUCUUCCCAUAAUCCAUCAUUUCAUUUUCAAUUUGACCAUUUCCUUUUUCAAAACUUUUCCUUCCGAACCGUUCCAUUUUCUUAUUGUUUUGAAGCUUUCUUCCUUCCGUUCUUCCUCUCCUGGUGCUUUCUAGUCUGGUUCACAUAGCCAAUCGUAUCUUCUUUGUUCUUCAGCGUACUCAGGCCCUCAGGGAGCUCCAUUUCCAGGCAUACCUCCUCUUUUUUGUUUUUUGUUCUUUUUCCUGUUGUCUUCUUUGUUCUUUGUUCUUUUUCCUUUUUUUGAUUGAACUGUGUUUCAGUGUUUCUGUUGAUUUUUGUUUAGAGGGGAUGAUUUUUUUUAAUUUGCUGUUAACGGAAAAUAACGGGAAUAGCGGCCCGUUAUUGCCGCAAUUGGCCAUUACCCGUUAAAUUGCGGCCGUGAUCCACCGCUAUCGGUGUGACUCCGCUUCUCACCGCUAUUUUCAGCAAUUGCGGUUUCGGACGGCGCCGCUACCGCUAUAUAACGGCCGCUAUUUCGGUAACGGACCGUUAUUUAAAUCCCUGGUACUGUGGCAUUGUCGAAGUGGUGAAAGCAUUGUUGGAGUUUGAAGACCCUGAUUUUCCGUAUUCUGCCAACAAAAAACAGGAGACUCCACUUUAUAUAGCAGCUAUGGCUGGAGAUGCAGGUAUGCUGUUGAUAUUAAUAAUUUUGAUAAAAUGUCUGCAAUUUGUUAAAAUGCAACCUGAAGCUUAGAAAACUUUCCAGCAUCAGAAUUAACAGGAAGAGCUUACAUCAUGAUUUCAUGGAUUAUGAACUAUACAUUUAAAUUACAAAUUGAUAGAAGUUGUUUUUGUUAGUACAAAUUUUCGAUGAGGAAAAUUUCGAACACACGAACGAAACUUGAACAGCAAAUAAAGAAAUAAGACAAGGCUUCAAAGUGUGUAUCAAGUCGCUAUUUUUAAGGUUAUAUUCGCCUCCACCUAUGUUUAGUGUGCAAAAGAGUUUCGAGUAAAUUAAUCUCAAGGAUACAAUGAAGCCGAUGACUAUUUGUGUUUUGCACUGACGAAAAUAAAUCGCUAAGCACUGAGCAAUAUAUAACAAGAAACUCAAUUUAAAAAAAAAAAUUUACGGUAAUACUUUAUAGAAUAAUCUAAUAAUAUUUGAAGAUGGAGGAAGGAAAGAAAGAAUUUUAGAAUUUGUUGAUAUAAUUUUCAAAUAAAAUCUCAUUCCUAUUUAUAAGAAUUUUCAUGUUUCUCCGUAUACUCUUCGUAGACUCUUUAAGAAAGUGAGAAUUUUAUCCAAUUAAUGUUUUUGUUUCUUGUUUUGUUUAAUGAAGACCAGAAGUUAGGAAGCUCGACAAGAGUUUAAGCCUCCGUUUUGUUUGUUGUUAUUUUCAUUAAUUCCUAAUCUAAUUUGAUUCUACAGUUUUAUAACGUUAUUAAUUAAUCAAAAUUGUUAAUACAAUUAAUUUUUCGAUUAAAAAAUUUCAUGAUUAUAUAUAAUUUGAAUGUUUUAAGGGUUUUAGAGAUGAAUACGUGACUCAUUAUUUCUUUUAGGUUUGCCUUACUUUUUUUUAUAUUAUAAGAAAAUGAUCAAAUUUUAAUUUUAGCCCUUACACAAUGUGAAAAUUUGGGAUUUAAUUUAUAUACAUUAUUUUUUACAUAAUUUGAUCAUUCUUCUUUUACAAUGUCAUUAGUUAGCCCUUACACAAUGUUGGCAUCAAUAUUUUUAGGAAUCCUAUUCCAAGAAAAAAAUAUUCAUGACGAGUUCGAAUGAAUGUUCUAAAGGAAAAAUCUAUAUAAACAUUUUCAAUGUUAUUUUUAUUUUUAUAUGACUACCAAGUAAUUUUUUUUAAUUUUCAAAAUAUCACACUAACAAAUUUAAUAGAAGAAUUUUAGUAGUAGUAAUGAUUGGACCUAAAAUUUUAAAUCUAAAAAAAAUAGAGGGUCUAAAGUUCUAAAAAUAAAAGUAUGCUUAAAGUAUAUUGUCCUUUAAAUUGUACUGCAUAAUUUAAUACAAAUAAAUAAUGAACCCUUUGCGAAGCAUGAGAUUCAUACUAGUUUAUGAUUAGGUUAAUGGACAUUAAUUACCAAAUUUGCUAAAGUGUCUAUUUGAUGAAAUAAAACAAUCACACGUCUAAAACAUAUAAGGUUGUGGAAUGCUUGUACUAUUAUAAAUAGAGGUGGUUUCUCCACUUUUAGAUUAUCCCGAAAUUUGUUGUUUUUUUUUUGUAAUUUUCUAUUUUAUCUUUUGCAGUAUAAUAUAUUUGGUAAUAUUCAAGGACGUAGGCAUAAUUUGCUGAAUCUCAUCAAAAUUUUGGUGUUUUUAUUAUUAUUUUUUUCUCAAUAUUUUGUAGAGUAUAUUUGUAGUGAUAUAUUGGGCUUUAAGCAGGAUUAUAUGUGACCCUUUCAAUCUUUAUUGAGAAUUGAACAAGUAUUUUUUACGACAAUAAUUUACUCACUUGUAUCCGGUUCACACAACACUAUUAACUCUUUAUGAUUAUACUAACAAUUUAGUCUUAUUUUUCUCUUUUGAUAGUAAAAAAGUAGCAGCAAAAAGCUUCAAAACAAACCAAAUCAAAGACUAAACUAGUUUCCAUGGUAAGUAAGCAGGUCCAAAACACCAGGUGAUGGCUCUUCAAAAAAAUGCAGAGUAAUUCCCAAAUCAGGACCCAGCGGCGCCAUAAAGUCUGCAAUCUUAGUAGCUUCCCGUCUCUUAUGCAUAAAUUGGAAUCCAUCUGCCAAUAGCUUGGUCAUUAGUCGCCUCUUUAAAAUAUCCAUCGCCCCUCACAUUUUCCGAUUCAAUGAUAACCUUCCGAUAGCCUUGGCGGCGGGCCAACAAUUUAGUAUUUUAAUCAUCUUUAACAACUUUGUUUUGGCCCCAUUUGCUAAUUUUAAUUAUUUUUUAUUAUUAAAAUUAAAAUUAAAAAUUCAGAUUGACCCAUACUUACCUAACCUUUGAAUUAGAUUGAUAAACUACAUAUAGAUAAAUCCAUAUAUGACAAAUUUUUUAUAAUUAAAAUUUAGUAUACCGUCAUAAGUGUGUCAUAAUUUAGUGAUAUAUAAAUUUAAAAAUGAUAAUUUUGAUGUUUAUACUGUUAGAGAUUGUAUGACCCAAAUCUCGUCACUUUAAAUAAAAUACAAAGUCAAAAUAAGGAGAUCUAUGGGGACGAAGGAUUUUUCAAGCUUUAAAUAGAUGUAGUCGAAACUCUUCUUGUUUUAUUCAUUUUUCAAUAUUAGUGAAUUUCUCCUGCCCCAUGAUUAUUUCCAAAAAGAUUUUCACAUAAAAUUUAUAUUUUUUUUUCUUUUCUUAUCGAUUUGUAAUUAUUCUACUAUCAUUAUUGACGUCGAUAAUGGAAUUUGACAACGAAAAGAGAUGAAGUGUAUUUCAUCUGCCCUUCCAACUUUGUCAAAUUCCCAUGGACGUUGCCAUCGUUUUAUGUUUGAUCUGCUCUGCUUUUUAUUAUUAUUAUUACUUACAACAAUACCUAGCUUUGUUGAAGAUGGUUUUGUAGUGAUAAUCAAGAAUUUUCUUAACUUCAUUUAUUUCCCCAAAUAUCUGUGAAAGGGAAUUAAAUCUCCAUAUGAAGCCAAAGUGGAUGUGGUUCCAAGUGUUGAGCAGCAUAGGAAGUAAUCAAAAUAUAUAUGUCGCACUGCAAGGAAUUCAAGGCUGCCUUGUCCACAACACAAAGGCUUAUAGCUGCUAAGCACCUGCUCUUAAAUUUGAUUAUGGCCUAAUAAACAACAUAGGGCAGCAUUGACUUCCCCGCAAAGAGCUGUACACCCCAUUUUCUUCCAUUCUUCUUCUUUGCAGUUUCCUAAAACCCAAAUUUCACCAUCAAAAACUCCUAAAAAUGAUGGAUUUGGUGCGUUUACUUUUCAACAAUUUUUAGUAUUUUAAUCAUCUUUAGCAACUUUGUUUUAGGGCCAUUUGCUUUUCUUUUCGUUACAAUUAAGUCAUCAUAUGAUAAUAACAUUUAAUGUAAGUUAUACAAAUAGUCAUUUAAUUAUUAGCACAUUAUUAGUUUGGUCACUCAUGUUUAAAAAAAGUCUAAUUUAGUCACUAACGUUAUGGACAAUUGAUAUUUUUGUCAUUCCUCAUUCAAUCAUUAAUAGAAUGCUGAUGCAACCUUUUUUUAUUGGCAUAUUAAUAAAUUUAGCCUUUCAAUCUCUAUAAAUUCCAGUAAUUUGAUUUACACAUUAUGUUAACUUAAUCUUCAUUCUUAAUUUUUUUUUAAAACUUAAAAACUAAAAAUAUAUAUUUAAUUUUUUUUUCUAUAAAAUACAUAUACAAAAUUAUAAAAUACAUAAAAAUAUAAAAAUAUUUAUAAAUAAAUGAAUACUAUUUUUUUUCUUCAAAGAAAAUAUAGGGUUUAGUCUGAAUGAGUCAAUAUUAACUAACAUGACCAAAAUUUAGUGUGUAACAGUUUUCUGAGCUACCAAACACAGUCUUAGAAUAAAAAAAGAACAUAGAGCAGCAUUAACUUGACCACGAAGAGCUGUAGACCCCAUUUUCUUCCAUUCUAUUCUUUAAUUCUUCUCCUUCUUUGCAGUUUCCUUAAAACCAAAUCUCACCAUAAAAAACUCCUACUUUAUUGACCUCACUUCCAACCCAAUAUGCCACUUUUACUAAAGUGUUCAACUAUAUAAAGUUUUCAUUCGUAGGUGACUUGAAUGCAGGCAUAUGCAAGCAAGUAACUAACUGGAAAGGAAUUUGGUAAAUUUCUGAUUUGCAGUAUUUUUUUUCUUGAGCUUGGAAUGCUUCAAGCUAAUUAAUUAAAUUCUGUUUAGUGUUAUCCAGGAAGAAAUAGAUCCAGAAAAAAGGAACCUCGGAAGCCUGAACAGAACAUCACUCACAUGGAGGCUUCGCUAUAUAAUGCAGCAGCAGAAGGAAACAUUGAAGUAUUCAAUAAUAAACAGGGGCUUCAACUUGAGUCGCUAAAGACCCCAAACCAAGACAACGUGCUCCAUGUUAACUUGGCAACCGAGGAGACUGUCAAAUUCUCAAUAAUCAAAAUCUUCUCCGUAGGAUUUGUACCAGCCUAUCCGUUUUUGAAUUUAUUCGUUACUAUGAUAAAAAGAGAAAAAAAAUCAGAUUUUAUCGAACAAAUUCUCAGCAAGUGUCCGUCACUGCUAUUCCAAACGAAUGCUAAAGGUCAAACUCCUUUGCACGUUGCAGCAAGGUAUGGACAUUCUGCUAUUGUGAAACUUCUAAUCAAGUCCUGCGCAAAAGCUAUAGAUGGAGAUUUAGAGCUGGGAAUGGAUCAAGUAAGUGCAGUCAGGGAGAUGCUGAGGAUUACGGAUCAGGAAUCCAACACGGCUUUACAUGAAGCAGCAGGGUGUGGCAAUGUUGAAGUGGUGAAAGCAUUGUUGGAGUUUGAAGUCCCUGAUUUUCCGUAUUCUGCCAAUAAAAAACAGGAGACUCCACUUUAUAUUGCAGCUAAGAGAGGAGACGGCGGCGUGCUGAGUGUAAUAUUAGAUAAAUCAAAAUCAGCAGCUCAUGGCGGCCCCCACGGUAGAACAGCUUUGCAUGCAGCAGCUAUGGCUGGAGAUGCAGGUAUGUUGUUGAGUUAGUUCCAUUUUUUUUUAAUUUGAAAUAAAUAAAGAACAGGUCUAUUGACAUUUUUUUUUUUUGCUUGGAUUUAGAGGCAAUAAGGAUAAUAUUAGAGAAGAAGGGGAAUUUGACAAAGGAAAGAGAUGAAGAUGGACACACCCCUCUUCAUUAUGCUGCACACUUGGGUUCUAGAUUAUCAGUUGUGGAAGAACUGUUAAAAAGGGAUGUGUCAGCUGCCUAUAUAGGUGAUAAAAAGAGGGGGAUGACACCCCUUCUUAUGGCAGCCAGGGAAGGUAAUGGUGGAACAAGGGCAAAGAUUCUCUCUUUAUGUCCAGAUUGUUGCGAAAAAGUGGACAAUAAAGGUUUGAAUUUACUUCAUUAUACGGCUUUUAAAGACUGUCUUCCCAUCAGGGAGUUCUGUUUUUAAGCGUGGUGGUGUUGAGAUUGUAUAUGGAUCAGUUAGAAAUCUAACGGAGUUGGAAGGUGCCUGUAAAAUCUAAUGGUUUUGCAUUUCCAUGGCUACUGUUUUAUUAAUAUUUAAGUUUUGAGUUAACAUAUUUAAUAAACCUAUAAUACAAUCGGUUAAUGUGGGUGGCAUGACAGAAGCAAAUCAAAGAUUUGUUGGAAGAAAUUGAGAAUGAUCAAGUGGCAUAGGAACCAGUUCGUCACUUUCACUUACCAAGUGUUUCUAUAAAAAGAUUGGAGGCUAUAAGAAAUACUCAUUUAAUAGUGGCAGCACUUAUAGCCACCAUCACCUUCGCAGCGGUAAUAACUGUUCCUGGUGGUUUGGAGAGUGAAAAGGGGUCAAAGCAAGGUAAUCCCUUUUUGAUUCAUGAGGCAGCCUUUAAAGCAUUUGUUGUAAAUUGGCCUUUAUUUUCUCUGUUUCUGCCUGUUGGGAUUUGGAGAAUGAUAGAUGAAGGUUAACAGAGCUUGAGCAACAAUGCUGUAUGUUUGCUGGUGAAAUAAACAGAAUCGGGCUUGGGAACAAAGAAAAUGAAAAACAAGAAAAGAGAGUUUUGGAUGAAAUUUUGAAAAUGAUUUCAUUAACAUUGAUUGAAGGCACAAAGCCAAUACAUAAACCAGACAUUUAGCCGGUCAAAUCAAAACAAAUUGUCACCUAACAUACCUACUAUCACUAAGUAACAUUGGAACUUAUGAAAACAUUGCUUGCACACAUAGGUAUACUGAUUUAUCAAUCUAUCAGUACCUAAUUACAUCAAAACAAUAUCAAUUUACUUCAAAUCUGACUAAAUUACAAAGCGAUAUUUAAGGUAACAAAACGAAAUGAAAUACAAUAGCAGUAAUGUGCUUCAGCAGCUGCAUGCAUACUUCAUGUGUUGUAAGUGCGGCUUGAUCUGCUUGUUCAUACUUUAUGUGCUGUAAAUGCGGUAUCCAGGCCAACUUCAACACUCCUCCUUGGCUUGCAUGCUGCAUACUCCCAUUUUAGCUCUCAAAUGCACGAACCUUGAACACUAAUGGGCUUUGUUAAGAUAUCAGCAAGUUGUUCUUUAGAACUGCAAUGAAUUAGCUUCACUUCUUGAGCUUGCUCCAUCUCUCUAACAAAGUGAAAUUUGAUCUUGAAGUGUUUCAUUCUUCCAUGGAAUACUGAAUUCUUUGCAAUUGCAACAGCAGAUUGGUUGUCACAAUUGAUCUCUGUCGCUUCCCUUGGUGUAGAUUCAAGUCAGCCAUGAUUUUUCUUAUCCAAAUGGCUUGAUUGACAGCAAUAGCAGCUGCUACAUAUUCUGCUUCAGUAGUUGAUUGAGCAACAACAUUUUGCUUCUUCGAAUUCCAGCAAAAAAUGGCUUAUCCAAAAGUAAAAACAUACCUUGAUGUACUCUUCAUGUUAUCUAUCGAUCCAACCCAAUCACUAUCAGCAUAACCAACCACUUUCGUAUUUUUAGCUUUGCUAAAUAGCAUUCCAUAGCUCAAUGUACCUUUGAUGUACCUGAGAACUCUUUUGGUAGGUUGAAAGUGAUUUUCAUUGCAGCAAUGCAUGAAUCUAGAUAGCAGACUCACAAUAAACAUGAUGUCUGGUCUAGUGGCAGUAAGAUAUCGCAAACAACCUACCAAGCUCCUAUAGACAGAUUCACUAACCUGCUCAAAGUCACCUUGGCUCGAUAGUUUCUCUCUAAUGGCAACUUGUGUGUUUGAUGCCUUACAAUUUUGCAUGGAGAAUUUGUUCAGAAUCUUGGAGACAAAAGCCUUCUGACUUAGGAAGAUUCCAUGUUGUGUUUGAGUCGCUUCCAUACCAAGGAAGUAAGACAUUUGCCCCAAAUCUGACAUCUCGAACAUGUGUUCCAUCUUGGCUUUGAAAUCAGCUAGCAUUUCAUGAUCUCCUCCAGUUACUAGCAGGUUAUCAACGUAUAGGAACACUAUUAGUUGAGUUUCACUACCUUGCUUCUUCACAUACAAGGUAGGUUCACUGAUGCUUCUUUCAAAUCCAAGGCUAGCUAGGUAGCCAUCGAUCCUGCUAUACCAAACUCUUGGUGCUUGUUUCAAACAAUACAAGGCUUUCUUCAGUUUGUACACCUUGUCCUCUUCACCUGCCACUUUAAAACCUUCAGGUUGCUCAACAUAGAUUUUUUCAUCAAGAAACCCAUUGAGGAAUGCUAAUUUUACAUCAAGCUGAUGAAUUUUCCACUGCAUUUGUGCUGCUAAGGCAAUUAGCAGCCUUAUGGUGUCAAGCCUAGCUACUGGUGCAAAGGUUUCAAAGUAGUCAAUGCCGUACUUUUGGCUGAACCUUUUUACAACCAGCCUUGCUUUUAGUUUGCUCAAGCUUCCAUCAGCAUUGUGCUUGGCUCGAAACACCCAUUUCACCCUAAUAACCUUUCUAUUUGCUGGUCUCUCAACUAGCAGCCAAGUCUGAUUAUUUUCAGUCAUUCUGAUUUCAUCAGCCAUUGCCUAUUUCCAGCCUUGUUGAGCUUCAACUUCUUCGAAGCAGCUUGGUUCAACUGCUGCCACUUGAGCUAUUUCAUAAAUCGCAGCUAAUGGUCUAGUGCCCCUGACUGGUUCAUUAUCAAUGUCCAUUUCAAGGCCAUUUUGAUCAGCUUUAGUCUGAUCUGUCAGUAAAUCUUCAAAGACUGCCUCUGGUUCAUUCUUCUCUCAAUUCCAACUUGAAUUCUCAUCAAAGACUACAUCUUUGCUCACAAGCACUUUGUUGCAUGAAGGAUCUAGGAUUCUGUAGCCUUUCUUCAUACUGCUAUAUCCCAUCAGGAUGCCAGGUUAGGAUGCAGUGGUUUUCUUAUGAUUGAACUCGCAUUGAGUUUCAUAGUUCACUUCUCUUUUAUUUCCAUCUUUACAGAUAAUCCACCAAGUUAGGAUGCAGACUCGGCAUACAGAGGACUCGACUCGGAUUUUAUUUAUUAAAAUAUUUUGGAUUUAUUAUUCAAAAUUUUUCGUUAUUCAGGAACUAUAAUAUCUUAUUUAAAUCAUGGCAUGAGACUUAGGUUUUUGUUUAAUUUAUCAUGUAUGACAUAUAAUAUAAUUUAAUAUAUUAUUUUUAAUUAAUUAAGCAUGAAAUAUGAUUUUAAUAAAAUUAAGUUGAAAAUCAUUUUUCCAUUGCUAAAUUAUAGUUUAGUAUUGAGUUGUAAAUAAAUCAGAAAAUUUAACUAAUUUUCAAUCUCAUGUGUUAUACUGAAAAUAAGCUAAGUUUUCCAUAUUUUAAUUUGGUCAUUUUUUAAACCUUGAUUGCUAUUGGGCUAUUUCAGUGGCCGAUAUAAUCUCUCAAAUUUAGAUCUAAUGUAUAGGCUGAGUUGAAGAGGUUACAACAAGAUGCAAGAUUAAUGUUGUUUUGUUUGAAGUAUAAAAUUAGUAAAACACAUAGCAAGGAUAACAUUGUUGGAGAUUAUGGUAUGCUAAAAUGUUGAAGUAGGGAAUUUGACAAAGGAAAGAGAUGACACCUCAACAGUUUAUGAUGCACUUCGAUAUGAGUCAUCACGAGAAAUAUCAGUGUGAAAAGGUGUGUGUAUUUCUAUGACCAAGAGCUAUGGUUUUAUUAACAUAUAUAUAUAUAUAUAUAUAUAAUAGACCUACAUUACAAUAGAAUCGGCUAAUGUGGGUGGCAUGCCAUAAGCAAAUUGAAGAAUUGUUGAAAGAUAUUGCACUUGAAGAAGUAGCCAAGUUACCAUUUUUUCACAUUCCCUUAUUAACUGUCUCAGCAGAAAGCUUGGAGAAGACAGGAGAUAUUCAUUUAGUAGUGGCGGCAUUUAUAGCCACUGUGGCAUUCGUAGCAACCAUAACUGUUCCAAGUGAUUUCAAGGGUGAAAAAAGGUCAGAGCGGGGAACUCCUUUUCUAAUUUACGAGGCAGCCUUUAAAGCAUUUGUUAUGCAUUGGCCUUUAUUCUCUUUGUUUUUGCCCUCUCCAUCCACUUUGGAAUUUUGGAUCCUCUUUUAUCAAAAAUAAAUUAUUGAGAUAUUAAUAUAAUUUUAUAUUAAACCCAGUUCAUGUCUAAUGUCCUUGGUGACUGCUUUCCACAUAGGUGGUUAUGUGAUUUUAAAACCUUCUCAUAGACUUGCAUAUUGUUUCAUCUGCCCUGCCUUUUUUGUUCAAUUCUUCUCCUUCUUUGCCAAGUAUUUUCUUUACAGUUUCCUUAAACCCAAAUUUCACCGUAAAAAACUCCUCCUUUAUUGACCUGACCUCUAACCAGAGAUUUUCGUUUUGUUUAAAGUAAAAUUAUAAAGUUAAUAAAGCACAAAGCAAGAAUAGUACUUAGGGCAGCAUCGCCUUGACCACAAAGAGCUGUUCACCCCAUUUUCUUCCCUUCUUUUUCUUCAAUUCUUCUUCUUUGCCAAGUGUUUUCUUUACAGUUUCCUUAAACCCAAAUUUCACCAUAAAACCUCCUACUUUAUUGACCUGACCUCUAACCCUGUAUAUUACUAUUACUAAAGUGUUCAAGUAUGAAACUAUAUAUAUAUAGUUGUAGGUGACUUGAAUGGAGGAUAUGCAAGCAACAAACAAAUAGGUAUGGCAUUUGGUAAAUUUCUUAAUUUGCAGUUUUUUUUUUUCUUGAGCUUGGGAUGUUUCAAGAUAAUUAAUUAAAUUUUGUUUGGUGUUAUAUCCAGGUAGAAAUAGAUCAACAAAAAUGGGACCUCAGGAGCCUGAAGAGAACAUCAGUCACAUGGAUGCUUCGCUCUAUAAGGCAGCAGCAGAAGGCAACAUUGAAGUAUUCAAUAAUAAGCAGGGACUUCAACUUGAGUCGCUAAAGACCCCAAACCAUGACAACGUCCUCCAUGUUAACUUGGCAACCCAGGAGACUGCCGCCUGGCUUUUAAACAGAUUUCACUCAUGCGAUCCGGUUAUGAGUUUUUUCAUUACUAUGAUAAAAAGAGAAAAAAGAUCAGAUUUUAUCGAACAAAUUCUCAGCAAGUGUCCGUCACUGCUACUCCAAACGAAUGCUAAAGGUCAAACUCCUUUACACGUUGCAGCAAGGAAUGGACAUUCUGCUAUUGUGAAACUUCUAAUCAAGUUUUGCGCAAAAGCUAGAGAUGGAGAUUUAGAGAAGCUGGGAAUGGAUCAAGUAAAUGCAGUGAGGGAGAUGCUGAGGAUUACGGAUCAGGAAUCCAACAUGGCUUUACACGAAGCAGCACGUUGUGGCAAUGUUGAAGUGGCGAAAGCAUUGUUGGAGUUUGAAGACCCUGAAUUUCCGUAUUCUGCCAACAAAAAACAGGAGACUCCACUUUACAUAGCAGCUAGGAGGAGAGGAUCUGGGCGCUUGUUGACUCUAUUAUUAGAUAAAUUCAAAUCAACUGCUCAUGGCGGCCCUCACGGUAGAACAGCUUUGCAUGCAGCAGCUAUGGCUGGUGAUGCAGGUAUGUUGUUGAGUUAGUUCCAUUUUUUCUUUUUUUGAAAUAAAUAGAGAACAGGUCUAUUGAUUUUUUUUUUUUUUUUUGCUUGGAUUUAGAGGCAAUAAAGGUAAUAUUAAAUAAGAAGGGAAAUUUGACAAAGGAAAGAGAUGAAGAUGGACACACCCCUCUCCAUUAUGCUGCACACCUUGGUAAUAGAUUGUCAGUUGUGAAAGAACUGUUAAAAAGGGAUGUAACAGCUGCCUAUAUAGGUGAUAAAAUGAGGGGGAUGGCACCCCUUCUUAUGGCAGCGAGGCAAGGUCAUCUUUUAACAGUUUCAAAGAUUCUCUCUUUAUGUCCAGAUUGUUGUGAAAAAGUGGACAACAAAAGUUUGAAUGUACUUCAUUAUCUGGCUUUUAGAGGCUCUCCCUCUCCAUUUGGGAAUUCUGUUUUCAAGAGUGGUCAUAUUGAGAUUGUAUACGGAUCAGUCAAAACUCUAAUGGAGUUGGAAGGUGCCUUUGGAAUGACACCUCAAGAUGUUGAUAAUGCAGUUCGAUCUCAGAAACAUCAUCAUAAACAGGUAGUUGUGUGUACAUAUUACAUUUCUAUAGCUAUGUUUUUAUUAAUAUUUAAAAUUUUGAAUUAACAUAUUUAAUAAAUCUACAAUACAAUGGGCUAACGUGGCGGCAUGGCAGAAGCAAAUCAAAGAAUUGUUGGAAGAAAUUGAGAAUGAUCAAGUGGCGGAGGAACCAGUUCAUCACUUUACCGUACGAAAUAAUUCUAUAGAAAGUUUGGAGAAGACAGGAAAUGCUCAUUUAGUAGCUGCAGCACUUAUAGCCACCGUCGCAUUUGCAGCAGCAAUAACUGUUCCUGGUGGUUUGGAGAGUGAAAAAGGGUCAAAUCGAGGCACUCCCAUUUUGAUUCAAGAGGCAGCCUUUAAAGCAUUUGUUGUAACAAAUGCAAUGGCCUUUAUUUUCUCUGUUUCUGCCCUCACCACCUACUUUGGGGUUCUGGAUCAUCUUUUUACACGAUUUAUUUUUUGGCGUGAAGCAAUAAUUUUAAAUCGAACUUGGUCUGUUUCUAUGCUCCUUAACUAUGCAACGCUUGCAAUGGUAAUUGCUUUCAGCACGGGUAGUUAUGUGGUCUUAAAACCUUCCCACGAACUUGCCAUUGUUUCAUAUCUCAUAUGCCCUGCCUUUUUACUUUGUAAGUGGACAGCUUUGUUUGUAAUUUUGAGUCAUUCAAUACAUAUUUAAAAUAUAAAUAUGAUAAUAUUACUUUAUGGAUUAUUACAAUGUUGUUUCAAUUAUUAUAAAUUCAAAAAUAUUUUAUUUCCUUUUAAUAGUUUUUCAAAUAUUAAAUAUAUAACGCAAAAUAUAUCUAUAUAUAUAUAUAUUUUUUGUUUCUCAUGAAAAAUAGAUAUCAAUCAUGCUUUUCAAGUUUUCAUUAUUGAAAACAAAAUUUUAUUUCUAGUUAUCAAACUUGAUUUUAAAUUUUCAAAAAAUAGAAAAUAAAAAUAUUUUCAGAAACCUAACAAAGCUUAACUUUUUUUUUUUUGUUAAUAUACCAUUUGGUAUUUGAGUUAGUUUUAUUGUUCAAUUUGAUAAUUAAUUUCGGCUUCAAUAUUUAAUUUGAUAUCUAAACCAAAUGGUUUCAUAAGGCCUAAUAAAUAUUUGACAGGUCUACUCUAAAAAAUAGACGUGGGUAUUCUAAUUGAGACAAAAAAAAAAAAGAAGAAGCUCAAGUAUUAAAUUGAACUUUUUUAAAGUUAAACUCGGAUACUUAACUAUGACAAAAAGAAACUCAAGUAUCAAAGUAAAAAAAUUAAGUACAAAAUUGAACAUUCAAACCAAAUUCAUAUACAAAAUUAUAAAAAAUAAUCUUUUAAUACUAAAUUAAAAUUUGAAGUGAAAUUCAAGUAUCAAAUAAUAUAUUAACUCUUCUUUUUCUCUUAGAUCCUCACCUUGAAAAAAGCUAAUUAAGGUUAUUUGUUUUACAUUUACAACUUAAAAUUUUCAUAUAAAUAGAUUCUGUAUUUAUAAAAAUUUAUUUUUAUUAAAGAUUAAAUAAGAUUUAAAUGGUGUGUUGUUCUAAAGUUCACAAAUUUUUAUUUAAAAUAAUUACAUAAAAGUAAUAAAAAUUCAAAAUUUCACACCAACAAUAUAAAGUUAAAAAAUCACACAUAAAAAAUAGCAUUGCUAAAGAUUCUGCUUUACUAAAUUGUUUAAGUAAGGAAUUAUACAUGCCAUGGUGCUUUCUUUGUACCAAUGAUCUCUUUGGAUGGGUGAUGUGUUUAUUUACGAUUAGUAUAAAAAUAACAAUGUAAUACCUCAAAUCCGGUCUAGACGUUAUGACCGAAUAGGACUACAAGAGUUCAUCCAUCCAAUCACACCAAUAUGUGGCGGUGUGCCACUCAUAAAUAUGUAGCUGAGCUUCCAUAUAGAAAUUUGCUCUAGUCGCCAUAUAUUUGCGGUAAAAACUGUCAUAUAACACUUCCUCUAUUUUAUCAUAACCCAACUCAAUGCAUAUGUAAAAUCACGUUAACAUUCAUACAUAUAAUAUAGAUCGUAUGGCAUGCAUGCAUAAAUAGAUAUUAUACAAAGCAUAACACAACACAUAACUUAUACAGAUCAUAACAGAUUGAGAUUAUGCUGCACACAGAGGUUGCAAUUUUGUCGUGGAAGAACUGUUAAAAAGGGAUGUAUCAGCUGCCUAUGUAAGUGACAAAAAGAGGGGGAUGACACCCCUUCUUAUGGCAGCCAAGCAAGGUUAUCUUUUAACAGUUUCAAAGAUUCUCUCUUUUAUGUCCAGAUUGUUGUGAAAAAGUCGACAACAAAGGUUUGAAUUUACUUCAUUAUCAGGCUUUUAGAGUGUCAUCUUUUCAAGCUUGGUGGUAUUGGGAUUGCAUAUGGAUCGGUCAGAAAUUUAAUGGAGUUGGAAGGUGCCUUUGGAAUGACACCUCAAGAAGUUUAUAAUGCACUUCAAUAUGAGAAACAUCAUCAUAAACAGGUUUAUAAUCAAUGAUUUUUUUAUAUCUCAUCCGCACUUCAUUUUGGUGGCCUCCUCCACAUGGAUGGUUAAAGUUUAAUGUGUGUGGGAUUGCUAAAGAAGAUAGAGCAGGUUGUCGAGGUGUCUUGAGAGAUAAGGAGGGUGUCGCAAGAGCAUUAUUUUCUGGUUCAGUAGCAGCAAAUGAUGCCGAUGUGGCUGAGAUUGGUGCGGUGAAGAUUGCUCUGUAAGUAUUUUUUAGCUAUGAACUGGAAGAUUAAUGAUUCUUUAUUUAUUGAACUUGGUUCAUUGGUGGUGUUUUCUUGGUGUGCUAACAAGGUAAUGAGACCAUGGUCUCUUCAAGCAAUUUUUGCAGGUAUUGAAAAUGACAUGUUAAAGGCCGGAAAUGUUGUAUUCUCAUUGGCGGAUAAGAAAGGUAACGAGAUGGCAUCUUCCUUGGCAAUUGCAGGUUAUAAUCGGGUGAAAAUGUUUAAAGCUUGGUGAUGAAUUUUUGUUUUGUUGCAUUCAUAGGUUUAUUAGAGUUGGAAUGCGUUUUAAUUUUGAUUGCUGUAAUACUGAAAUUUUUGUUGUUGUUCUGUUCGUCUUUGACAACAGUACAGCUCGAAUGGAGCCAAAAAAAAAAAAAAAAGGGAAUGUUACAUCUUUGAAUAAGCAUUACUUUAAUUUUCAGUUAUAAUUAAAAAUUAGUUUGACAAAUCAUUGAAAAAUAUGAGAAUUUUAAGUUUAAGAAAAACACAAAGUUUUAUUUAAAAGUGGGAAGUCGUCCUCAACUUUUCUAGUUAGCUGCGAUUAGACACAUUUAAAAUCAAAAUUCUUUUUUAAAAAGAUAAAAUUGAGUUUACAAUAUAAAUCCAAACAAAAAUGUUUAGGUUAAUUAGAGAAUUUGCUAUACGAAAGGAAGAUUUUAGCACCCUCAUGACGCCAAAAAUUAAUUCCUUGUUAAAUAUGUGUUGUCUACAUUCGUAAAUUAAAACUCAUAUCUUGGUUUUUGAUUAUGAUCCAAUUUUUUGAUAAAUUAAAAAUAAAUAUUAAAUGAGUGAAUCAAUUUUUUAAUAGCAAAACAAAGAUAAUGAUCAAGAUGUAGCAUUUUCAAAAUUCAGGGGCCCUUUUUGAGAUUUUCCAUUUAUUUUUCAUCAUGUUUAAAAGAGAAAAGUUAUAAAUUUUGAAGUCAGUAGCCCAAUAUUUAUUAAGCCCAAAUCAAAUUUUAAAAUUGUGAAAUUGCAUUUAAUAGAAAGCAAUAACAUUUCAAAAGCUAAUAAAUAUUAACAAAAAUCGGAUCCGAUAUCAACAACAUAAAAUUUGAUAUUAUCAUGUAAGCAGCUAUUUUUAAAUAUUUAAUAUUUUAGUCAAUAUUUUUGUUAAAAAAAUCAAUUUGAUUGCUUUUGAAAGGUUUAUGGCUAAAUUCGAGUCCUUUUUUAAAAGAUUGAUGACCAAAUUUAGCUCAAGAAAAGAAUAAGGGUUAAAUUUAACUCAAAAAAAGAAUAAGGGCCAAAUUGAUAAAAAAAAUUUACAUAAAUACUACGAGCUAAUUUUAUCAUUAUGCCUAAUGAAAAUUAAGUUGUAUACUUUUAUGAUAGUAAAAAAAAUGUAAUUUCAUCAUUUUAAUAGCUUAAAUCUUUAUAAUAUUUAAAAGAUUAAAUCAAAUAUUUAUAAUUUUUAGAAGGUCAAAAUGUAAUUUUAUCAUUAUUAAUUUAAAAUUUUGUAAAUUAUAGAUAGGUUAAAAAGAGAGACCUAUUGUCCCCUUGGCUCCACCCCUAAACCCAUACGUUUUCAUCCAACUUUGAAAGUCCUUUCAAGCUUUCCAAUCUAUUAUAUUUGAUGUCUCAACGAUCCUAACUCUCGACCAAAUAAUCUUUUUCACUAUUUUUAAACUAAUAUACUUAGGAUUGAGGUAGAAUAAGGACAUGGUGAACUCCAAAAGUAAAUUAAUUUUUAAAUGGAUUUAAGACUAAUUCAUUUUGUGUCAAGUCUACAGUAUUAUUAGUUCAUAUUAACACAUCUCUGUCUUCACUUGAAAGUUAAUCUUACUCCGGCGCAAUCAAGACAAAUUAUCUCUCAUUAUUAGAUUUUAGACAACGUAUAAAUCUCUUUCUCUUCGUAAUUCUAUAGAUUACAAGUCAUGUAUUUAAAUUAUCGACUAAUGGAAAUUGUCUUUUGCAUACAAAACUAAAUUUGUGAUGCAACUCCGAAUUAAUUUAACAUAGGAAAAGAAGGGAGUGCGGCUUCCAUGCAGCAACGACCAAAGCCAAAGAGAAGGCGUGCUGCCUAAUUUCUUGCCCUUCUCAUCCACACAAUUUCUUGACUUUUCUUGUGUUUCUCAUCCACACAAUUAUUUUAUAUUUUAGUAACACAUUUUGAUUUUGUUUCCCUUGUAAAUAUUUAAAAAUAUAUAAAUCUAAGUAUUUACAUGUUUGAUAAAUAAAUUGUUUGUAUAAAAAAAGUGAAUUUUAAAUUAUGUCAUAAUAGUUACAAUAUUAAUGGUUUGCGAAAUUUAAUUAAAAUUAAAAUUCGUUUAUAUAAUUAAACAAAUUAAAGUUAAUACAUGAUUUUGAUUUUUAUUUCUUUGCAUUUUCGUGAAAAAAGUAUUGACUUCACCAAAAAGAGCUGGAGAGCUCAUUUUCUUCCAUUCUUCUCCUUCUUUGCAGUUUCCUUAAACCCGAAUUUCACCAUAAAAAACUCCUAAAAAUGAUGGAUUAGGUGCAUCUACUUUUCAACAAUUGUUAGUAUUUUAACCAUCUUUAUUAACUUUGUUUUAGGGACAUUUGCUUUCCUUUUCGUUUCAAUUAAGUCAUCAUAUGAUAAUAACAUUUAAUGUAAGUUAUACAAAUAGCCAUUUAAUUAUUAGCACAUUAUUAUUUUGGUCACUCGUGUUUAAAAAAGUUUAAUUUAGUCACUAAUAUUAUGGACAAUUGAUAUUUUUGUCAUUCCUCGUUCAAUUAUUAAUAGAAUGUUGAUGCAACUUUUUUAUUGGCAUAUUAAUAAAUUUAGCUUUUCAAUCUCUAUAAAUUUUAUUAAUUUGAUCUUAAUUCUAAAAAAUAAAUUUAACCCUUAACUUUACAAAUUAUGUUAAUUUAAUCUUGAUUCUUAAAAUUUUAAAAAAUAAAAAUAUAUAUUUAAAAGUUUUUUAUAAAAUACAUAUACAAAAUUAUAAAAUGCAUACAAAAAUAUAAAAAUAUUUAUAAAUAAAUGAAUACUAAUUUUUUUCUUCAAAGAAAUCCUUCAAAGAAAAUCUAGGGUUUAGUCUGAAUGAGUCAAUAUUAACUAACAUGACCAAAAUUUAGUCUGUAACAGUUUUCUGAGCUACCAAACACCGUCUUAGAAUAAAAAAGAGCAUAGGGCAGCAUUAACUUGACCACGAAGAGCUCUAGACCCCAUUUUCUUCCAUUAUUUUCUUUAAUUCUUCUCCUUCUUUGCAGUUUCCUUAAAACCAAAUUUCACCAUAAAAAACCUCCUACUUUAUUGACCUCACUUCUAACCCAAUAUAUCACUAUUAUUAUUACUAAAGUGUUCAACCAUAUAUGGUUGCCAGUAGUUGACUUGAAUGCAGGAUUUGCAAGCAAGUAACUAACUGGUAUGGCAUUCGGUAAAUUUCUGAUUUUGCAGUACUUUUUUCUUGAGCUUCGAAUGUUUCAAGCUAAUUAAUUCAAUUUUGUUUGGUGUUAUCCAGGAAGAAAUAGAUCAACAAAAAUGGGACCUGAAGAGCCUGAACAGAACAUCACUCACAUGGAUGCUUCGCUGUAUAAGGCAGCAGUAGAAGGCAACAUUGAAGAAUUCAAUAAUAAGCAGGGGCCUCAGCUUGAGUCGCUAAAGACCCCAAACCAUGACAACGUGCUCCAUCUUAACUUGGCAACCCAGGAGAAUGCUACCUUGCUUUUUAACAUAUUUCUCUCAAUAAUCAAAUUCUUCCCCGUACUAUAUGGAUGCUUCUCUCCGCCUAUGCGUGAUUUAAUUACUAUUAUAAGAGGAGAAAAAAGAUCAGAUUUUAUCGAACAAAUUCUCAGCAAGUGUCCGUCAAUGCUACUCCAAACGAAUGCUAAAGGCCAAACUCCUUUGCACGUUGCAGCAAGGUAUGGUCAUUCUGCUAUUGUGAAACUUCUAAUCAAGUCUUGUGCAAAAGCUAGAGAUGGAGAUUUAGAGAAGCUGGGAAUGGAUCAAGUAAAUGCAGUGAGGGGGAUGCUGAGGAUUAGGGAUCAGGAAUCCAACACGGCUUUACAUGAAGCAGCACGAUGUGGCAAUGUUGAAGUGGUAAAAGCAUUGUUGGAGUUUGAAGAACCUGAUUUUCCGUAUUCUGCCAAUAAAAAACAGGAGGCUCCACUUUACAUAGCUGCUAGGAGAGGAGACGGAGGCAUGCUGAGUAUACUAUUAGAUAAAUCAAAAUCAACAGCUCAUGGCGGCCCCCACGGUAGAACAGCUUUGCAUGCAGCAGCUAUGGCUGGAGAUGCAGGUAUGUUGUUGAGUUGGUUCCAAUUUUUUUUAAAAAAAAUUUGAAAUAAAUAAAGAACAGGUCUAUUGGCAAUUUUUUUUUUUUGCUUGGAUUUAGAGGCAAUAAGGAUAAUAUUAGAGAAGAAGGGGAAUUUGACAAAGGAAAGAGAUGAAGGUGGACACACCCCUCUUCAUUAUGCUGCACACUUGGGUUCUAGAUUAUCAGUUGUGGAAGAACUGUUAAAAAGGGAUGUUUCAGCUGCCUACAUAGGUGAUAAAAAGAGGGGGAUGACACCCCUUCUUAUGGCAGCCAGGCAAGGUUAUGGUGGAACAUGUUCAAAGAUUCUCUCUUUAUGUCCAGAUUGUUGCGAAAAAGUGGACAACUAUGGUUUGAAUUUACUUCAUUAUGCGGCUUUUAGAGACUCUGUCUUCCCACUAGGGAGUUCUGUUUUCAAGCGUGGUGGUGCUGAGAUUGUAUAUGGAUCAGUUAGAAAUCUAAUGGAGUUGGAAGGUGCCUUUGGAAUCACACCUCAGGAAGCUCAUAAUAUCAGUUCGAUCUAUGAAACAACAUCAUAAACAGGUGUGUGUGUAUAGAUAUUGCAUUUCCAUGGCUAUGGUUUUAUUAAUAUUUAAGUUUUGAAUUAACAUAUUUAAUAAACCUACAAUACACUCGGUUAAUGUGGGUGGCAUGACAGAAGCAAAUCAAAGAAUUGUUGGAAGAAUUGGAGAACGAUCAAGUGGCAGAGGAAGCCGUUCGUCACUUUCGCUUACCAAAUGUUUCUACAGAAACAUUGGAGGCUAUAAGAAAUACUCAUUUAAUAGUGGCAGCACUUAUAGCCACCGUCACCUUCGCAGCGGCAAUAACUGUUCCUGGUGGUUUGGAGAGUGAAAAAGGGUCAAAGCAAGGCACUCCCUUUUUGAUUCAUGAGGCAGCCUUUAAAGUAUUUGUUGUAACAAACGCAUUGGCCUUUAUUUUCUCUGUUUCUGCCCUCUUCAUCUACUUUGGGGUUCUGGAUAAUCUAUUAUCAAGAUUUAAAUUUUGGCGUCAAACAGUUUUAUAUCGAACUCGGUCUGUUUCUGGGCUUCUUGGCUAUGCAACGCUCGCGAUGAUGAUUGCUUUCAGCACAGGCAGUUAUGUGGUCUUAAAACCUUCCGACGGACUUGCCAUUGUUUCAUAUCUCAUAUGCCCUGCCUUCUUUUUCGUUCUGCAUUUGACUAUUUUUGAUUACUAUAUUAGUAAGAUAAUAUUUCAUCGUUGAUUACAAUAUUUUUCCAAUUCCUAAUGUCAAUGUUACCUCUUUGAAGAAAUAUUACUUUAAUAUUAAUAAUCUCCAUUUAAUUGUAAUUAAUAUAAAAUUAUUAGUUGCUAGACAUACAAUUUCAAAUAAAGUAAAAUUUAUUAAAUAUCAAAGAAUAAUAAAGAUGAUGUAAUUAACUCUCGGUUAUAAUUAAAAAUUAGUUGCAUUAUAAUAUGCAUGCCCUGUAAUUUUGAUAAUUUUGAUUCUUUUUCUAAUAAUUUAGUAAUUUAAUGAUGUUUAACAACUUUGUUUUCGCACGUUAUAUAAUUUUAUUUAAUAUUUUAUAAUUAAAUUAAAAUUUUAUGUAUUCAAAAUAACCUAAACUUACCUAACCUUUGAAUUAGAUUCAAUCUUAUAAUAUUUGUAAUUAAUAUAAAGUAGUAAACUAUUCUUAGUCAUGAAUUAAUUUCUUCCUCCAAUACUUGCAUGCAAAACCAAAGACAAUGAGAUUAAAAAUAAAAAUUUUAAAGCUUCUGCGAUUUGGACUUUCAAUAUUGUAACUUUAGCAUUUCGACCAUAACUUAAACUACAAAUCUCUAUUUUGAGCCCAUAAUAUAGCAUCUAAUUAAAUUUAUUUCACAAAUCAAGCACCAAAACCUCAUGAACGCAUCUAAAAAUAGCCUGGAAGUUUGACGUGAAAGUUGCUAAGAAAUCUUGAAAAAAUCUGCUUUAUGUAAAUAGAUAAUUUUUUGUAUUUUCUCUAUUAUAUUAUCUUUGCCUUAUAAACAUACAUUAUUAGGUUAAAACUUGAGGAGAGACCUAGACAUAGUCACCUUAGCUUUAUUUUGUUUUUGCGUUUUAUUUUCUUUAUGAGUUUUUAAAUUUUUUUUCUAGUUUAAGGUCAAUCAAAGUUUGAUUCAAUAAAUUUAUGAGACAUGACUUGCACUUUAAUUCUUUUUUGUUCUUUGAUAUUCAUGCAUCUUUUGUUAUAAUUACAAUAGCUCAAGUUUAUUACUAUUGAGUCAUCAACUAGAACUAAUUUAUUAAACACAUUGAAGAUAUCAUUAUAUCGAUGAUCGAACUUACAAAAUCAAUUGUAGAUUUUACCUUUGGGUAAAACCUUUCAACAUUGAAUUUCCUAAAAUUUUUAAUUAUUACUUUCUUUGAUUCAGCUUUUAAUUUAAAUUUAGUUUUUUUAUUUUAUAAAACCCUUUUUUUUUAUUUACCUUAGUGGUUCUUACUUAAGGAAUAUAAUUAUCACUAAUAUCUAUAUAUGUGGAUAUAAUUUUGCUUCUUGUUUUCUAUUAAUUUAUAUGUUCAAAUUGAUUUUAUUUUUAUAGGUCUCGAUAGUCUAACAACUCUCUUGGAUCUUCUUGUUGAGCAUUUUUGAACUUCUUAAACCUUUGGCUUCAUUUUGACCUGUAUUUAAAAACUUUGUUUAAGUUUCAAGAUAAAAAGGUUAUCUACCAUUGCAACUCUUCUAUAGUAGUGUUAUGAUUAGUGGACAUUACUUCUGUCACUUGUUCCUCUACUUCAAUUUUCUUUUUAUUUAAUCUAGAUUGAUCUCAUAGGUUUGUAGAAAUCCAAUUGAUUCAUCAAUUCACAUAUUAUCAAUAUCUUUGGCUUCUCCAAUGAUUGUGACUUUGAUGUUGAAUUUCUUUAGAAAAGAUCAAAUCACACAAUUUGGCAUAGAACUUGUCAAUUGUUUCAUUAUCCUCCAUUUUUAGAGUUUUAAACCUUGUUAUGAGCAUUUGUAAUUUAGAUUGCUUCACAAUCUCUAUAACACCCCUAAACCUCGCCUGAACGUUAUGGCUGAAUCUAGAAUGUUACGAAGAAGGGUUUUGAAACCGAUCUUUACAUGAUAAAAAAAAAACCUCGUAUGGUAUCUUACUAGAAAAGAGUCCUUAUUGUAUAAAACAUAUCCAUUUAACAUUGUCUUUAAUAAAACCGUUGAUAGUUUGUUCUUUAAGAAAAACUUAAUUCGCGACAGAAAUCUUAAGUGUCAUUAUAUGUCGAAAACCAAGUUUGUGUUUUCCAAAACGUUUGUUUGCAUAAAACCAUUAUUUACGAAAAAUUGUUUGUUGUGCGUUGCAGAAAACAUAAUCAAACCAAAAACAACAACAAAAACCAAAAGAAAUCAAAAAGUCCGGAGAGUCCCAAAAUUACAAAACUCUCAAGAAAAACCAUAAAUUAAAAUAAAACCAAUAAUUAAAGGAUAGUUUCCAUACUAGUGGUCAUCGCUGAGCUUCCGUUGCACCGACCUGCCUAUGUCUGAAGAUUACCUGAAUAGAGUAGACAAACAAAUGUGAGUUUUCAAAAACUCAAUGUGUAACUUAACAGAGACAUGCAUACACAUAAACUCAGAUUUCUCAUGUAGCAAAUCAGAUACGGGCAUAAGUCAUUAACAGAAUCAUAUAAUAUCAUAAUCGGAUUAUUAGAAACAUACAGAUACCCAAAGUCCUACCCCCAUCCUCUACACACCAUCUCUGACCAUCCCAACACACCAUAUGGGGUAUAAAACACCCACUCAUCCCUACACACCACAUAGUGUCUUUACAACACUUAUCAAGAAUAGUAUGCAGUCAAGCUGCCAGUAUAUCGGCGAAAUGUCACCUCACAGAACACUUCCUCCACAUAUACAAAUCCCACCCCAUACAUCAGAUAACAAAUAUAACAGAACUAACAUGUCCCGCAUGCUCAUAUACAAAUAUCAUACAUGUUAUUAUGAAAUAGUCAAAUCAUACAUAUCAACUUCUAAAUACUCAAAUUAGUCUAUCAAAGUAGCAGAUAUCAUACAUUAGGGUUUGUUAUUAUGUAAUGUAUUGAAAUAAUCAUAAUCUAAACUUAAAAUAAUAAAAUAAAUUUAAAUAGCAUCGGAUGCUUAAACUAAAAUCAGAAAGAAAUAUAAAAUUAAACAAAACAUUGACUUUGUUAUACAAUAGUUUAAGUAUCAUUAAUUAAUAUUUAUAAAUAUAAAAAAGUCAAAGUCUUUUUAAAAUACUAAUUAUUUAAUUAGUUAAUGAGUGUUGCAUUUGAUCUCAUGUUAUAUAUAUUAUAAUAUGCAUGUGCUACUUGCCUGGAAAGGUUUGUUUGUAUUUUAAUCACUUAUCGGUUGUUGAUAUUUUGGUCAUUUUUCCGUUAAAUCAUUAAUAGAAUGUUAAUGCAGUUUUGUUUUUAUUGGUAUAAUAAUAAAGUUAGCUCUUUAAUGUUUAUAGAUUCUAUUAAUUUAGACCUAAUUUAAAAAAAAAACAAAUUUAACCCUUAACUUUACAUAUUAUGUCAAUUGAUCUCAAUUCUUAAAAAUUUAAAAAAUAAAAAAGAUAUUUAAAAUUUGUUUCGAUAAAAAUACAUACAAAAUUAUAAAAGUUAUAAAAUACAUACAUAUAAAUAAAUGAGUAUUCAAUUCUCUCCUUUAAAGAAAAACACGAAAAAGAACUUAUAUAAAUUAUCAUUUGUUUUGUUGAAAAUGUGGUAAAUCUUAGGGAUUUUCAUUGUUGGAAGGGUGAAAAGAAAAUCUAGGGUUUAGUCUAAAUCACUCAAUAAUAACUAACAUCAUCAAAUUUUGGAUGGACAUAAUGCAUUGAAAUAAUCAAUAAUCAAAAUUGACAUCAUAAAUACAAUCAACUUCAUAAUUAAAAUAUAUCUAAAUUUAAAUAGAUAAAACUAAAAUCAGAAAUAAAUAUGAAAUUAAACAAAACACUUACGCUGUUAUAUUGUAGUUUAAGUAUCAUUAAAUAAUAUUUAUAAUUAUAAAAAAGUCAAAGUCUUUUUAAAAUACUAAUUAAUUAAUUAGUUAAUGAGUGUUCCAUGUGAUCUCAUCUUAUAUUAUAAUAUGAAUAUGGGAAUGUGCUCCUUGCCUUGAAAGGUUAAUAUUAAUUAAUAAAAAUGUGAAAAAAUUAAAACUCGCCAUGUGCCUCCAUAAUUAGAAUUUAAUAAUGCAACUUUGUUUUACGGAUUUGCUUUCCAUUUCCUUACAAUUAAGUCUUUCAAUUAUAUUUUAGUAGUGUUUUACUGUUUUGGUCCGUUUAUGAUCAAACUCACAGAAACAAAGUUAAAUUAGUUAGGGGGUUACAAUCUCCAUGCCUUCAUGGGCAAUCUCAAAGAUUUCAAGCUAUGUAUAUGUGUCACUUGUCUUGAUAAGCCACAAGGUGUCUUGGAAUAAGUAAGGCAUUUUGUAAUUUUUCUUAAUUUGUAAUCUUUUUUUCGUUUAUCUUUGAAUGUUCCACGGUAAUUGAAUAUUAAUUGGUGUUUUCAAGGAAGAAAGCUGUGCAAUAGAUCAACAAAUAUGGGACCAUCGUUAAACGACAUUGUUAUUUCCUCCGGUGAACCUGAGAAGCCUGCAGAGAACAUCACUUGCAUGGAUGCUUCAUUGUAUAAAGCUGCAGCAGUAGGCAAAAUUGAAGAAUUCAAUAAUUACCAGGGGCCUGAACUUGAGUCGCUGAAGACCCCAAACCAUGACAACGUGCUCCAUGUUAACUUGUCAACCCCUGAGCGUAUCUGGCAACGUACCAGAUUUGAUUUUGUCCUACAAAUUCUUGACAAGUGUCCAUCACUGCUACUCCAAACAAAUGCUAAAAGUCAAAUUCCACUGCAUGUUGCAGCAAGGUAUGGAUAUUCUACUAUUGUACGACAUCUAAUCAUGUUUUGUGCAAGGGUUAUUUAUAAAGAUUUAGAGAAGCUGGGAAUGGAUCAACUGAAUGCAGUGAGGGGGAUGAUCAGACAUACGGAUCAAGAAUCCAAUACGGCUUUACAUAUAGCAACACGGUAUGGCCAUGUUGAAGUGGUGCAAGCAUUGCUGGAGCAUGAAGACCCUGAUUUUCCAUAUUUUGCCAAUAUAAACCACGAAACUCCACUUUACUUAGCAGCUAGGAGAGGAAGUCGGCGCUUGCUGAGUAUAUUAUUAGAUAAAUCAAAAUCAACUGCUCAUGGUGGCCCCCACGGUAGAACAGCUUUGCAUGCAACAGCUAUGGUUAGAGAUCCAUGUAAGUUAAGUUCCAAUUUUUUUUUUUUUUGUUUGAAAUAAACAGAGAAUAGAACCAUUGACUUUUUUUUUUUGGGCUUGAAUUUAGGGGUUACAAGGAUAAUACUAGAGAAGAAAGGGAAUUUGACAAAGGAAACAGAUGAAAAUGGACACACCCCUCUUCACUAUGCUGCACACUUGGGUCACGAUGCUGUUGUGGAAGAGCUGUUAAAAUGGGAUAUAUCUGUUGCUUAUAUAGGUGAUAAAAAGUGGGGGAUGACACCCCUUCUUAUGGCAGCCAGGCAAGGUCUUUUUGGAACAGUAAGAAAGAUUCUGUCUUAUUGUCCAGAUUGUUGUGAAAGAGUGGACAAAAGAGGUUGGAAUUUACUUCAUUUUAUGGCGUUUAGAGACCUUUCUCGUGGAUUCCGCAUUUUAUUAAAGAAUGAUAAUGCUACCACGACUGAAUAUGGAUCAGUCAGAAAUCUAAGGGACUGGAAAGAUGCUAGUGGAAUCACACCUCAACAAGUUUUCAAUGCAUGUCAAUAUGAUAAGGAAGAGAAAAAGGUAUAUUUAUAUUUGUAUUUGUAUGCCUACGGCUAUGGUUUUAUUAAUAUUUGUGUUUUGAAUUAUGAUUAUAUAACAUAUAUAAUAUAAUGAUCUAUAAUAUAAUCGGCUAAUGUGGUAGGAACAAAUUGUGAAAUUGUUAAAAGAAAUUGUGAAUGAAGAAGUCGCGGAGAAACCAGUUUAUCCCAUCGGCUUGCCAAACAUAUCUGCAGAUAAAAACUUGGAGAAAGCAAGAGAUGCUCAUUUAGUAGUGGCAGCACUUAUAGUCACCGUCACAUUCGCAGCGGCAAUAACCGUUCCAGGUGGUUUGCAGAGUGAAAAAGGGUUAGAGCAAGGCACUCCCCUUUUGAUUCAUGAGGCAGUGUUUAAAGCAUUUGUUGUGACAAAUGCAUUGGCCUUUAUUUUCUCUGUUUCUGCCCUCACCACCCACUUUGGGGUUCUGGAUAAUCAAUUAUCAGGAUUUAAAUUUUUUCGUGAAACAGUUUUAUAUCGAACUCAGUCUGUUUCUGGGAUCCUUGGCUAUGCAACGUUGGCAAUGGUGGUUGCUUUCAGCACAGGUAGUUAUGUGGUCUUAAAACCUUCCCACGGACUUGCCAUUGUUUCGUAUCUCAUCUGCCCUGCCUUUUUACUCUGUAUUUGGGAAAUUUUGAAUCCUUUAAUGCAAAUGUAAAAUAUAAAUAUGAUAAUAUUACUUUAUCAUUGAUUACAAUGUUGUUCCAAUUCCUAAUAAAAAAUUAAUUUUUUUUUAAAAGAUAAUUUUGAGUCUACGAUAAAAAUUAAAAAAAAAUGUUGUUUACAUAGCAUCCUCGCGACGCUCAAAAUCGGCACCUUAUUAAAUAUGUUUUGUCUACCUUGUUAAAUUAAAAUUCAUAUCUAGGUACUUAAUUAUGAUCCAAAUUUUUGAUAAAUUAAAAGCAAAGAUAUUAAAUGAGUGAAUCGGUUAUUUAAUAGCAAAACAAAAGUAAGGAUCAAGAUGUAGCAUAUUCAAAAUUCAAGGGCCUUUCUUGAGGUUUUUCAUUUUAAUUUUUUAUCAUUAUAAAAGAUAAAAAAAGUUAUAAAUUUUGAAGUAAAUGGGCCCACAGUCCAACAUUUAUUACACAAAUGAACAGAUAAGAAAACAUUUGGGCCCAAAUCGAAUAUUAUCCCAAAGUUCAUAAACAUUUGACUUUAAAAAUUGUGAAAUUAAAUUCAAAACUAAUAAAUAUUAACAAAAAUUGGAUCCCAUAUCCACAAAUUAAAACUCCAAUUCUUGUUACUUACGGAUCCUGGACGAAAUUCGGUGUUUACAAAAGGUAUCAAGUGGCGGAGGAACUAGUUUGUCCCAUUUGCUUGCCAACUAUCUCUGCAAAAAGCUUGGAGAAGAAGGGAAAUGCUCAUUUAGUAGUGGCAGCACUUAUUGCCACCUUUGCAUUCGCAGCGGCAAUAACUGUUCUUGGUGGUUUGCAAAGUGACAAAAGGUCAAAGCAAGGCACUCCCCUUUUCAUUCAUGAGGCAGCCUUCAAAGCAUUUAUUGUAACAAAUGCAUUGGCCUUUUUAUACUCCGUUCUGCCCUCACCAUCCACUUUGGGUUAUGGAUAAUAUAUUAUCAAGAUAUAAUUUUUGGCAUCGAACAGUUUCAAAUCGAACUCGAUUUGUUUCUGGGAUCCUUGGGCAUGCAAUGAUUGCAAUGGUGAUUGCUUUCAGCACAGGUAGUUAUGUGGUUUUAAAAUCUUCCCACGGACUUGUCAUCGUUUCAUAUCUGAUCGGCCCUGCCUUUUUCUUUGGUGUGUGGCUAAUUUUGCAUGCUUCCUUAUAUAUAUAAAAUAUAAAUGUGACAAUAUACUUUAUCAUCGAUUACAAUAUUCUUCCAAUUUCUAGUUCGAAUGUUACCUCUUUGAAUAAACAUUACUUCAAUUUUUUUUUUUUUGAGAUAUGUCUAUCUUAUUAAAAUUAUGAAAAAGGUCAAAAAAAAAUCACAAUUUGUGUAAAGUAAGAUUUACUAAAUAUCAAAGAAUAGUAAAGAUAUAUUGUAAUUAAUUUUCAGUUAUAAUUAAAAAUUAAUUUGACAAAUAAUUGAAAAAUAUGAGGAUUCUAGGUUUAAGAAAAACAUGAAAUGUUAUUUAAAAAUGAAAAGUGGCGAUUAAAUUUUUUGGCUAGGUGUGAUCAAACACAUUUAAAGUCAUCUUUUAAAAACAAAAUUUUGAAAAUUCUUUUUUAAAAAGAUAAUUUUGGGUCUACCAUAGAAAUUCAGAGAAAAUUAUUUAGGUUAGGGAAUUGGUUACGGAAGAUUUUGGGUCUAUCUUGUUAAAUAUAUGUUGUUUACAUUCGUAAAUUAAAAUUCAUAUCUCUGUAUUUAAUUGUAACACUCCAAAAUUGAGGCGAGGAGCAGUAAGGUUUGUUGGUUUGGGGUUAGUGGUUCGUAAGUCCUAAGUUAAUUUUUGUAUUUUAAAAAUAAAAUGAGUCUCUUGAUUUAGUGGUAAAAAAUUAGUUUACCUUUAGAUCUUGUGUUCAAAUUCUCGUGAGAGCUUUGAGGAAGUUAAUUUUUGGUUUUUAAAUUUUGUUAAAUUCUAUCACGUUUGGAUUCAAUUUUCAAUACUUCACUAAGUGAUGUAUGUAUUUGGACUUUUGUUAUGGUCCUUUUAUGAUAUUACUAAUAAUUUCUUGAUUGAGAAAAAAAAAUAUAUUACUUAUGACAUGUGGCUUCCCUUGUACCAUGUUAAAUAAUCUCUCGUGUUUGCAAGAUUUUCUAUUAUGUUCGUAUAUCAAGUGUUUAUGAAUGAAGUCAAAAAUUUUGUGUUGGGAGUCUGAAGUAAUAAUUUUAGAGGGGAAAUAAUUUUAAAUAAAUUUAAAAUUAAUUUAUCUCGUGUUUAGUUUAAUGUAUUCUUUAUCUAUAUCACUAUUUAAGAGUCAAUUCUAUUUUGAUAGCGAAGAUAAGUUAUUUUCCCUUAUUGGACAUUAGACUACAUGAUAUCCUUAUAUGAAUCACUUACUUAUCAUGUUUCCAUGAGUUAAUGGACUAUUCAUUUAAAUUACAACUAAUUGAAAUUAUCUUUUGCAUCCAAAACAAUAUUUGUGAUGCAACUUCCGAUAAAUUUAACGUAAGUAACUAAUGAGCUAAUAUUUACACAUACUAUUAGUUUACAUGUUGGUUUGAAUCCAUAAAAAUGUAAAUUUAUAUAAAUGUAAAAAAAAAAAUUCGACAGUUUUUCAAAUAUUAAAUCUCGUACAUUCGUUUGAAUCAUAAAAAAUAUACACUUUCUAUUUUAUUAUAGAAAAAAAAAAGAUACCAUGUUUUUCAUCUUUAUCAAAUGUGUUUUUCAAUUUGAAAAAAAAUAAAAAUUAGAAAAUGAAAUAUUUCUUUGAAAAUGAUAAUAGAAAAUAAAAAUAAAAAAAAUAUUGUAAGGAACCACUACACCAAAACAGGCUUUUAACGGCGUUUGGAUUAAAAACGCGGCUAAAGAUCAAUCCUUAGCGGCACUUUAUGGAAAACGCCGCUGAAAAUAAGCAUUAGCAGCGUUUUCCAGAAAGCGCCGCAAAAAACCUAAGCCCAACGACGUCGUUUUCUAAGCUUUCGGGGAUUUAGCCGCUUUUUUAAGAAAGCGCCGCUAAUGCUCAGGGCUUUAGCGGCGUUUUUGAGAAAGCACCACAAAAAAACCUAAGCCCAACCACGCCAUUUUCUGAGCUUUUGGGGAUUUAGCGGCGUUUUUAGAAAAGCGCCUUUAAUGCUUAGGGCUUUAGCGGCGUUUUUGAGAAAGCGCCGCAAGAAAAACCUAAGCCCAACGACGCUGUUUUCUGAGCUUUCGAGGAUAUAGCGGCAUUUUUAAGAAAGCGCCGCUAAUGCCCAGGGCUUUAGCGGCGUUUUUGAGAAAGCGCAGCAAAAAAACCUAAGCCCAACGAUGCCGUUUUCUGAGCUUUCGGGGAUUUAGCGGCGUUUGUAGGAAAAGCGCCGCUAAAGGUCUUGUUCUUUAGCGGCAUUUAUUUCUAAAAUCGUCGCAAAAGUUUGCGGCAUUGUCAAUAGCGGCAUUUUUUGCGGCGCUAGGCAAAAAAAAACCCGCUAAAAGCCUGUUUUGGUGUAGUGAACCAAAGGAAGGUUAACCCAUUUUUUUUUGGAUUAAUAUACCAUUUGGUCUUUAAAUUUGGUUCUAAUGUUCAAUUUAAUACUCAAACCAAAUGACUUCAUAUAGCUUAAUAAAUAUUUUACAUGUGUACUAUGGUAAAAAAAAAACAUAAGUAUUUUAAUUGAGAUAAAAAAAAUGGGUAUUAAAAGAAACAUUGAAGCUAAAUUUAAGCAUUUAAUUAUGACAAAAGGAAAUUCAAGCAUUGAAUUGACAAUAUUUGGGUACCAAAUUAAACAUUGAAGCCAAACUUAUGUACCAAUUUGGAAAAAAAAAAUCUCGAGUACAUUAACGUUCUUCUGCUAUUAAAUCUUCUCAUUGAAUAAAGCAAAAGCUAUGAUUUGCAAAGAGAAUAAAUGGUGUGUAGGAAAAAUGUAGGGAAAGAAGAAUAAAGGGGAAAUUGUAGCUCCAUCUACUUGGACCAAAUUUUUUAUUAUAUUGAUUCCUUUUAAUGAAAAAUAAUUGUACUCAGGCGCAAAAGGUGGAAAAAAAAUUUUAGAGGGUCGAAAUUAAAUUUUAAUUUUUAUAAUAAUAAAAAUGUAAUUUUAACAUUUGAAUAGCCUAUAUAUUUAUAAUGUUUAAAAGAUUAAAUCAAAUUUUUAUCAUUUUAGGGGGGCCAAAGUGUAAUUUUAUCUUUACUAAUUUAAAUUUUUUUACUUGUACUACGAGUUGUAUUGCAUUUUGCCCCAUUUAAUUUAUAAAAAAAAAAAGUAAAUUAGUCAUUGUAUACUAGAUCAAAGAUCAAGUUGGUCCUUCUGGUAAACAUUAGCCCAUGUACAUUAGAAUGAGGGACACGUUGCAUGUCAUGUUUAACUAUCUAACUAUUCUGUUUGUUAUGCCCGUUUUAUUGAUAGAAAAGGAUGAAACUUUUAAUAGAAAUGAUCAGUUUACUUUUUUUAUCUAAUAAACAAUGACUAAUUUACUCAUUUUUUAAAAAGAAAAGGUAAGAUACAAUCUAAACCCUAAACCUUCAUAGUACUUUUACCUUAAUUAAAGCUCAUAGCAAGAAUAGCAUUGUUGAGGAUUAUGCUACGCGAAUGUGUUAAGGAAGAAAUUGAAAAAUGUAACGGUAGUUCUUUACGCAACACUAAAGUGUUCAAGUAAGGAAUUAUAUAUAGUUGUCACACUUGAAUGAAAGAUAUUAUAGGCAAGCAACAAAUAUGUAAGGCAUUUGGUAAAUUUCUGAAUUUGUAGUACCUUUUUUUUUUCCUUGAGCUUGGAAUGUUCCUAGCUAAUUAAUUACAUUUUGUUUGGUGUUAUCUAGGACGAAAGCUGUGCAAUAGAUCAACAAAAAUGGAACCAUCGACAAACAUCGCGCUUAUAUCCUCCGGUGAACCUGAGGAGCCUGAAGAGAACAUCACUUACAUGGAUGCUUUGUUGUACAAGGCAGCAGCAGAAGGCAUAAUUGAAGAAUUCAAUAAUCACCCAGAGCUUCAACUUGAGUCGCUAAAGACCCCAAACCAUGACAACCUGCUCCAUGUUAACUUGGCAACCCAGGAGAGUGCUGUUGACAUUGUGUACUCAUUAUUCAUAUUAUUCCCCGAAGGAUAUGUAUUAUUCCAUCAGUAUUUGAGUAUUUUCAUUAGUAUGAUAAAAAGAGAAAAGAGAUCAGAUUUUUUCGAGCAAAUUCUCAGCAAGUGUCCGUCACUGCUACUCCAAACGAAUGCUAAAGGUCAAACUCCUUUGCACGUUGCAGCAAGGUUUGGACAUUCUGCUAUUGUGAAACUACUAAUCAAGUCUUGUGCAAAAGCUAGAGAUGGAGAUUUAGAGAAGCUGGGAAUGGAUCAAGUAAAUGCAGUGAGGGAGAUGUUGAGGAUUACGGAUCAGGAAUCGAACACGGCUUUGCAUGAAGCAGCAGGGUGUGGCAAUGUUGAAGUGGUGAAAGCAUUGUUGGAGUUUGAAGACCCUGAUUUUCCGUAUUCUGCCAACAAAAAACAGGAGACUCCACUUUACAUAGCAGCUAGGAGGAGAGGAUCUGGGCGCUUGUUGAC